AGCUUUUCUGCAAAUAGAGUCUUUGAUUCUUGUUGAACCAUACCUUGAUUCCCAAAAGGCCAGCAUAUCCUUGAGAGUCUUUUUCUUUAGACGGUUAAGACUUGCGAAAGUACAUUUCGUAGUCAGCGUUUUUGAACCCAUGUUGUUGCAGUUACUAGAAUUAUGCUGUUGUGGAUGGUGUUAAGCGCCGGUGGGCAUGACCUUCUUAUAAGUCUAAGUACCUCUCCUAUACUUCUUAUUGAGGACUGUCACUAAGCUAGCAUAUAUUUUAAACAUAUAAAAGUUUAUACAUUCAAAACAUAGUGUAAUCACUCCGAUCAUGUACAUUGUACACUUGAUGUAACUUGUAGAAUUUGGUAAUAAAAUUUCCGCUGCAAAAAUAUUGGUGUGUGUUUGUGUUUACUUAAUUUUGUGAUCCUGGUUGUAAGUGGUUUAUUCGCGGUCCUUGGGUCACUCGGACAGAUCCUGUUAAGUUAUCUGGUGCACACGCAUAGCCGUCUGAGGUCUUUGAGACAAGGGCAGGUGCAUGUGGGCACAAUAACUUGGGAGGUUCUGCCACAACUGAUAUCGAAGCAAGAUUAAGUAUAAUACAAUCACAUACGUAUUUCAAAACAAAGUUUUGGUUUCGAAAAAAUCUAUUUUCAACUAAACACAUUGUUUGGUUUUGAAAAAACAGAUUUGAAAACUAUAAUGCUAGCGACAUCCUCUGUUAAGCCCUAAAGUAAGGACUAUCAGGUGGCUUAGAUUAAAACACUAACCCACAACCGGGUGGAUAUUGCAUACAUGUGUAAUGUUGUUUUUGAGGCCAUUCAAUUUUGAAUGGAUCGACGCUCAGGUAAGGUGAGAUGUGAGAGCAUGACCGAACAACCAUCGGUCUAGGGGAGUGCUUAAUUGUGGCGCUUGACUAUACACAUGUUCUACAUAUGUAUAUACGAAAGCUGCGAUGUGGAGUAAUUACUUUUCGGGGAAUUCAGUACCCCAUGGAUGUGUAUGGGUAUGCAGACAUGGGAAUACUGAGAAGUGUAAUGUACUUGUAACGACGCACCUACGUUCAGGUAAGAAGGUAAGUUACCAUAAUGGGUUGCCCUAUGGUUAAAGUGUGGCAGCGGCGCCUAUGCAUGGCUCGACGCUUAAUGAUGAGCUGGCCACCAUAUAGCAAUAUAUGGAGUAUAAACUGUGAUAAACUGUCAUGUGUGAACUGCAUCAUGGGAAAUUGGGCUGUGAUGGAAUUUUCUGCAGGUACACUAACCUCGAAAACGUAUGUGUAGCUGACGACUAGCAAAUUACCGAGAGAGUCAUAAGUAUGCCACCGAUAUAGAACGCUAUUGCCACAUUAUGUUGGCAAAAUUUGUGAGGACGCAUAGGACGAGCAUGCAUCCUGAUUGUUGCAUCAUGUUUGUCACCUAUACACCCAAAAUGCUUCUCUUAUCUUUAUUCCAGUAGCCGGUGCUUGUAGAUAAUGUGGUGUAAUGUUGUAUUAUGAACUUCAAUGAAAUAGUUGUCCUCUGUUCCUUAGGUUGUUUAGGUGUUAUACGUGUUUGCCCUUGUACUUGAUGUGUCGAUAGUGGGUUGGUGACUUGUUUGCCUAAACCCAAAACUAGGCCAUGUUCUUAUUAAGUGAACCAUGACCCAAAUUUGAAUUUUUCCAUUAUCACUCCAUGACCCAAACUCAUACAAAUAAAUUCUUAGAUAAUUUCUUUGUUGGACAUAAAGUGUACCUGGGCUUAAAACAAGAAUCUCGAGUUAUAUCUCCUUCCAAAACCAUUCCCUUGUUCGGUUGGUGCAAGUGAUAUCUCUAUUCUAUUUUGCCUCUCCUGGAGGAUUGCAUUCUCACUUUAUCAACCUAACUCAGGAAAGACAUGUCCGAUCAUUUUCUUGAGUUUGAUGCCUUUGGUUUCCUCAUAUCUAUCAAAGGCGUACCAACUUCAUCUUGUGAUUGUUUUCCCUCUGCAUGUAGUCAGAUACUAAUCAUUGACCUUGUAAUCUCUGCGAUGGGCAUAGAAAUAUUCUUGGGCUGAAAUAAUAGUCUCCCAUCGUACUCCUUUCAUUAAGUUAGGUUAUGGCCAUGUCUUGUUCAUUUCAUCGGGCCAUGAUCCAUUUGGCUCUCUACUUGUAACCAUUCUUAUAGGUGGAGUAUCUCUUUGUAUAUUGUCACCCUUGCCCAAUCCAUUGGUGUCGUGUGAGAUUUAUUAUUGGUUACGUCUGGUAAUGGUGUUAUGAAUAAAACUGAUGGUGCCGCGACGAAACCGAGGGCCUCCUAUGGACGAUCGGCACACGAUUGUACUGCUCGGCACACAUUGGUAUCACAGUUAGUAGUCAUAAUCCAUUAUGAGACUAUAUCGAUAUGUUAUCUCUGCACAAAUUGUUCUUACCAUGUGAGGUUCAUUAUUGGUGGCAGUUCGAUAAUGGUGUCAUGAUUAAGGACUUAUGGUGCCACAGCGAAACUGAGAGCCUCCUGUGAAUGCGCACACAGGAUUGUGCUACUCGUCGGAUGCUGGUAUCAAGGUCUCUUGUCAUGAUCCGUUAUGGAAUUACACUGAUGUGUUAUCUUCCGUGGACUUUCGCUUGAAACAAUUUCUAUAUUGUUUUUCGAGUUAUCAGGCAACAUCUAUCAUCUCUGUCGAAUCAAAAGAGUAUAUAACUCUGAUGUAUUCCUUAAGUAAAUUUCUUACCAAUUCAGAAGUCUUCAUCAAAAAUCGAAAUUUGCUUUCUCUCCUACUAAGAUGCAGGAGUUUGUUCAUUCGCUCUCUUAUUUAAUCCAUGCAUUCCCGAACCAAGUCAGUUCAUCCCGCAUGGAAGAAAUUGAUGAACAACCUGACCAAAUGGAUUUUUACCCAAGUGCAUGAUCUCUUGUUAACCAAAGUGAACUCUCAACCUUUGGAUUGUCGAUGAAUAAUAAGAGGACUUACCCAAUGUCAAAAGUAGUUCAACAAGUUGGUUUUACUAACUUGUAACUGCCCAAUGAACAAAGGUUGAGUUUAGAGAUCGUUUUAUCGAGUUGUCUAAACAUCGAAUAUGGACGUAAGUACGGGAAUAUUAAUAAGAAUAACAGUCUCUCUAUCUUAAUCUGUUUCGUCUGUCACGAGUUCGACAUCGUUUUUAUUUUUAUCUAUCCGGGCUCUUCCUAAAUUUUCGUGAUGUUUGGAACAUAGUUGUUCCGAAAAUUGGUGCGUCCGGUAAUUUCAAAUUCAUCGCUCGCGCAAAUACGAAUUUGGAAAUUUAGUCCAGUCCUCCGAUUUCAUCCCAAACAGAUUCAAUAGAACUCGACAACUAAAGUUUUCAGUGCCAAAUAAUUCAGUCCUCGCUCUUUCACAGAGAAAUCGCAUUUAAGGAUUUUAAAUUGGCUUGUUUCUUCAGCACACUAUUUUGGUGAUGAAAUCAUGUGUGCAUUAGCAGAUAUGGUUUUGGCUAGUUUUAGUCGAAUCACGCAGAGCAAAUUAUUGAAGCUGAAAUCCGUUUAAUUUGGUCUGUUGCUUCUCGCCUCGAUCUAAAUCAUAACCCUAGAACUCAGAUUAGGUUUUCGCGGCUCGUGUCGCAAUAAUUCGGACUGACGUGUGUUGAAUUUAAAAUUCGAGAGUAAAGCUGAGUCAAACACGGAUUAUGUAAAAUAUUGCAGUAUAAAUUCUAAUGAAGAUAAAUCAUAGCCAUGGGAUUCAAACUAGAAAUAAUUAUUGUGCUAAAAAUACACUGGAGAGAAGAUUAUAGAAUAAUUAAAAAAAUAAAAAAAUCCCAAAAAAUCUGCAGCCGCCCUCCCUCCAAUUUUUUUUCGCCGCUCUUCUUCUCCCUAAUAAUUCCUCAGCCGUCGGUCUUAUCCCCGUCGUGGGAUAUUUUCUGCUCACUCCUCUUCUUCUCCCACGCGCACAGGCUCCUCCCUCUGCGCAUCUCCCUGCGCCUUGCUUCUCCCGCGCGCGCGCCUGCCUAGCCCCAGCUCGGACCGAGCCGUCUCCACCCGUCCGCGCUCUGCCCAGCCCCUGCUCCUCGCUCCUUCCUGCGCCCGGCCGGAGUUCCUCUGCUCGGCCAUGGCCGCCGUCGAGCUUCCUGCUCGCGCCUAUCUCCCUGUAACACCCUGAAUUUGGGGUAUAAAAUUUCUUUUCUAAUAUCCACCAAAUUAAGGUGUUACCCUCUCUUUUCCAGGCUCUUCUUUCUUUUGCCUAAAGAGUGAGAAAAUAUUUUGUUUUAUAUCUAUGUGUAAACCUAAUAAAUUAAAACCCUAGGGGGUGCUUUGGUUGUUGCAUCAUGCUGGAGUAUAUUUUCGCUUUGGUUGAGGAGUGAAUUUGUGAAGCAUGUGUUUAAUAAGGAAAUAAAGAAAAGGAAAUAAGUAAGAAAUGGAGAAAUAGAAAGCCCCAAUGUCCCCAGCUGGACCGACCCCUCUUCCCUGUGGCCCAUCUCUUCUCCCCAUCCUUUCCCUGCUCGGCCCACUCUGUGCCUCACCCCCUCCGCGGCCCACUUCGCCUGGCCUGCUCGACCAGGCGCGCCCGCGCCGCCCAGUGGCUCUCCCCCUCCGCGCCUGCACGCUCAGCUGCUCGGCCCAGCGCCAUGCUCUCCCUCCCCGGCCCACCAGGCCACUCCCGCCCCUCUCCUCCAUUCUCCCCUCUCUUGGGCCACGUGGCCAGCCCACCUCGCGCGCGCCACACCCCCUACAGCAGCUGCUGCGCCCUAGCGCGCGACCGCGCCAGCAGUGCCCCAUCCCCGGCUCAAUAGCCGCGUGUGCAGCCCACCCGUGCUCGAGCGCCACCGCGCGGCCCAGCGCGCCCCAGCCGCUGCGCGCGUUCGCAACCCACCUAGCGCGCGCCCUAGCUCUCCCCAGCCACACGCUCGCGCGUGGGAGCGCCGCCGCCGCUAGAAAAUUGCCCACGACGUGAUUUUCUCACCCGAACCACCCACAACGCGCUCCUCUUGCCCGUUCUCGCUCAGCAGCACGACACCCACGCCCCUCUCCACAUUUUCUCUCCUAGAGCCACACCCUCGUCUACCCAACGCCCAUGCCAAGCCACUCCACGCACAGCAACCACCCGAAGUCACCUUGCGUCGCGCGCCGGACCUUCACCGAGUCGACCUGCGCUGUGCUACGCCCGACGCCCAGCACGCCGGAGUUCCAUUCGUCUCGACGUCGCGCACCCGGCGCCCAUCCAGUUCCACCUCAUCGUCGGCGUCCGUGCCGAGGUGAGCUCCGUCUACCCCCUAGCCUCCCACCGCUUGUAAUCUAAUGAACGUUGGCGAGCUCUUUGUGCUGUGUUGUGGUGGUUGCAUCCCGACAGCUUCACCCAGCCACAACUCGCCUUGCCGCAGCGCCGCAGUCCGCACCCAUCGUAGCCCUGCAGACCGCGUCGACGCCGGCCAAGCCCCGCCCCGUUGAGCGCGUCAGGCGCAGCCGUGCCGCGUGUGGCGUCUAGCCUGGUGAGCCGUGUUGCUGUGUUCGACCCGCUGCCCGCGGAUGGCGCGGUUGGUCCGGCCAUGGUGUGGCCCGUGUGUGUGCCCCGACACGGCCUCGCGCUCGCGUCUAGCGUGGCCCGCGUGUGUGCCCCGGCGCGGCCUGUGCAGCCCUAGCUCGGAUUUUGCGUGGCCCCGGCGCAACAGCAAUCUCGCCGUUCUCAUGCCUCGCCGCUAACUAGUCUGGUCGUCCGCUAUCGUUGCGGUGUGAGCAUCGUCUACGCGUUGGUAACCUUGUUUCACUAUGUCGUCCGCUGUCGUUGCGAUGUGAGCAUCGUCUACGCGUUGGUAACCUUGUUUCACUAUGUCGCACGUUUUAAAUAAUUAAUUAUAUUUUUGUUUGACUAACGUUAGUCAAUUAGACUUUUCAAUUAAACUAAUUUAUAGUAGUUAACUCAUGCUUUAUAAAUCCAUGUCGACAUAAUUAAUAGUAACUCAAAUGUAUUGCUCUAAUAUUUGUUUAAUAUAAAUGUGAUGACUAUUUAGUUUUUAUCGUGUUUCGCGUGUGUCAUUCGCGUGUAUAGCGCGUGCUGCUCGCUCGCUUCGUCGUCUCUCAGUAAAAUGUUAUUUGCGCGCUUUAAUAACAUCACUUCGCCAUAUCGUUCAUGUUAAUCACUUGAUUAAUUGUUUAGUAGUUAGUUAUUAAAACAACAGCUCAAUCGAAUCUAGUUUAUAAAUUUAAUUAGGCGUUUGUAGAUAGCUGGUAACGUGUUGAUGCUGACUUAAAGGUUAUAUUUAACACUUGGUUAAUAUAUAUAAGAAAAACGACGUAGUUUAGUAGUUUCGCAUGUCGCGCCGUUUUCGCGAGUCGCGCUCUUUUUGCGAGUCGUCGUUGUUGGUUUGCGCGUUUGCACCGCGCGCCUGGCACGCGCGUUGUCGCGUGCUGUUCGCGCACAUCGUCAUGCAUCAUUUGCUCUUAGUCACACGUGGUUGUGCGCGCUUUCCGUGUGCUCCUUCGCACGAGACGCGCGCGCUGUUCCCACGUGUGACGCUCGUUGCCAACGUGUCGCAUGUUUUAGUUGAAUAAUUGAUUAUUGGUUUGUUCCAGGGUUAAUAAAAUAACAAUUUAAUUAGAACGAGUCUAUAGUUGUAACUCGUGCUUUUAUAAAUAUAAAUGUUAAUUAACUUGAUUAAUACCAGCUUAAAUACUUUUAACUAAUUAUUUGUUGGUUGUUGUUCGCGCACGACAUCGUUUGCGCAUCAUCGUGUUGUUCGCGUGCGUAGUCGCGUUGACUCACACAUGUCGCGCGCUAUCGAGCGCAUUGUCUCGCGUGCCGCAGUGUUGUUUCGCGCAUGUUGUUGCACGCGAUUCACGUGUGUCGCGCGACGUCUGCGCGUGAUAAUAAAUUGUUUUCCGCUUAUAAAGGCUCAUGUUAAUAACGUUAAUUCGUCAGGUCAUAUAGUUUAGAUACUUAACUUAAGGUUCGCUCGACUAAUAUUUAUUAGAUUAAUAUUCUAAUUAGAUUAAAUGUGUAGUGUUCAAUUUGGCUUUUAUAAUAAAUAUUAACAUGGCUAAUAUUAAUUUAACUACUUUCUAUUUAAUUAACACUUGUUUAGUAUAAAUACGUCACCGAUUUAGUUUUUCUCGCCUGUUGCGCGUGCUGUUCAGCACACGGUUGUGUGCUGCUUCGCGCGUCGUUCACGUGUUGUCUGCGCGUUGUUCGUGCGUGAUGUGCUCGUGGUCGCGUGCUGAUUCAUGCGUCAUUCGCGCUGGUCGCGCGCACUGUUCGUGUGUCGUCAGUGUGCUAUGACGCGCAUGUCCGCGCGUCGUUUGCACGUUGUCGUAUUGUUUUGUGCGUCAUAAAUUCGUCUCGCUUAGAAUCUCUCGUGCUAAUUAUAUUAGUUAUUUAUAUGACAACUGAUGGUGUAGCAGAUUUGAUCAAAACUAAAUAACAGUUAUAAUUUAUAUUUGAUCAUGUCGAAUUAAAUGUCCUGAUUAUUAUUUGCGUAGCGUAAACGUUAUGACUUCUCGAAUGUAGCUUCGACCAUCACGUUUCUUAUCCCCGCGUAACCGUAGAAGCGCUCUCUAUUUUAUACUGCAUAUUUUUAUCACAUUUUAUCUUGUAUGGUGUAAUGUUCUUAUGCACAUAUAUAUAUAUAUAAGAUAAAAUGUAUGUAUGUAUAUAUAUAUAUGUUUGUUUGCUUGUGCCUGUUCGUCUUCGCUUUGCAUUGCAAGUAGAUUGCGAUUCGUUUCUGAGCUUCGAGGAAAUCGACGGCCAAGCAUUGGAGUCCAAGUGGUCAGGUUCUUCGAGUUCUACAAGGUUGAAGACUCUGAGCAUCUGUUUGGUGAAGGCAAGUGUCCUCUGACCCAUUAUGUCCUAUUUACUUUAUAAUUCACGGCCUCGCAUACCAUGAUCAACCUAAGGAUUUGACUACCUUUGUAUUUACCUUGUCCUUGAUUACAUUUUGAGUUAUUAUGGUUAGCUUCAUGCUAUUGCUUUACUUUAAUCAAUGAACAUGAUGUGAAUAUUUAUGAUAUGAUGAUGUUAUCCCGAUGAUGAUAUUGUUAUACUUUAGGGGACUCAGGCCAUUUUCCUUAGUACCUCUUCGUAAGGACCUGUUCGUGGAUUGACCACCCGGGAUAACAGUGCAGCCAUGAGGGUGGAAUGGGACGCCCUUAGCUGAUUAAUUAGAUGAACCUGGGGGUAUAGUUGGCUUUGCCGGAGGGCCCUCAAUGGGGGCCGGGGGCGUAGUGCUCGCUCUGCCAAGGGGGGGUACAGAGGUUCAUUCGAUUUGGUUUUGUUAGUCACCCACCUUCGGGAGGUGUACUACGUUUGUACGACUGGCAAAACCUAACAAGCAGCUAUUCACCAGGGGAGUCUUUGUAAAGGCUAUGUAGUGAUACCCUGCCACGCCACCUAGGUAGUGGUCAAUGGGGAUUAGCUCUCCCCGGGCAGAAAGGGAAUCAUGACUCGUGGGUAAAGUGUGCGACCUCUGCAGAGGAUUAGAAACUGAUAUAUCAGCCGUGCUCACGGUUAUGAGUGGCCUUGGGAUCCUCUUUGAUUAGAGAUACAUAUGGUUCAAUAUACAAUGGUUCUAUUUAUUAUUUUGGUUCGAUGAUGAUAAUGAUGUUUCCUCGAUGAGGAAAUGGUUCACGGGUUGGUUAUAUGAUAAAACUUGGCUUCCACUAAUAAUAAAUACCUGACCAAUUAAAAGUAACUGCUUGAGCUUAACCCCACAUAAAGCUAGUCCACCUUAGCCAAACAGGACAUUUGCUGAGUACGUUGAUGUGUACUCACCCUUGCUUUCACAAAACCCAGGUUGCCUUUGGUGCAAUCUAUGCUCAGGUAAAGAAGAAGGUGUCGAGGCGGAUCUCCAGGAGUUCCAGGACUUCGACGAGUUCAAGGAUUAGGAUAGCGACCUCCCCCAGUCAGCUGCCUAUGGUGGGUUUAUUUACGUUGGCUACGUUUCUAUUCUGUGUACUUUUAUUUAUAUUAUGUAAAUGACUCUAGUCUUUCAUAUUAUUAAUUACUCUUUAUUGUUAUUCGAAGUAUUGUGCUAUGAUGAGUCAUUUAUGUAAUCGCCGUGUACGUGAAUUUCUGAUCUCGGCACGUACAUGGUUCGCAUUCGGUUUACCUUCCAAAACUGGGUGUGACACUCCCUCCUGUGGCGUGCCCUCCCUUCUCGCCCUGUAGCUCGGCCUCUAGCAGCGGCCAUCCCCGUGCCGUGCACCCCUCUCCCCAGAGCUCCCUCCCCCCGCUCCAGCUCCCCUACGCGCUCUGCUCCCAUGUGCGCGUGAGCUCACCGGUAAUCCCGGUCCCAGCUCGGAUCUCGCUCUUGUUCGCCGGCCACCCCUUCUCUCUGCUCUAGCUCGCCGGCGCUUGGUUUCCAUCUCGGCCUACGCCCUACUCCCUGCUCUCGGCGUCCCAAUCUUGGCCGCGCCUCCCCUGCCCUUGGAGCUCGCUAGCGCCAGCACCUAGCCGGUGUUUUCCACGUCAUGCCAUGAUGCUUGGCCGCGUCCUGCGCGCAGAGCUGUUCCUGUCGCGUCCUUGGUGGACUCGCGUCCUCCCGGUAGCUUGCGUGCUACCUACUUGAUGAAAUGUGAAACCAGGUGGCUGAUCUCGCUCCCGCCGUUAACUUCGCUUCGCAGCUCGCCUGCUCUUAUGGUGCUGCUAUGCCACGACACUCGUGUCGGUGCAUCGUCACUUGGCCGGGAGUUGUCGCCGCUAGCUCGCUUUCAUCCAAAUCGUCACCGCGGAUGCUUGGGUCUCUGGUCGCGCGUCUUUCUAUCUCGCGCUCGACUCGUACGAUGCCUCGGCAACACCGUGGUCGUCCUCCCUCACAGUGUUGUUGUUUACCUCGCUAUUGUAGUCGUGCCUCAUGCGCUGCUGGUCUGAAAUACCCAAGCCAAGUGAGCAUCCUGCGCGACUCAAGUUUGGUUCAUCCAGAUUAUUCAGUCAAGGAGAGAUUCCAAGAGUUGUGGAUUGAGGAGAAAGUGAAGCUCAGUUCAAUACUCAUCAGGUGUUUGAUCGAAGACUUCAAUCGGAGACUGUCGUCGUUCUCGCAAAUAUUGAGUCGAGUUGAUUAUGGUGAGCCGAUUCACUAUUUUUACUAUUAAUUUUAUGAUCGUGAAAUAAGACGCUUAGUUUGCGUAUGAAGUUAAGUUAGAAAUACCAGUGAUGCGAGGUGUGCUUCGAUGAGUUUAGUUGCCGAGUAUAUUCGAACUAGUUCUAUUUUGCAGAGUGUGGUAUUUUGGUGACGCGUAGGUUAAGUUUAGUAUUUAAGCAAUUAUCGAUAAGUCUGUCGAUGCUAAUUGUGUUCAGUGCGCGUAAGAUGAAGUCGAUGUCUUACGCUAGUAGUUAGUAUCAUCUAUGUUUGUGAUCGAUAAUGUUGGAGUCGGAUAUUGAUUAGUUAGAUUGAUAGCUAUGAAUAAAUAGUUGUUAUCUUGUUUUCGGUUGUCCAAAUUAAUUGGAGGCGAACAACAUUAUUUGGUCCGCUUCAGUUGAAAUCUAAAAAAAGACUACUCAGUGGACAUGGUUCUUUAGUAUUUUAAGUCUUUAGGAUUUAAGUGGUGUACAAAAUUCAUUAAUAUGCUUCCUUACUCUAAAUUGUCGGUAUUCAAAAAUAGUGAAUGAAAAUGUGACGAGUAAUUUGAUAUUGGGUGUUUUGACAAAAGACUUGUGCUUAGCUUAUUAUUACUUGAUGUUUGAGGUAGAUGCGAUUACGCUAGAAACGUGUGAUAAAUGGGCAUAGUCGUAUAUCGAUAACUAGUGUUUUCGUAUGAAAUGGUACAACGCCUCGCCGCUAGGUGUUUAAUUCGCUAUUGUGUAGCAUUAUUCAGGUUUGUGAUAUUCCUGUUUAUAUGCAUUCAUGUGCAUUAUGUAAAUCAUUUAGGUACGUUUAUUGAUUACAUGAUAUGGAGGACCAAAGUUGAGUUGACCACAAGAUAUCGCUACGCGUGAGCUUCUCCAAAAGAUAAUGCUGAUGAACGAACCUGAAGAUGGAUAAUCUGAACGAGUGCCAAGAUAAAGAAUGAUCGCCAGGUCGCCACUUAACCAACACUAACCUAGUGUUCUUCCAGGCAAGCCCCGAUGUAGGCUUGCUGAUUUAGGACCUUUUAACUGGCCACAUGCCUCAUCAUGGGUAAGCUUUGCCUCAGGAAGACUAAUACUAGAAAGGCCAACACGCAAUGGGAGUGGAGAGAUGGUGAGAGUAGCGUGUACCCUCCGUGGCAAGAGGCUGGACGAUGGUGUAUCUAUGCUCUCGGUUGGCGUGAACCCGGUCUGGUCUUAAGAAACCCGGUGGCGAGUUGACAUAUGCAAGGGUUAAGUGCUACAUAUGUCGUGUGGUUGGAGAUCCCCAGCUGGGUAUUAAUCGAUUCGGAUCGCCGUUACUUCUAGGAUAUGAAGACUUGGUCACUGCCCUACACGUAGCAAUCUAGUGAACUGAAGGGAUGAUAAAAGAUAGCUAGUAUAGGCCAAGUGCUUGAACUAGGACAGAAAGGACUCUAGAUGUAGGUAAUUUUACUUAACCUGACAAGUAAAAAUGGAUUUUUAAGGAACCACUCAUAGUAAGCUUUUCUGCAAACGGAGUCUUUGAUUCUUGUUGAACCAUACCUUGAUUCCCAAAAGGCCAGCUUAUCCUUGAGAGUCUUUUUCUUUAGACGGGUAAGACUUGCGAAAGUACACUUCGUACUCAGGGUUUUCGAACCCAUGUUGUUGCAGGUACUAGAAUUGUGCUGCCGUGGAUGGUGUUAAGCGCCGGUGGACACGACCUUCUUAUAAGUCUAAGUACCUCUCCUAUACUUCUUAUUGAGGACUGUCACUGAGCUAGCAUAUAUUUUAAACAUAUAAAUGUUUAUACAUUCAAAACAUAGUGUAAUCACUCUGAUCAUGUACAUUGUACACUUGAUGUAACUAGUAGAAUUUGGUAAUAAAAUUUCCGCUGCAAAAAUGUUGGUGUGUGAUUUGUGUUUACAUAAUUUUGCGAUCCUGGUUGUAAGUGGUUUAUCCGGGGUCCUUGGGGCACUCGGACGGAUCCUGUUAAUUUAUCUGGUGCACAUGUAUAGCCGUCUGAGGUCUUUGAGACAAGGGAAGGUGCAUGUGGGCCCAAUAACUUGGGACGUUCUACCACAGAAGCUAUUGAUCUAGGUGUUCACUCAUGAUGGGAUGAAACCCCCUUGUAAUCCCAAUAAGCUCACAAUGAGUGAAGAAAAAGAAAUUCAUUUGAAUGCUCAAACUAAAAAUUACUUGUAUGAAUAUAUUAGCGUGGACAUAUUCAAUCAAAUAUAUACAAUGAAAAAUGCUAAUGAGAUAUGGCUUAAAUUACAUGAGCCCCAUUAUGGCACAAGCAAUGUCCAUGAGCAAAAAACAUUGUCUCGCUUUGAAUGAAUACAAUUCUUUUACCAUGAAAAUUAAUGAGCUUGUUCAACAUAUGUAUUAUGGAUUAAAUUAAAUUAUUAAAGAGAUUAAUUAUAUUAGCAUUAAUAUGCUAGAUGAUGUGAACAUUGCACGAAAGAUCAUCUCCCCAUUACCACAACAUAAAUAUGGGAGCAACAUCACCAUACUUCAUAAUAUGGAGGACUUGAGCCAAAUAACCCCGGUGCUAUUGAUCGACUAGAAUGUGGCAUUUGAGAUGCUACGAUAGAUGGGUGAAGAAAAAGCUGCUUAGUCUGGGACAUGCUUUCACAUGUGAAGAGCAUAAAAAGAUGAAGGGCAAGAAAAAUGUGGAAAACUCAAGUUUUAAAGUGAAGAAUAGAAAUCUAAAGAAGAAGAUGAUGAAGAUGAUCAACUCGCUUCAUCAUCCUUCAAGGACGAAGAUACAAUAUAAUGGGUUAGAAAGGUAAUGGGGAUUAUUCAUGAGAUUAAUCUUGUUGAUGUGCCCUUGCAGUUCGACGCUAUUAUCUUUAACAUUGACAUGAAAGAACAAAGAAAAAUAGGAUGCUUCACUUGUGGGGAGAAGGGUGAUUUUUGGGAUAAUUGCCUAAACAAGACCACACCCAAGAAGAGAAGGAGCAAAGGCAAAGGGCUCACUUCAUUCAAGAUAUGGGAUGAUACAUCAAAUGAAGAUGGCACCCCACCUAACAGUUGCGGUCAUCACUCUUCAUCAUGCUCAUCUCACAAAUGCCUUAUGGCACGAGGUAACACAAGUAAUCCAUUCUCUAGUGAGUAUGAUAGUGAUAGUAGUAGCAAUGAUCAAAACCCUCUCUAGUUGAAUUUACGCAUGCCAUAAUUUUUUUGAGGAAGUAUGCAUUUAACAAAAAGGUUAAUUAAAACUACGUAAGUCUAAAUUGAUUAGCUCACGAAAUGAUUACACAAAUUUGCUAGAGAAAUUUAAAUCCUUUGCAAAUUUGAAUGUUGAGCUAACAACUAAAAUUGAGCAUUUAGAAUCUAGUGCACCAUCCUCAACUAUCGAUGAGAGCUCGAUUAAAAAUAAUGAGAAACUUAAGGCUAAGUUAGUUAGCUUAGAAAAUGCUAUUGAUAACUUGCUACGUAAACUAGAAAUCCUUCGCAUAACAAUGAACUAACUACAAAGCUAGAAAGCAUCAGUAGCACCCUAGAAGCGUCUAAAUUUGGAACUCCUAAAAUUAUUAAGAAGGAUACUUCUACUUCUUGCUUGGAUUUAAUUGAUAAUAACCCUAACCCUUGCAAAAAAAGUCUUGGUUGGGAGUGUAAUUGUAGAAACAUGCUUAGAUUAGAUUUUGCAAGGGAAAUGUGGAAUUAAGGCAAGAAGUGGCUCACCUUGGUAAGACCCUGUACAACAAGAAAAGCAAAGCCAUACAAACCCAAUCUCACUAGGAUAACACCAAUGUGGGUGUGAAGAAGCUGGAUGAGGGAGAAAUUGUGAUUUGUUAGUUAUACCACAAGGAAGGACACAAGUCUUACCAAUAGAAGGUAAUGACCGAGGGAGAUAAGAAAAACCAAACAAGAAAGCUCUCAACACCUAUACCAACAAGGUGGACAACAAUCAUACAACACCAUAUCUUCUUAAGAAGAAAAAUAACAACAAGGUGAUAGCCAUCAAGGUCAAUAAGGAAGCCAGCAAAGGUAAAUGGGCCAAACAGAUUUAGGUGUCAAAGGACAUUAUUUCAAACAUGAGAGCACCAAAAAAUUUUGGGUCCUAAGAGGGAAGUGAAAAGUCUGAUGGACUACAGGGAAUUUGGAGACUUGGAAAAAAUGGGAUGUAUAUCAUGGGGUACAUUAUAUUGGAUCAAGUUUAUUGCCAAGUGGGUUAGUUAUGAUUAUGGACCCAAAUUCCCCGCCCAUGAUGAGGUAGAUUUAUUGUUAUUCCUUGUUUUUGAUAUGCUUAUCUUCCUUUAUGCAGCUAGUUUACCUUUCAUGCCUAGUAUUGCUUUCAAUUGUUAUGUUUUUCAAUUGGUAUAUCAUAUGCUUUCAAUUGUGCACUUUCAAUUUGUAUUUACUUUCAAUUGAUUAGCAUGCAUACUAGGAGAAUUAUAUCAUAGGUUUGCUCGGUUUAAUUCCUACCCUUGGAGCAAAACCUACAUGGUUUUAAAAUGCUAAAGAAAGAACAACACAUAGCUUAAUCAAAUUCCUAAAUGAAUGAUAUCCACACUUUUAUUUCAAUUGUUAUUGUUUCAAUUGCUUUUUAAUGAAGUAUCUUUCAAUUCAAUACCAUGAAAUUUUUAGUUAGUAUAAAUAAGUGCCAAAGUUUAAAUUAUAUAUAAUUUGCCCCUAAGGAUCAACUAAGGUAAUGAUGUUAUGGCAUUAUCCUUUGAAGUGGUAUUUUGACCUUAAAAGUCUAAGUGCAUGUCUCCUACAAGUAUUCACAACUUGUAUGCACACUUUUAGGGGAGGUUACUCUAUAGUUUGAUUUCUUUGAAGACUAACACAAUUUCCAAGCUUAUCAUGUAUGAAGUAGUCUCAUUGAAGGAAAAUGGAAUCCUUAGAGUAAGACAACGCACUUCCACUGUAAAUUGGUGCAUUAGUAUUUCAAUAUGAUAGAUCUUCAAUCGGUAUUAUUUACAUACCUUCUCCAUUUAUAUAGACUAUAAUAACAUGUUAGAUUUCAUUUAACCCCCAUAUUAUGCAUAUGGUUUAAAUUUCUUUUGGUAUCUAUAUACUAUUCUUUAUCUUCUAAAUAUGUAGAGAAUAGGGGGUCUACUCUAUAUAUCCAUAUGUCAAAAUUAUUGGAUCCUAUUUAGUUCUAAAUUAAAGUUUUUCAAGGGGGAGAGUUUUUCGAUAGGGGGAAUAUAUAUAUAUAUUUCACACUAGGGCGAUUACUUCACCAUAGGGGGGAACUUUCUUCAAGGGAGAACAUCUUUUUAUGAAGCUACAAGGUUUUUACCCUUCCUACAUGCUUUAAAUGUCUUCUUUUUUGGUUCUUGAUUCCAAAGGGGGACAAAUUCAAGGACCAAAGGAAACCAAAGUGUAGUAUAUCAAAUACCAAAAUCACUCUCUUUUAAAAUUUUCAUAAGUUUUAAAGUGAUUGUUUUUGUUGGUUUUGGACCAAAAUAGGAAAGAUGUGGAUUAUGGAGUUAGGGGGAGGCUUAAGUCCAUAAUUCCACAUCAUGGGGAUAAUUUUGCAUCAGCAAGAAUGUUUAUCAAAUGUUUACAGUUGACAUAUCUAUCCAAUUGAUACCACAUACAUCUUGUCUAAGCACAUGCAUCCUAGCAAGUAGAUUGCAUAUUUUUAUUUGGUAUUUAAACUAUUUGCUUGCUUUUGUUGUGUUGUCAUAAAUCACCAAUAAGAGAAAUAUUGUAAGGAAAAUAAGCAUUAUAAGUCAUAUUAAAGACCUUCGAACAUGCUAAGAGUCCAAUACACAAAGAAGUAGAAGUCCAGAUGCAAAGAGACAAACAAAAGUAAAGUCACCAAAGUCGAGACAAAAGGAUGCUUGAAUUGGAAGUAUCUCAUGAUUUUGGAUCUACUCAAAUUGACAUGACUUCAACUCUAGGUUGUAUAUCUUUCCAUUAGUUUUCCAAAAAAGUCUAAGAUCAUCAAAAUCUAAGUUCGAAGCUAAAAGUUAUGCCCAUAAUACGAAAUUGGGUGGUGCUAAAAAACGACACCUGAUAGGUCCGGUGCAAGGCCUGGUCCGCAAAUCUGAUCAAAUUGACAUGGCUUAAACUAUGGGUCAUAGAGAUUUUCCUUAUCUUUUCAAAAGUCCAAGAUCAUCAAAUUUGGAGUUUAGAGCUAAAAGUUAUGCCCAAAAUACAAGCAGGAACAUGUUGUGCAUAGGACAGGUCUAGUGUGCCAUAGGAUAGGUCCACAACUAGUGCACAAGAUAGGUCUGGUGCAUACGCAGACUGCACCAACUUUUUGACAAUGGCUCUUUUGGGCUUGUGGAGCUACAAAUAUCACCCCAACCAGCCAUUUGCAUGUGUGGAGAACUAAGAAACAUAAUGUAUGAGUUGAGACAUUAAUUCAUAGCUCAAAACACUCAAGUGUGUAAUAGAAUCACUCAGUGAUUAGCAUAGGUGCUUUUGCGAAGUGCUUAGGUUAGUUAGACCAAUGCAUAGCACUUGCUCUAGGUCUAUUCCUAGUUGAUUAGAGUGAGGUUAAACACCUACAUACCCCUCAGCUCUUGCAUGAGUUGUUGUAAUAAUAUCUUGUGGGGCGAGAGUCUUGCGAUACCACACCAAUCGCAUUUGUGGUGUGGCCGCCACCGUGUACCAGAGGGACCGAGGCCCACGGCAUUUCAACCAGAAGCUCAAUAGUGAAGACGAUGGGGAGCAUUAGAGAGAGGCCUAAAGCAGAGCACCGCUUGUGCAUAGAGAAGGCUUGGGUCUAUCUACGGAGUUACCUUUGUUUAGGUGUUUGGCCUUCACGUGGACUUCCCUUUGCAUAGGGGAACCAACGAGAAUUUGUAAGAAUCUUGCAUGAUUCUUGAUACCACAAUUAAAAUUUUAGUGCGUCAACGGAAGUUUGCAUCUCUAUCUCAUCUAAGCUUCCACAUUUAUAUUGCUUUCUUUGGUUGUAUGGUUUACCUUUCCUAGCUUAGAUUUUGGGCUAGUUGUUAGGAGUAGAACCUAGGUUGCAUAACUUCGUUUUGCGUUAGAGAUAGCAACACUUAAACAAAACCUUAGUUGCACUAGCUUAUUUGGUUAUCCACAUAGGUUUUGUUUAAGAGGUUAAAUUAGAGGCCUACAUUAGUGCGAGAAAUAGAAGUUCUAUUUCAUCCCCCUCUUUGGCAUCCACAUUCAUUUCAUGGUGGUGGGAGGAUGUUUUUGCAAAAGACCACAAGCCAAAGAUGUGAACGCCAUUUUGUUGGCUUCAACUCUCUAAUAGAAAAGGAAGGAGUGAUUGUUACCAAAACCAUCUAUUAAAUUGCUAUUUGGUACGGCUUAUAAAAAAUGUGAAGCCAUAGUACAAGCCGGUGGAGAGAAGCCCUGCCAAAAGAGGCCAUAGUUGUGCAAGUACCGAGGCGUCCGCUUUAAGCCACUAGCUGCCAUGGAGAAUAAAGAUGAUAUCAACAGGAUGUGGCUGGGAACUCCACCAUCGACAAGUUUAGAGUCCAGUUGAAACGAAGUUGGCAAAAAUGGCUAGAAGGUUGCCCGUGUCCAUGCAGACUUGGUUCCAAUAUCUUAACAAGCCAACUCAAAUAAAUGAGCCAACUCAAGCUCAAGAAAAAUGGCUAGAAGGUUGCCCGUGUCCAUGGAGACUUGGUUCCAGUAUGUUAACAAGCCAACUCAAAUUAAUGAGCCAACUCAAGCUCAAGAAUGAGCCAAGCUAAGCUAUUCCCCCAGCUCGCUUCAUUAAUAAGCUGGACCGCGUUGUUCCUCGAACUCGUUGCAUUAACUUUAGAGCAACUCCAGUAAUUCUCUAAAAGACUUACUAAAUCAAUAAUUUAGUUAGUUAACAUAAAAACUCAUCUCCAACGGUUCUUUAAAUGAAAUUACUAAAUUUAGCAACUUCUUAUCUAACCUCAUUUCCUCUCUACAUUUGACAACCAUUUAGCAACUCUCUAUACAAAAAUAUUGAGUGCAUUAUGUAGAUAAUGAAGUUAAUUGAUGACAUUUGUGACUUAUUUUUUUAUGUGGAUAGAUACAAAAUAAAACUACAACCUAUUUUUAGAGAACUAUUGGUGAACUCAUAUUUUUUACUCACAAAGUUAUUUAGUAACUUUUUAAAUCUAUGAUUUAGAGAGCUAAAAUUUACAUAACUAUUGAAGUUGUAUGUUCUUGCAUGUUGUUGACACCUUUUCGGGCGCCAAUCACUAUAACAAGAACCGGCGGUGGUGCCCUCUGCAGAGGCGCGAACGGUCCGCGGCCAGGAGCCAGACAGUCCAUGAUCUCGUACAGGGGCUUGGAUUCCCUGCCUGAUGGCCGGACGGUCCGCGCCUAAAGGCCGGAUAGUCCGCGUGUGCGCAGGGGCGGCAAAGGUUGUCGGCGGCGCCUGGAUCUCGCUCCCGGGAGGGACCCAUCGGGGAGGAGAGAUCCUAGAUGUUGUCUAGGCUCGGCAGGUCGACCUAGACUGCUCUAAUCGACAUAGAGCCGAAGAGAAGCAGAAAAUUUGGGGAUUGGAAUACUAAACUAGAACUAAACUUUAGCUACUCCUAAUGCAUAAGGUAAAAACGAGAAAUAGACUUGAUUUGAUCGAUUGUUGGGGGUUCAAUCAGUUGUAGACCUUCAUCUAUAUAAAGGGGGAGGUCUGGAUCCGCUUCAAACCGUUUCCCGAGUUAAUCCCGCAGUUUUAGGUAACAAAUCCCGCGAGAAACUAGGAACCCUAAUUGACUCUGCGCACGCGUGGGCAGUCCGCGCCACCACCGCGGACCGUCCGGCCUCAGGGCCGGCCCGUCCGUGAGCUCCUUUUGGUGUCCAACAUAUGCCCCCUUGCCUUUUGGUGAAGGUUGACGAACCAAAAGCAUAUGAACUAAAUCUGAUGUAAGUCACCAGCUUUUCAAAAUGGAGAUCAUUCAAUAAAGCACUAAUGUAUAAAGGCCGUUUCGGAAUGUAUCUUCCUCGGCCACGACCAUUUGAUCAAUGGAUCAAAAGGAAUAUAAUAGAGGUGCCCCCAGUCUGGAUAGACAAAGGGACUAUACAUGUGCCAUGGAUUCAUCGUCGUACCAUUCCAUAUUUGAACAGGAUAAUAUACCGAUGAUGAAUAAACGGGUGUAAAGUACCCUGGUCUCAUAGGAUGAACAAGCGAUGCUUGUUGUGUCGCCUUUUGGGCCAUUUUGUUCGGCCGUUUCGUUUUAGCAGGUAACCGGGGUUUCUUCGUUGACCGAUCACAUGGAACAGUCUUCUUGCUAGCAUUUUUUGCUAGCAAUUGAUCGAAAGUAGGGCCGAUAUUUACUAGCCGACCAUGUGCGUCGUGUUGUCUUUGACCUCGCGUCUCUUUCCUUGCUUUGUGUGUACGCUGACGCCUCUGGCCAUGGGCGGCCUGUCUGGCUGAGCCAGUCGGACCAUCUUGAUGAGCACCGGACUGCCCGCACAUAGGUGCCAGACCGUCCGUGAUGCUCAGGUCAGGUUGUCGUGCCCAACUCCUUAAUUGUGUCUGACCCCCGGCGCUUCCGGAUUUGUUAGUCUUAUUGUCCAGAGCUUUUCGAGCAACCUCCUUCUAUGAUAUAUUUGACACGCGAGGAUCGUCAAUGAUGAUGUCUUUGCUUUUGCUUUUAUCGGCCAUUUCGGGCCGAACUAAGACCUUUUCGCAUGCGACAUCUAUUGUAUUAACAGGAAAUGGCUGUGUGUCUACUUGCAUUUCCUGAAAAGCCAACCGGCCCUCAUUUAUGGUCGUUGUACCUAUCGACGAAAAACAUUAUAGUCAUUGGUGGCAUGAGAAAAAGAAUUAUGUCACUUACAAUAAGCACGUCUCUUUAAUUCAUCUAUAGGAGGGAUAGUAUGAGUUAAUUUAAUGUUGCCAUUUUUAAGUAGCUCAUCAAAUAUCUUAUCGCAUUUGGCAACAUUAAAGGUAAAUUUAAUCUCAUCUUGUCGAUUCUUUUGAACCAGCUGUAAGGAAGAACAUGCUGAAGAUUUGGCCUUUGUUGGACAAAUAAACUCUGCGGUAUAUACAUCUGCGGAUUCAUCAUCUGAACUAUCACGCUCAAUUAGAUGUAUAGUACGAACAGCCGAUUUUGAUGUCUCUUUAAAUCAGUUUUCACAAGCUAAAGCCCGCUGAUGUAGUUGGGCUAUCGAAAAGAACUGAGUCCCAUCUAAUUUGUCUUUUAAGUAGGAUAGCAACCCAUUAAAAGCUAACCCUGCUAGCUCUUUGUCUGUGACAUGGAUCCAAAAGCAUCGGUUUCUAGUGUCCUGGAACCUCCGGAUAUAAUCAUUAACCCAUUCUUCGCGUCCUUGGUGGACUGAAGCUAAGUCAGCUAGCCCUAAUUCAUAUUCCCCAACAAAGAAAUGUUCAUGAAAUUUACUUUCUAACUCAUUCCAGAAAUUAAUGGAAUUAGGAGGCAGGGCGGCGUACCAUGCAAAAGCGGUACCGGUAUGGGAUAAAGAAAAUAACCGAACACGAAAUGCUUCUCCAUUGGCCAAUUCACCUAGGUGUGCUAGGAACUGGCCUAUGUGUUCGUGUGUGCUUCUCCCAUGCUCACCAGAAAACUUAUAAAAUUCCGGUAUCCUUGCCCCUUUGUGGAUAUGGGUCAGCGUCAAACCGUUGAUUAUACGACUUUUGUUAUGAUUGCCCCACUCUGGCUAAACUAACUCCGAACUUAUCUCGAAAUAGUUUAGUCAUGUCUUCCCAAAUUUUUUUCCAUUGCACCCGGUGGCAAACCACCAGAUCCUGGGCUGUGGGGCUCAUUUGGUCGGGUAUUAGUAUACCGACCUUCUUGCCAUGACCGAUCGAUAGUGUUGAUCGGUCUGUGAUUGUAUGGUGUGUUAUGGUUUAAAUAUGUAGAGGGCGAAACAUACUGCUCCUGUGGUGUGUAAUAAUUUGGUGCAUGGUGUGCAACAACAGGUUCUGCAUAUGCGUAUCCAUUUUGUCCGGUGGUAAAUCCAAACUGACCGGUUGCGUUCGCCAUUAUCGGAACGCCACGUGGUAGUCCUGGUGCGGCCCCGGACUGUCCGGCAGGGAAAGUCGGACGGUCCGCAUAAGGGCCGGACGGUUCGGGCAGAAGCUCGGACGGUCCGACCGCGUCCAGGGUUGCCGAUCUGCCAAUCAGGGACGGCGGUGGUCCUAGGGCGGUCCCGGACUGUCCGGCAGAGCAAGCCGUACGGUCCGCGUAUGGGCCGGACGGUCCAGGAAGAGGCACGGAUGGUCCAACUGUGUUCAGGGGCACCGAUCUGCCAUGCAGGGACGACGGUGGUUGUAUUUGCCCUGAAUAUGAGUUCAUCGGCAUACCAUAUAAAGGUUGGGGCUGCGAAUCCCCAUUUGUUGUCGAUGCAUCAGACAUAAAUACCCUAUUACUAGUUUCAUAUGAUGGAAAACUAGGAGCAACAGACUUUUCCAACGUACGUGUUAAUUUUCUAAUUGACUCUUCUAACCCUAUAAUCUGUUGUUUCAUUUGAUCCUGCCGCUGAUCCACAUAAUAUUUAAUAGAUUGAAUAUCGUCGGGUUUACUUACGUUGGGGACUUGAAUCGAAGAUAGAAGAGAUGCGACGUCGGUCUCUCCAUGUUUGAUAACCUUUUGGUGGCGAUCCACUGUGUAUUGUGGUAAGAAUUUCUCCUUCGCUUGACGCAUGUAGUCCUCAUAUUGUUAUUGCUCAUCGGCCGUUAGAUUUUCAACAGUCGUCUUGAGGAUAUUAUCUGAGGAGAUAUCGGUAUGAUCUUUAGAACCGGCCACUUGAGGGCCUGAUUUUUAGUAGAUCUAGACACCAGAUUCCCCAACGGAGUCGCCAAAAAUAUGUUGACACCUUUUCGGGCGCCAAUUACUAUAACGAGAACCGGUGGCGGUGCCCUCUGUAGAGGCGCGAACGGUCCGCGACCAGGGCUCGGAUAGUCCGCGACCUGGUACAAGGGCUUGGGUUCCCUGCCUGACGGCCGGACGGUCCGUGCGUGCGCAGGGGCGGCGAAGGUUGCCGGCGGCGCCUGGAUCUCGCUCUCGGGAGGGACCCCGUCGGGGAGGAGAGAUCCUAGAUGUUGUCUAGGCUCGGCAGGUUGACCUAGACUACUCUAAUCGACGUAGAGCCGAAGAGAAGCGGAAAAUUUGGGGAUGGAAUACUAAACUAGAACUAAACUAGAGCUACUCCUAAUGCAUAAGGUAAAAACGAGAAAUAGAUUUGAUUUGAUCGAUUGUUGGGGGUUCAAUCGGCCGUAUCCCUUCAUCUAUAUAAAGUGGAGGUCUGGAUCCGCUUCAAACUGUUUUUCGAGUUAAUACCGUGGUUUUAGAUAACAAAUGCUGCGAGAAAAUAGGAACUCUAACUGACUCUGCGCACGCGCGGGCAGUCCGUGCCACCACCGCAGACUGUCCGGACCGUGGACCGUCCGGCCCGUCCGCGAGCUCCUUUUGGUGUCCAACACAUGUAUUUGAUUUCAGCAAAGCAAUUGCAUAUAAAUACAUAAUAUAUGUUUGUGGCCCACCUAAGAUCCAACUAAACCAUUGACCAACGGUAUAGAUUAUCAUGACGAAGAUUCCUUUAAUUUUCUUUUUGCAAUAAAAUAGCUAAAGAUAAUAAAGACAGGGAGAGGCACUUGCCGGUGUUGUUGACGUUGACGACGACGCCGGUGAGAGUAGACUCGAACGACCAAGAAAGGAUCUGGUGUCGUUCGAUGAAAUCACCGGUGGCUCCCGAGAAACCGACCGCGGCGUAUGGCGGCAGCCCGGCGUCCUUGAAGUCCACGAUCGCGCUGACGUUGUAGAGGCCCAGCUGCGGCAGAUCGUCGAACCGAAGGGUCGCCGACAGCGUGCUCACGUUGGCGUCGUAUCUGACCCACGCCGACAUGGUCCCGUUGAAGCUCCCGUCCGGCAGCGGCGUGUACGCACGGGACGUGAUGCUUUUGACGUCCACGCCAAUAUGGUUCAUGGUGUUGUUGGGGUCCCAGUCGUUCCUGAACGCGUCGAACUCCACUGCGAUGGUCGGCGGGAAGUCAAUGUUCGUGCCGAUGGGGUUGUUGAAGAGACCGAGGAAGCCGCCGUUGGAGUCCUCCGGCAGUUUUGGGGGCCACGGCCCGACGUAGAACGCCAUACCGUCGGCCUGCAGUGCGCAGCAAGUGUCACCUUCAUUCCAACGAGUGCUCGGAGCUUACCAAGCUGGGAACACGGAGAAAGCUUAAAGAGAAGUUUUUUUGGGUAAGUUGCCUGAUUGGUGCUGUUGUGUGGCUUGAUAGCGAAGGUGAAGUUGGAGGUGAAGCUGGCGACCUUGGCGGUAUCGUCCCAGAGCUGCAAAGGCUGCCCGUACGCCACCCGGCCGGUGCUCCAGAUCGCGUCCUUGGUCAGGUCGAUCCGAUCGGUGCCUCGACUGCCGUUAGACAUGUACUUGAUGUUUGCGCUAGUGAGAACGCCGGGGAUGGAGAAGUUGUAGUCGAAGCUAAUCGAGGUGACAUGGGCAAUACACAGCAGGUAGACGAAGCUGAGGAGGGGAGUGCUCUUGGCCAUGGCCGGGUGCUAACAGCUCUUUGUGCAAGUAUGUACACUACGGGGUUAUUAUGAUAAAACUCCGAUCGGUGGGAGGUAAACUCACGCGAACACACAGUGGAUACAAUCGUAUUUGUUGCUGUCGAAGGGCUGCUUACUCUCUAUUUAAAAGAAAAAACAAACGUCUGUACAUGGGAAUAGAAGACCGAGGCAAUCACGGCAUAAUCAUGAUUGAUGGUUGCCAUCCCAAUCACCUAGACGUUGCCGCAAUCUUUGCCCUGCCGCUAAUGGCGCUAGCCGCCUGUUACUAUCUAUAGUUAGCUUGUGGACUUAUUCAAACAUUCUCGUCCUAAGUCCUAGAGCAACUACUUUAAUUUCUUCAUGCCGAUCUGACCACGAAGCUCAUGUAACCGAGUGUGCCCAAGUGCUUUUGUCAGUAUGUCACCUAGUUGUAGCUCAGUGCCGACGAACUCGACGUCGAUCAGCUUCCUGUCACAGCACUCCUGGAUGAAGUGAAACUUCACGUCAAUGUGCUUACUCCGGUCGUGACGCACAUGGUUCUUCAUCAAAGCAAUGGCGGACUUGUUGUCCACCUUGAGCUUGGGAGCGAGUACCGCUCCUACGAUGAGCUCAGCCAGCAGCCGUGCCAACCAGACUGCUUCGCACGCGGCCGCAGCGGCUGCGAUAUACUCCGCCUCACAAGAAGACAGAGCAACAACCUUUUGUUUCGCCGAUUGCCAAGCAACCGGCCCUCCAGCCAGGAAGAAGAUGAGACCGUUGGUGCUCUUUUGGUCAUUGACAUCUCCUGCCAAGUCACUGUCAGAGUAACCCAGCAGCAGUGGCGCUCCUUCAUUCUUCCUCCUCGGAUGGUAGUGCAGGCCCCAGUGCAGCGUGCCUGCGACAUACCGAAGAAUACGCUUGACUGCAGCAAGGUGCUCUUGACGCGGCGCCUCCAUCAAUCGGCUAAGAUAUCCCACCGGAUACGCCAAGUCCGACCUAGAGUUGCACAGGUACCUGAGACUGCUGAUAAGACUGCGAUAUUCUGUGACAUCCACACUCGGUGUCGUCCCCUCCUUGAGCAGCUUCAGCUUCGGCUCCAUGGGUGUGGCACUGGCAUUGCAGCCAGCUAAGCCCGCCUUCUUGAGCACUUUGGUGGCGUAGGCGCUCUGACGCAGCGUGAUCCCUUGUGCUACCUGGGUGACCUCGAGCCCCAGGUAAUAGGAGAGGAGCCCAAGAUCACUCAUCUUAAAGAUCUUCUGCAUCUGCACCUUGAACUUCGCCACAGCUCCUGCAUCGCCACCUGUGAUCAACAUAUACGCCCACGAUCAGGCUUGCUUCUCCCUUGCCUCAGUGUACAUUCCAUGCUCAUCAACACAGCGCGCGAAGCCAAGGGCCAGCAGCUCGGCAUCAAGCUUCUGGUUCCAGGCGCGUGGGGCUUGGCGAAGCCCGUACAAAGCUUUGUGAAGCCAGAGCACCUUAUACUUGUGCUUGUCGUCGACGAAGCCAGGGGGUUGCUGGACGUAGACUUCUUCUUGGAGCUCCCCGUUCAAAAAAUGACGACUUCACGUCCAUGUGAUGGACAACCCAGCCGUAGUGGGCUGCAAUGGCGAGUAGCAAGCGCACAGACUCCUGUCGUGCAACCGGCGCGAAGACCUUGUAGAAGUCGACGCCAGGCUGCUGCACAUAGCCCUUGGCAACGAGGCGGGUCUUGUACUUGACAAUGUUGUCAUUCUCAUCACGCUUGACUUUGUACAUCCACUUGAGGCCUAUGGCACGGUGACCACGCGGGAGCUCGGCCAGCGACCAUGUCUUGUUGUCACGGAUCGACGCCAGCUCCUCCUCCAUCGCGGCAACCCAAUUUGGGUCACCAUCGGCCUCCUUCAAGGUCCUGGGUUCCUCCACGCUCACGACAUGUAGCUUAGCCUCCUCGUCAUGGUGCACCAGCCCGGGCGCUGCACCCACGCUAUGGAUGUUGUCCAGCGUCCGGUACCAGAGCUCCCUCUUUCCUUUGUCAUCAGUGUCGAAGUUUAGGUCGGUGGUGAGCAGCGUCGCAAACUUGAUGAGUGGGCCGGCAGCAGGUGUUGCUAUCCGCGGAGUCACAGCUCGUGGAGCAGUCAAUGGUGAAGUAGGUGUAGACGUCGUGCCCGGUGCAGCCUGUGUGCUUGUAGAAGGUGGUGUGCCCGGUGAGGACGGUGUCCCCAACGAUGAUGACAUGGGUACAACCACCUCAUCGUGGCUCCUCAGGUUGUAGUCGUACUCCAUCGUGAAGGAGUCCUCGCUCCCUAUCGUCAAUGCUUCUCCCUAGUUCCAGCGCGCGCUCUCGUCAAAAAUAGCGUCGCAUGAGACAUGGACGCGCUCGGUGACGGGGUCGUAGAAAUGAUACGCCUUUGACCCGAACUGGUAGCCGAUGAAGACGACCUUCUGCCCGCGGUCAUCGAGCUUGCUGUGGUGUGGACGCAGGUUCUUGAUGUAGGCAACACACCCGAACACCUUGAGGAAGCGCACGGGCGGCUUCUUCUUGUACCAUGCCUGGUACGGUAUCAGCCCGUCGAGCACGCUGGUGGGCGCCUGGUUGAGGAGGAAGACAACAGUAUGUACCGCCUCUCCCCAAAAGUACCCUGACAUGCUCCAUGCACGUAGGAUACUCCUCGCCGUGUUCACUAUCAUCUGGUUUCGCCGCUCUACAACGCCAUUUUGUUACGGCGAGUACGGCGCUGAGUAGUGCCGUUGGAUGCCUUCUCCUGCAUAGUAUUUGCCAAACUGCAAAUAUGUGAACUCACCACCAUUGUCGGUACGAAGUACCUUCAGCUUCUUGCCGGUUUCACGCUCAACACGCGCCUGGAACACCAUGAUUGCUGCUGGUGCAUCUGCCUUUGACCGCAACAGCGUGAGCCACAUGUAACGGCUCAUGUCGUCGACCAACAACAGGAAGUAGGCAUUCCUGGCCGGUGUAGGUGGCGAGAUCGGGCCACAGAGGUCACCAUGUACGAGUUCGAGCUCCUCCUGAGCCCAGUACUUGGCAGCCUGCGAGAACGGCGUCCUCUUUUGUUUUGCUAGAACGCAGUCCUCACAGGCUUGGUCGACGCGGUCAAUCGCCGGUAACCCAUGCACCAUGUCCGCACGUCCGAGCUUGCACAGCGACUAGAAGUUGAGGUGACCGUAGCGAUCAUGCCAGCGCCACACCACGUCGCCAACCCACGCAGUGAGACACACUAGGGCAGCGAUGUUCAUGUCGAGGAAGUACAGCUGGCUAGGUGAUCGAUGCACUUUCGCCAGUAGUUUGCGCUGCAGGUCGUAGAGGCGUAGUACGCCCGACUCGAUGGCGACCUUGAACCCGUCCUCGUCCAUAUGGCCGAGGCUCAUGAUGUUGGUGGUGAGGCGCGGGAUGUAGUAGACCCCAUCAAGACGACGGUGCUCGUCGGACUUGCACACGCAGAGGACAGUGCCCUUGCCCUUGAUGUCGACCACCGACCCGUCGCCAAAUUUUACAGUGCCGAUGAAAGCGGUGUUCAGCUCGGCGAAGACAGCCCGCGAGUCUGUCAUGUGAUUCGUCGCAGCAGUGUCGAGCACCCAGCGGCGAGAAAUCGUAGUCUCCUCCUGGCUGAGAUGGAGGAGCACCUUCAGUUCAUCGAGGUGGACAUGAACCGAUAGCUUGACGAGGUGCAGCGGUGACCUGUGAGGUGAGCACGACAUUGUUACCUCGGCAUCGGCGGCGAUGUACAUGAGCGCGUGCUCAUCUUCCUCGACCUGCGCGACAUGAGCCGCGCCCUCACUACACGACGGUUCACUUACAGCGACCUACGGUUGGUUGCUAAAACGGCCUUCAGCGACCUACGGUUGGUCGCUAAAAACUUUUAGCGACCCAUAAGGAUGGUCGCUGUAAGUGCCGUCGCUAAAGGCUUUAGCGACCGACAUCUUUUUAGCGACCGACCGUCCGUUGCUAAUAUUGUAUAUUUAGCGACCAACCGUGGGUUGCUGUACUAUAGAUUUAGCAACCAACUGUAAGUCGUCAUACUAUACAUUUAGCAACCAACAGAAAGUCGCCCUUUUUACAGUUGUUAUUAAUAAUAAUAUACAUUUAAUUAAGCACCACAAAUCACAUAUUUUUAUACACAAAUCAUAAAGACAUACGCAGUUAAUCAGUAUACCACAAUCAUAGAUCCAUCACAUAAACACAAAAGCACCACAAUUAUAAAUUCACAAAAGCAUCAUAAUUAUAAUAUCAUUCACAACUAGAUCAGUUAUGGAUAGCUAGCUAGAUCAUUCACAAAAGCUCCAGAGAUGAUCAGUCACAAAAGCACCACAGCGACAUCACUCCAGCUUGAAGUAGUUCAAAAGCCCACAACUACAUCACUAAUGUUUUAUAUCACUCCAGCUAUUGUUCAAAAGCCCACAACUACAUCACUCUAGCUGCUCCAGAGCUGAUCAGUCACAAAAGCAUUUGUUCACUCUAGUAGCUUUUGAUGCUCUAUUUUCACACCCAUAGCAGAACCUUGCAACUAGCUCAAAUGACUUGGCACCCCAGGAAUGUCAUUUAGUUUGAUGAUGCAUUCUUCUUGGUCAGAAUUUUCUUCAAUUGACCAUUCAAGAAAGGCACUUUUGAAAGUAAAGGGAACUGCAAUGAAACAGACACUGUUAUGGAGGAAAUAAUCAACAUGUAAAAAGGUUAAUUAAAGGCAUACAAGGCAAGAAAGUGAAGCAAAAGCAUUGGAACAGAAAUAAAAGGUUAUAACCAUUUUCAUAUUCUUUCAUAAAUGCCAGUAGAAGAAGCUUUACACAGGAAAUACCAAGUCAAACAAAGUAUGAUGAAAGUUUCAUUCAAAGCAAGGAACUGUUAAUUGUUGCAACAGGAUAUGGACAGAGAACAUUUGCUAGACGGGAACAAGCAGCAAAAGGGAUAUAACUAUUUUUGCUUUAUUUCUUGCACACACCAGGAAAAUACAGGAAUCCAGAAUAUGACCAGGAAAAAACGACAGUACCUUAUGAAGGUGGAAAGACAUAUCCCCAACCUCAACGGUGACAUCGCUAGGAAGUCAUGUUGUGCAGAACCUAAAAGGUUCACAAGCAUAAAAACAAUCGAAAUUCAGAUAAAUUUGUGUAUUCAGUAAGAACUGGAAAAUGAGACUCCUUAUGGUAAAAACAAUGAUGGGUGGCCACCUAGUGGUUAAUGCCAAUUUCAAAUUAUUUGUACAACCUAUUCCUGCAUAUAAACAAUUCGAGCGAUGUCCUAUAUAUUGCAGAGUCAGGUGUAGAUAUAUAUAUAUAGAGAGAGAGAUUUUGCAAUAUAUUUCUCACAAAAACACACAAUAUAUACCAAACAGGCGUUAAGAUAAAAGCACAUGUUUUUGUUGUAUACUACCACGAGCACAAAAUCACGAUGAUCCCUCUAAGUACAGGCACAUCACUUCCCAAACUAAUAGGUUUAGAGCACACAUUAAGAAAGAAAAAACUCAACCAUAUGCAACUAGACAUUUGGAGAAACAUUUCAAAUGCCACAAGUCUUCAUCACUCAAGAAUCAAAAACUAAUAAUUCCUACUUAGCCAAACAAGAACAAAAUCAAGUGCUCAAUUGCAGAUUUUCUGGACAGCACACAGUAAUCAAUUGUUUUGUUCAUAACUCACAAAAUAUUCAUCCAAAAAUAGUGAACUAAGACUUUCUGGAAAGCCUAAGAAAUCCUAUACAACUUUGGUAUUAUCAUCACUAUGAGAUUAGACACUUAAAAAGGUCAAUCAGUAUUAAAUGAUAAUGCUGUCCAGAUUUGGACGGAAUUCGACUACUCACUUCAAAACUCCAUAACUGGAGAUUUAGGCAUCCAAAACAGGUGAUCCAAGAAUUUCUAGAAAGCUUAUAAAAUUGUCUACAACUCAUUUAUAAACAUCUUAGGUUGUAUGAAACACCCGACUAAAUAUGAUCUUGGGAAGCAUGACUAGAUCAUACCAAAGUUCCUAGUAGAAGCGACAGCACAGAUCCAAUCUUGAGAUAAGAUGCAUGCUUCUACUCAGAUAAACAUACCUUAAAUAUGGGUUCCACUUUGCUGAUCCGCAAAACUAUUAACCCACCGAAAGGCCUCGUGCGGAGAAGAGGAUACGAACUUCAAGUCCGUUUGGGUUCUUCUAGGCUUCAUAAAGCAGGAGAGUCCACUGGAUAUUUUUUCAAGAGGACAAGCAUGCACGGUGAAAUACCGGAGACCAGAAUUAUAUGAUACCUGCACGGUCAUUUCAUAUAUAUUGAACUGGUUCCAAAUGUUGUGGAGUGUGGACACAGUAGAAGUGAAAAUUAUAGACGCGAGUUUUGCAAGUCAAUGAGAUAACUUACAGAUACAAUAUCCUCAAGCUUAAGGAUGUUAGAACCCCAUAUUAGGGCUUCAGUGCUGAGCCUAGCAUCAAAGCAAUUGCUACUAGAUCCUGAUCCAGACUGUUCAUUUGAUGAACUUUUUGUUUUGUUAUCUAAUGUAAGCUUUCCAGAAUAAAUUUCAGACCCUAGCAAAUCAGAUUUCUCAUCUUCAAUUCUGAUAGUAUGUGUGCUCAGCUUUUCUGAAUCCUUGAUGGCAUCAUCAACAUCCUUUUGCUUUGAGAAUAUUGAUGAGUUGCUUGUUUCUGGAGAUACAGGAGAAGGUUGUUGGUCAGCUGCAGUGGGAGAACGCUUGCUAUUUGUACGACGAAGUAUCUUAUGGAUUAACCCUCUUAGUGAAGUUAGCUUCUGCUCAUGAUGAUCAGACUUCUGCAUCUCUGACUUCUAAGGAUAUAUCCAGUACAUGGAUAACAUCGGGAGAUGUUGCAUGUUAGAAAACAUAUGAAGCAUCACUUAGGGAAGCUCAUGAGAAGCCCACUCAUGACUGAACCUGUAAAUUGUGAGUUUGUGACUGGACAUCAGCUUUACAAAAGGAUGUUCUAAGUUAUUAAACAAUAAAACAAAUGCUAAAAGCAUAUGUAAUCUAAUCUGACUAAAAUAUUAUAAGUUUUUAAAUGACUGUUAGUAGAUGUACAUGCACCUAAAUAGCCCCAAAAGUUUAGAUUUCUAGGGUCAUACAGUUUAAGAAGCCAUGACUGAGUACUGACUUUACUGCCAUCUGAAGCACCCCUGGCGUGGUGUUCUCCGCACUCGAUCGGCUCUGAUCCAAUCCACCCCGACGCGUGACGGAGAGAGCACGCACGUACAAGCAGCAGGCGUGACGCGAUGCUGCACACGGACACGGCAAGCACAUCAUUACAUCAACGCAUCGCCGUGAACUCGUGACUCAUGAACUGGCAUUGCCGUCGGCGUCGCCCCUGCACACGCUGCCAUCCCCGUCCACCUGGCCCUUGUGCUCCAGAGCCGGCCGCCCCAUCCUCUGCGCCCGCACGCAACGCCGGGAGCGAGGCCGAGGCGUCGGUGGCGUGGCACUGGCACACGGUGCGGUACGUCCGUCCGGUCUGGUGCCGGUGCCAGCAUCCAACGCGGCACUAUCCGUGUCCUCAUAGCUGCAGGGCAGGCAGCAGCCGCUGUCCAUGGCGCCACAUGCGCUGCACCUGGAGCCGUCCGUCGUCCCCGUCGCCUCGCAACGCAUUAACAAGUGCCCCGAUUCCACGGUCGACGGUCGGCCCUGCGAUGCCCGGGGACACCGUCAUGUGCAGCUCACAUGCUCCUAACCCCAGGCUGUACUGUGCCUCGCUUGCCCAGCCAGCCAGGGCCCAGAGUUUAGAUUUCUAGGGAGUUAGGGUUUGGGUGCUCGGUUUGGCACCGCAGGAAGGGAAGACGGGGUUGGGAGUACCUGGUGGUGCUUGUCGCCGGCGAAGGGUCUCAAGAAGACCUGGGCACAUGCCGCCCAGUCGUCGCCAAGAGGAGAGAGAGGGGGGGCGUCGGCCACCAAGAAGGGGAGGGCGCCAUGGGAACCAGGGAGGAGAUGGUGAGCAGAGGGGGGGGGCGAGCUGCAGCACCAGAGAGAGGGCGUGAGGGAGAUGAGAGGGGCGGCGGUGGGAAGAUGCCAGGGAGAGGGUGGAGACAGGGACGACGUGGGAGAGAGAGUUAGGUAGAUGGGCCCUAGUGGGCCUUAGGGAUAGGGAGGGUUUUCUUUUUUUAUUUAUUUCGAAAUGUAUUUUUAAAUUACUCAAAAAUUCAUAAAAAAUUUACCAAAUAAAUACUAAACAUUUGAAUAAAUUAUUAUAAAUGCAAAUAAAUAAUAAACAUUUGAAACGAUUUUCAACUCGAAUCUAAUAUCAUAUAAGCACAAAGAACACAAUUGCAUACUAUAGUCAUGUCCAUACAUAAACAAACCAUGAAAUAAACAUACAAGCAAUAUUAAAAAGAAAUAAAUCAUCACAUAAUUUAGCGAUCAAUGUUUACUUGUUUUAAUUAAUUUUUAGUCACUAACAUCUACAGGUACGUUCAGGCUAUAAGAUUAGAUAGUGAUCCUUGCUCUAUAGCGACCCACUGCUAGUCCCCGACGACAUCUAUAGCGACCAACCAUAAGUUGUUACAUUUCUAGACUUUUAGCAACCAACCGACCGUUGCUACAAAAGGAUUUAGCGACUGAUCGCCGGUCUCUAACCUUUAGCAACCAACAGUUGGUACCUAAUAAGGGUCGCUAAAGAUCAACCGUCGUGUAGUGCCUUCUUCCACCCGCGGCAAUUUUUGGCCCAAUGGCCAGUUUUGCCGCAGCUGUUGCAGCGAUCGCUCGGGGGCGGCUUGCUGCCAGCAUGCCUGGUCGCUGUGUUCUGGCCGUCACGGCCGCCGCCGCCUCGUCCGCGUCCGCGUCCAUGGCGCUUGCCGCGGCCGCUAGACCCAGAUCCGCUCCCUGAGUUUUCCUGCUCACGGUAACUUUUGCGGCAGGCCUCCCAGUCCUCCUCACAGAGCAUCAGGCGCCCCAUGGCGUCCGUGACCUCCUUGGGCUUGGAGCGUUCCUCGAACACGAGCAGCCGUCCGACGACCUCCUCGAUCGACACCUUGUUCAGAUCGAGGAACAUCUCGAGGGAGACCGUAGCCUGCGACAGGCUCUGGGACUACCUGCAACAUUUUCUUCACUACCUCGGCAUCCAAGAUGUUGUCCCCGAGGGUGCAAAGAUUGGUGGCAAGCGUCAUGAUGCGGAUUCCGAACUCGGUGACGCUCUCCCCCUCCUUGAAGGCAAGUAUACCGAAUUCACGGCGGAGUUGCUGCGCGCUGGCGUCGCGCGCGCGAUCGUCCCCGAUCUACAGUACCUUGACCGCGUCCCACGCCUCCUUCACGCUCCGCUUGCGGGCGAGGGUGCUCCACAUCUUGGAGGGGACUGAGCGUAGAAGGCCGGCCAUCGCCUGACGGUCGUCAUGGUACUCACCUUCGUCGGGGUCUUCGUCGAUGUUGAGGUGGACGGCGUCCCAUACAUGGAGUUUCUAGAAAUUCACCUCCAUCACCAAGGCCCAUUCUGAUAGUUGGUCCGGGUCAGCAUCGGCCACGCGACGUUCGCGGUAGAUCGCUCGAUGAUGCGCUCAACGAUGCGCGAUCCGGAGUCCCGGUGGCGCGAGCGGCGGCUGCUCGAGCGAUCACGAUGACGUGGCGGCGAACGUGAUGGCUGGACCUUCUUCUCGCCAGAGUCAUCACCGGUCUGUAACUUCUUCUUGAGAGGCGACUGCGAUACCAUGACUACGACGGAACUCGGCUCUGGUACCAAUUGAUAAAACUCCGAUCGGUGGGAGGUAAACUCACGCGAACACACAGUGGACACAAUCGUAUUUGUUGCUGCCGAAGGGCUACUUUUCUCUGUUGAUUGUACUCUCUAUUUAAAGGAAAAACAAGCGUCUGUACACGGGAAUAGGAGACUGAGGCAAUCACGGCAUAAUCAUGAUCGAUGGUUGCCAUCCCAACCACCUAGACGUUGCCGCAAUCUUUGCCCUGUCGCUAAUGGCGCUAGCCGCCUGUUACUUUCUAUAGUUAGCUUGUGGACUUAUUCAAACAUAUUAAAGCACACCACGAUACACAACUGCAACCAACACCGAGGAACUUUCAGUCGCGAUGUAACUCUUGCGUCGUUUCACCGAAAUUAAAUUUUCGCCAGCUGACAACUUACCAAAAAAUUAAAUUAUUAUUUUUGGUUGAUAAUAGUAAAGAAUAUCAGAGGCGCUGGAAGAGAUUGGAAAACACCGUGAUGCCCCUGGCCGGUGUGCUGCAUGUUUAUAUAUGGGCAAUAACAACCAUUGUCGUGGUUUACAUUUGGAUAAUCAUGAGUCUGUUUCAGAUAAUCACGCAGAGUUGGUUACACGAGAUAAACUCUAAUACAACCGACUAUAUGAGAUAAGAUUGAUAUACUAACUCCGCGUUAUCUGUUACAGGCGUUUUGCUUUACACGCCCCCUCAAUCACAACUUUCUCAAGUUGAGAUUGUAUUUAAAGUUUUCUAAUUUCUUCACUGUAAGAGCUUUGGUAAAACCAUCUGCAAUUUGAUCUCCUGUGGGAACAUAGUCAAUGUCCAGUAAUUUCCUGGCGACACGCUCCCUAACAAAAUGAUAAUCCACCUCAAUGUGUUUUGUUCUGGCAUGAAAGACAGGAUUAAAUGAUAAAUACUUGGCACCCAUAUUGUCUACCCAAAGUUUUGCGUCUGAGGGGCUUGAAACUUUCAGUUCAUUCAAGAGAGUUUGAAUCCACAUGAUCUCAGCUGUGGCAUUAGCUAGAGCUUUAUAUUCUGCUUCAGUGCUGGAUCGAGAUACUGUAGCUUGCUUCUUUGCAUUCCAUGACACUAAAUUAUUUCCAAGAAAGAUAGCAAAACCUCCGGUGGAUCUCCUGUCAUCGAGGCAUCCUGCCCAGUCUGCAUCUGAAAAUCCGCUCACUAGAAAGGAGGAAGAUUUGCACAAGCUUAGCCCAAGACUAAUACUAGAUUUAACAUAUCUCAAAAUUCUUUUUACUGCUGUCCAGUGAGAUGUGGUUGGAGCAUGUAGAAAUUGGCACACUUUGUUUACUGGAAAUGCAAUAUCUGGUCUUGUUAAGGUCAAAUACUGCAGGGCCCCAACUACACUUCGAUACUGAGUAGCAUCAUUUGGCCCAAGUAGAGAACCUUCAUGAAGAUGUAAUUUUUCACUUGUGGAUAACGGAGUACUCUCAGGUUUACAAUUCGCCAUGUUUGUCCUCCAUAGUAAAUCAGUUGCAUAUUUUUCCUGUGUUAACAGUAUACCGUUUUGUGUCUUGUUUACCGCUAUACCAAGGAAGUAGUGAAGAUUCCCUAAGUCCUUUAGAGCAAACUCUUCCUGCAGAUUUUUCAGUAGUGCUGAAACAGCUUCUUGCUUUGAGCUUGCCACAAUUAUGUCAUCUACAUAUAUAAGGAUAAACAUAGACACAUCUUUGCUAUUAUAGAAAAAUAGGGAAGUGUCGGCCUUGGAACUUCUAAAACCAAGAUCAAAAAGUUUCUUACUCAACCUUGCAUACCAGGCUCGAGGAGCUUGUUUUAGACCAUAAAGAGCUUUGUCUAGUUUGCAAACAUAACUUGGCUUCUCUUUGUCCUCAUAUCCAGGAGGUUGUUUCAUGUACACUUCCUCUUCAAGGAUUCCAUGAAGAAAAGCAUUUUGCACAUCCAAUUGACGAAGAGACCACCCCCUAGAGAUAGCAAUAGAGAGAACAAUCCUGAUAGUAGUUGGCUUGACCACAGGGCUAAAACUGUCCUCAUAAUCAAUACCAUACCUUUGUUUAAAUCCUUUUGCAACCAGGCGAGCUUUAUAUCUAUCUAAGCUUCCAUCUUGUUUUCUUUUAAUUUUAUAAACCCAUUUACAGUCAAUUAUAUUCCUGCCUUUUUGAGGUGGAACUAAGUGCCAGGUUCUAUUCUUUUCUAGUGCCAUAAAUUCAGCAUCCAUAGCAUUUUUCCAGUUUUUAUCACUCAAGGCGUCUUCUAAGUUUCGUGGUUCACCAGAAGUUGUAAGAAAAUUGUACUUGAUAGUGCCAUCAGUAUAAACUUUGGGCUUACGGAUUCCAUGUUGGAGACGUGUACUCGGGCGCCGCUGUUCCAUAUGCUGCGACUACUGUUGGUCCCCCCCGGGUGCAGAGGAUCCAAGAGGCGGGGCGUCCGUGGCUGCAGGCGGAUCGUGUAUGGCGCUCUCAUCCAACUGCAUGGCGGGCAGGGCAGCAUCGUCAACAGGAGCUGGCAUAGGUGACUCGGCCUCAGUACUUGGGCCGGAAGCAUCAUUUGACCCGGCUGUGUCCUGCACAGGUGGAGAGCUCAAAGCACAUGGAUUAGUAGUGUUAGUAGAACAUGUAGGCACAUGAUUAUCCACAUGUUGCCCCCCAUAACCGGUGAUAAUAUCAGAAUGUUGAAGGGAUGGAGGAAGAAGGGAAAUUUCUUGUUGGUGACGACGACCAGCAUUGGGGCGGAGAGAGGAGAAGGGAAAAAUUGUUUCAUCAAAGAUGACAUCCCUUGAAAUAUAGACUCGUCCUGAAGAAAGAUCAAGACAUUUGAAACCUUUGUGAAAAUUACUAUAUCCUAGAAAGACACAUUGACGGGAGCGGAAUUGAAGCUUUUGAGAAUUAUAGGGACGAAGGUUAGGCCAGCAAGCACAACCAAAAAUGCACAAAAAGGAGUAAUUUGGUUUUUGGUGAAAAAGACGCUCCAAAGGUGUUUCAUAAUUUAUGGUUUUGCUAGGAGUACGGUUGAUCAAAUAAAUAGCUGCAAGGAAGGCGUCAUCCCAGUAUUUCAGGGGCAUAGAAGCAUGAGCAAGAAGGGCUAGACCAACUUCAACAAUAUGGCGGUGUUUUCUCUCCGCCGACCCAUUCUGUUGAUGUGCAUAAGGACAGGAGAUAUGAUGGCUAAUUCCAACUUUAGCAAAGAAGGAAUGAAGUUUUUGAUAUUCUCCGCCCCAAUCGGUUUGCAUGGUUAUUAUUUUGCGAUCGAAAAGACGCUCAACGAGAGUCUGAAAUUCAACAAACUUUUGAAAGACUUCGGAUUUGAAUUUGAGAGGAUAAAUCCAAGUAAAUUUACUAUAAUCAUCGAUAAAACUGACAUAAUAUUUAUUGCCUCCUAUAGAGUUGGGUGCAUGACCCCAAACAUCAGAGAAAACGAGUUCUAAGGGAUGACUCGACACAUGACUUGACUUGGGAUAAGGUAACUGAUGACUCUUAGCCUUUUGAUAGGCGUCACAAACAGACUGUUUAUUCUUCUCACUAGAACAAGGGAGAUUAAAACGACGAAUAACUUUUUCUACUAUAGGAACAGAGGGAUGACCUAGACGACUAUGCCAUUUUUCAAUAGAUGGUCUAGUGGCUCCAUAUGCUUGCUUGGAUGAUGUCAAUGGCAAAGGAUAGAGCCCUUUGUGGCAGCGUCCUUUAAGCAGAGGUCUCUUCGUGGCCUGAUCCUUGAUCACAAAGAAAUUGGGAUGAAAUUCAAGAAAGGCUGAGUUAUCGGUGGCUAGUUUAUGAACUGAGACAAGAUUCUUUGUAACUUGAGGAACAUAAAGAAUGUUAUUGAGUUUAAGAUCACGGUUAUGAGUUGGAACAGUUGAAUAACCAAUGCGACUAAUGUUCAUACCUGCACCACUUGCCGUGUGGAUCUGAUCAUGGCCUCUGUAUUGGUCAUGUACUGCUAGCCUCUCAAGAUCUCCGGUGAUGUGAUCUGUGGCUCCAGUAUCUACAUACCAGUUUGAGUCUGCUCCAUAUGAUGUGGCUGCUGCCCCUGCAUAUUUUUCAUUGGGAACAAAAUUUUCGUCAAAGCGAUGCCAACACUUCAUUACCAGAUGUCCUCUUUUGCCACAGAGCUGGCACUUGGGCCUGCUGUCUUGUUGUGGAGCGUUUCUGUUGCCGAUGCCAAUCUGGCGAGACUGAGAUCCGCCAUGUCCUCGGCCUCUAGAAUCUCUACUUCCUCCACCACGGUUGCCGCUUCUUCCUCGGGAACUUCCUCUUCCACGGGUGGCAGCGUUGACGGAGUAGGAGUCUGACUCGCGUAGGAGAUCCAGCCGUUGCUCAUAACUGAGCAGUUGGGAGUACACCUCCCCAAUGGUGAGCGGAUCAGCUCGCGCGACGAGGGAGGUGAUGACCGGAUUGUAGUCGUAGUCGAGGCCGGUGAUGAUGUACGAAAUGAGCUCGUCGUCGUCGAUCGGCUUGCCGGAGUUUGCCAUCUCAUCUCCCAGGGCCCUCAUCUUGCCGACAUAUUCAGCAAUUGUGAGGUCCCCUUUCUUGGUGGUGGCGAGGGCGAUUCUUGUGUUGAUGGAGCGUGCCUUGGUCAUGGAGGAGUAAAUUGUUUCGAUGACCUUCCAGGUUUCUGUGGCAGUUUUGCAUGCCGCUACCUGGGUGAGGGCUUCCUUGGUCAUGGAUGACAGCAAGAAUCCUAGGACCUGUUGGUCUGUGGUCUUCCAGUCCUCCCAUGCCGGAUUGGGAACGUCGACGUCCUUGUCCUUGAUGGUGGUCGCCAGAGCUGCAGCAGCACCCGUGAGGUAACCCUCCAGGCGCACACCCCUGACGGCGGCUAGGACUUGCAUCUUCCAGAGUUGAUAGUUCCCCUUGGCCAGUUUCUCAGAAACAGCUUGACCGACGAGGGGAUUGAUAAUUGCAGCAGUGCUCGACAUGAUGAUUCUCUGGUGGAUUUUGGUGUUUAUGGAUUGGCUCUGAUUACCAUAAAGAAUAUCAGAGGCGUUGGAAGAGAUUGGAAAACACCGUGAUGCCCCUGGCCGGUGUGCUGCAUGUUUAUAUAUGGGCAAUAACAACCAUUGCCGUGGUUUACAUUUGGAUAAUCAUGAGUCUGUUUCAGAUAAUCAAGCAGAGUUGGUUACACGAGAUAAACUCUAAUACAACCGACUAUAUGAGAUAAGAUUGAUAUACUAACUCUGCGUUAUCUGUUACAGGCGUUUUGCUUUACAAAUAGACCAUCCAAAUCUAACUUAUUUUUGGUAGCUGACAACAAGCCCUCCAAUGACUCCACCAGUGCCCACCUAUACCUAUGUCCGUGGAUCACCACGCCCAAGCAGCCUCCACGCAACUAUCGAUUCAUGGCUACCUGUGCCACACCGUUAUGUUCUUAUUAGUCCUCUGUCGCAUACUUCAAUAAUAAUCAUAAAUAGUAUGACUUGGUCAUGCACAACAUUAUUUAACUGUUUUAAUAUUACAUUAAUAGAUAAUUAUUUUAAUAUUAUUUCAGUAGAGUAACGAAACCUCUGUGUUACCCAUUUUGAACCGACAAUUGUCACAAGCGUCACACAUGCGAGAUUUGCCAAUCCAAAAUUGUCCCUUACUUGGAAAGCCUCCAAAUGACCAAUAUAACAUGGUAUUUAUGAGGAUCUAUGUGGUUCGAAUAAAAUUUUAAUGGCAUAACCUAUAUUAUUCUCCACUGCACCAAAUUUGAAAGUAGAAGUGGAGAACAACGGUAUUAUACUGCUGAAAUUUUGAUCGAACCUUAUAGGCUUGUCAUAAAUCCGCUCUAUGCCGGUCACUCUAGGGUGGAUUUAGAAUAUAUCUUUACCUAUAGCCAAUAUAAAACACUCAUCAUUGUAUACCUUGCUUUAUUCUAUAGUCUCAAAUAUAGAUGAGAACCAUCUGUCGAUGUAUGAUGGUUGGAAUAAAAGUCGGGUGACUCAGCUGAAAGGAUUGCUAAAACUAACAAUUUUAUCAAUCGUGAUAUUUCUUUGUCAACUAUCGAUAAGGUCCAAUGUCUGUGCAACAACUAUCAAAACGUAAAGUUAUUUGCAUGGCUUUAGGUUACGAAUGCGUUCAUGAAGCAUGUGAAAGGGCUACUGGUUAAUAAUUUUCAGAAGUAUUCAGAUACAUACUUGAUCGUGGAGUAUCUAUAGGUAUAUAAUAUUUGGAAACAAGAUUACUUAAUUAAGAUAUUACUUUUGUUUUAAUACAUUAACAAAUGUGUAGGCCCAACUCCUAUCGUUGGAGGUUCAUCCAAAUGCUCAUCAUUCAUUGGGUUUUAAAGAAUUUCAAGAGAAAACAAUGAUGAAAAGAAGCUAAGUGAACAAGGGUGGAAAGUAUAUGUUUGGAGGCGAUGGAUACAUUCGUAUGGCUAGACGAAUGGUAAGACAUGUCAAAUAAGAUUUUCAGAAACAUAUCUAUGUAGUCAGCAAGCAUCAUAACGAUUGUUCAUUUUUUAAUAUCUAGAAUUAGUUGUGAUACAUUAAGAUCUAUGUUUUAAGUUUGUUUUUCUAAUUGUAGUAGCGAUAUGGGUAGGAGAUGGUUUGACGGCAAGGCAAAAACUACAAUUGGCAGAAUAUAUUGACUAACCUGAUGGCAGUGCAUGCUAGUGGCGGUGGAAAAACGUAUGGACAAUGAUAUCAUAAUUUCUAUUACUUAAACUAAAAUUUUGUUUACCUAGGUGACAGACUCAAUAAAUACCAUCACGAGAGGAUCUUCCACUUAGAAUUUGGGUGGGUAGUUACUGAUGUUGCCGCAUGGAGCAAGACAUAGUAAUCAAGAAUCAGCAUUAGGCACUGAAGGCACAAAAUGAGUACAACAUGAGGUGACAAGAUUGUUACAGACAACAAGAGUACUAUAGGUAGCAUCAAGAGUAAUUUGCUAACUACACCGCUCACAAACAAAAUUGGAUUAUCGUAAAUUUGAUUCUAGGAAAAUUAGUAAUUCGACCAUUUAGCACUACUAACUAGUUGCUUUUUUAGGGAAUAUUACCACAGCAGCAUGCCCAUAUAAAUAUCUUAUCACGGUGGCAUCCAUUGCCACCAUUGUCACACCCGAGUUUUAGAGCACCAAGACCCGGGAACGGACAUAAUCACCAGAUAUGCUGGGACCAAGUCUCACACAUAUGAUGAAUAGUGGUACAAAAACGAAUGUCACAUCUUUACUAUAUAAUAGGGGCUCUGUACAAAAUAAAUAAAUAAUUACAUCAUAUGAAGACACGAUCCAGCCACCCAAAGUUGACUGGAAGACAACGGCCUAGACCUCUCACAACUCGUCACAACAUCCUCCAAACGCCUCAUCAUGUGGUACCUGUUCUUGACCUGGGGGUGAGACAGUAAGAGUGAGCUCACAUACGUUCAUCGCUCAACAAGUUGUGAGGAAUAAUGUGCAUGAACUCGCCAAAGGUGGGAGCUCAUGUGAAGUGUAAGGCUUACCAAAGAGGAUGGUUAAAGCUGAGCAUUGCUUUUAAAGUUGGUCAAAAUUUUAUUAGCAAUUACUAAGUAUAAGUAAAUACCAAACCCAAUUAAGUAGUAAAACAAAAGUAAUAACAACACCUGCGAUGCAAUGCGUAUGACAAAUUGAAUUUAGUUCCAUAAAUUAAUCAUGUGAGUGUCCGAGCUGCUCAUGACCGUGAGCACGACUAGUAUACCAGUUUUACACUCUGCAGAGGUUGCACAUCUUUACGCACAAAUGUUACCCAUCUGCCAAGGGAUCGCGACUUCUCAUACACCUCUAUUGAGGAGGCGAGGCAGGGUAACACUACGAGGCCUUUACAAAGUUCCACUAGCUUCAGAAAACCCGCUACAGUUUCUAGGAAGCUCCAAUGCAGGGACCCCUCGCCUGACCGCCAUCGCAGCAAAAUCAACCCAAGGACCUCCCUACACUGACCACUCCCCUACUGCCCUUGCCCCUUUCGGGUAAGGUAGUCCUCCACUAGCUUUUCUAAUUAGUCAGCCAAGGACGACUCAUACCACCCUUGUGGUAGCACUGUUUUUCCGGCUGGUUCUCCAUGUUCCAAUUAACAGAAUGAUCUUAUCAUGAAUAGUAAAUAACAAGCUGAUAACAAAAGUAUGAUCAUGAAUAAUGUAUAUCUCCAUACCUAAAACCACAUAAAGCAAUAGCAUAUACUACCCAAAAAUUCAGUGGUAAACAAGGUAUAAAGAUAGCCAAACUAGGGUAACCUAUUGGGUCCCAUUAAAAUUAACCUAUGCAGAUCAUUAUGAUUAAUAAGAACAUGAUUGAGUAAAAAGAAAUGAUCAAGGGCACAAUUUGCCUGGGACUUGAGAUUUCAGGUAUCAACUUGCUCUUCAAUGACUUGUAACCUCGCGCUAGACGUAGCAAUACAAAUAAACAGGGUAUAGGCAAAAUUAACAUUACACCAUACAUAAGAACAAACUGCAUAAUAAUAAUAUACGCGUCGCUACGAGAUCGUAGGUUCAAAAACCAUUAAAAUAGGAGUUAAAACGAAGAAUUUAUGGAUAAAAUGAUUUUUUAGACGCAAUAAAUCUAAUAGAUGCGGUCUAACAGAAAUUGCAUUUAAACUAGGCAGGUGUUAAAUUAAAAUAUUUGAGUUCAUAUUAAUUAUUAACAAUUAUUUAUAUAAUACGUAGGUUAGAACUAUAAAUUAGAUUAACUAGGUUAUCUAGCUAAUUAACAUUAAUUAAACAAGUAAUUCAUUAAUUAUUAAUUAACUAUGUCAUGUGGCAUAAUUAAAAAAUAUUAUUACUGCGUACAAAAAAUUAAUAUGAGUCUAACACAACUUGAACAUAUUAAAAUAAAAUAUUUGACUAGAAGAUAUUACAUUUUUAAUAAAUUAGUAGGGCUAUAUAGAAAUAUGUGACAUGACGCAAUCUGAUUAGUUAGAUCGUGAUCACAUAAAAAAUUACAGAGUUAAUAGAUGUAAUAUAUAGAAUCUUGGUGUGACCAUAUUGUACCUAUGGGUGGAUAUUAAGCCAGCUCAGCUCGUUAUGAUUCGUUACUGUAACGAGCCAGCUCGACUCGGCUCAUUAUACUAACGAGUUAAACAUCUGGCUCGGCUCGGCUCGUUAGGAAGCUCGAGCCAGCUCGUUAGGCUCGCGAGCCACACAACUAAAUACAUAAAUCUAUGUACAUAAAUAUAUAUAACCGAAAAAUCAUAUUUUAAGUGUUUAACACUACAAACCCAAAACAUUUAUAAUAUUAUUAUCAUAUCAUCGCCCUAGCUUCAAACUUUUAAUAUUAAAUUAAAUAACCAAAUAUGUACUAACUUACAGAUUUACAAACCCUUAUUAUAAUAAGACAACAACAAGCAUCAUUGUAAAGCAAUUCAUCAUCCAUUCCACAAACAUGUAACAUUUUAUUGCACAACACUAACAUCAUAUGCUGCUAGAAAUAAAGUUCACAAAACCAUAAUCAAUAAUAAAAUAUUAAAUAUGUAAUGUAGGUAUGUAGCCAUACAAUAAUGCAAAUAUUUAAGCACAUGGCACAUCCACACAUGUCCAUAUUAUAGAUCAUAACUACGAGAAAACAAGGCUAUGAGAGAUGAAACGACACCAACAACUAGACAAACUUGUGUUGUGGCUUGGCUCGUUUGGCUCACGAGCUAGCUCACGAGUUAACCUGAGCUGGCUCAUUAGAGAACCGAGCUAGAAUGCUAACUUGACUCGCUACAAAAUUAAAACGAGCCGAGUCGAGCCGAUCUACUAACGAGCCGAGUCGAUCGAGUUAUCGAGCCCAAGUAUUUCGUCCAGCCCUAAUUGUACCUUCCUUCCUUGUUUCCUCAGCAGCCGCAGAGAACAGGAACGCACAACAUUUACCAACGACACCCGUGACCGUGAAUGCAACAUUCCUAUUUUUUUUUACUGGUAACGCGGCCGCACUGGGCACUGUCCCGCUUGACCGGCAACGCGGCCAGGUCCACCCCGGAGCACGGGCGAUGACGACUGGCCGUCCACCACGAUUCCACGAAGACUCGGAAGUCCCAUCUUGGCAAGGAGGGAGAGGGUGCAGAAAAAAAAGUGGUCCAAAGAUGCGGGCUCCACACACUGCCAUGACGCCAUGACGGCAAUGCCUUCGUCAAAGGGGUCUAGCUGGACUAGCUACCGCAAGGGGGAAAAGGCUUGGCUAUACAUCUCCAAAUGGACGUGCCGGGCCAGCCCGGCACGGGCACGAUUAGGCACGGCCUGACUCAGUCGUGCCUAGGCACGACACGCCAGUUGGACGGGCCGGGCUGGGCUGACACGUGGGCCAAAUGUGCUGCUCAGGCACGACACGCCCACGGUUAAACGGGUUGGGCUGGGCCGGCGGCACGGUUAGCUUGUUAGUGUCGGGCUAGGCUCGAGCCUAGUAACCAAAUUCACAGAAUAUAUCAAAUUUAAUAGAAAUGUAAAUAAAACAUCACAUUAAAACCAUACAUGUACACAGAAUAUAUCAAAUUUAACAUAAAUACUUGUGGAGCCUUAGUACAAUGCUGCCUCAUUAAAAACCUUCCUAUAUAAAAACUCACACCUCGUGAGAAAACCCUAGGAAGGAAAUAAGUACAGCCAGCUCCUUAAAUUAUUUAUAGGUUCAUAGUUCAGUCCACAGUCCAUAUGAGCAUACUACAAAUAAGAGAACAUAAAUAGGUAGAAAAAGAAAGAGAAUAAGUUUAAGGUUGUUUGCUUUUUGAACUCUUUGGUGCUGCUUCCUUUCUCGUAUCUCCUCCUCCUUCAUGUUCCUUUCUUUUGCUACCUGGUGAUACUCGUUGCUCAUCAUCUAGGUACAUAUCUUCAAAGGUUGCUUCAAGGUCUUUGGUUUUCUUCUUCACAGUAUGUUGCUUGUGCUAGUCAGCCAACUCCCAAUCCUUGAUACAUGAGAGCACUUCCACCAUGUCUGUCGUCAACCGUCGUCGCCGCUCCUCGAGCAUCCUGCUAGCUAGACUGAAAGUAGAUUCUUAAGAUAUUGUAGAAACAGGGACAGUCAUAACAUCUUUAGCUAGUAUAGAAAGAAUAGGGUAAGUUCGAUUGUGGCGUUGCCACCACAUAAGAAUGUUGAAAUCAUGCCCAAAUUUAGUUUCAGUGUCACUAUCAAGGUAAGAAGUUAACUCAGAUAAACCAGUAGAUGUACCAGCUGUACCAGUAUUGCUGUAAUUUUCAUCAUCACCAUAUAUAUCAUCUCAUGCCUCUGUGGCCUUACUAGAACCACUACCUGAUUGUGGUUGAGGAGUCAAGCAAACUCCUUCAAAUUUGGCCUCAUAAAUUUGAUACAUCUUAGUUAACUUGCAUCUAACACAUGAAGGAUAUCUACUAUAGUCAGUCCCAUUAAGAGAAGAUAAUCUUUGAAGAACUUUAUGAAAGCCCCUCAUCUUUGCUCUAGGAUCAAGAAUGAAAGCAAAUGCAUAAAGAAUGGGUAUUUCCCUCCAAUAUUUCAGAAAUUUUGUCAUCAUAGGUACAACAGCAUUUCUUAAAAGUUCAUGAUUCUCAUAUGCAUUUAGAUGUCUAGCAAUUUUCAAAAUAUGAUGCAGCAUUAAAAGUGAUGUAGGGUAAUAUAUCCCAGAAAGUGCAACAGUUGAGUCAUAGAAUAAUUGAAGGAAACACAACAAUUUUUCAGCAACAACCCAAUGAUUAUCACUCAAUGAAAAAGACCCAUCCUCUUUGCAAGUAUAAUUAGUUCUAAUCCACACAGAGAAAGUGCUAUGAUAAGGAACUAAAUGUUUAAGCAUCAGGAAUGUUGAAUUCCACCUAACAUCCAUAUCUACUCCAAAUUUACGUGGUCUAACGCCAACACUCAUGCAGUACUGUUUAUAAGAAGCAAUUCUUUGAUUUGAAGAGUUUAAAAAUGUUAUAGCAGUCCUAAAGACUUCAAGAUAUGGUUGCAAACGUUUCAAACAACUUUUAACAAUCAGAUUUGUAAUAUGGCAAGCGCAACGCUGAUGCAAAAAGAUAUUACUCAAAUCACUCUCAUUCCUACUAGGUGCAGGUAUCAAAUGGCCAAUAUAACCAGAAAAUACAAGUUUCAGAACAUCAAUAGCAGUUUUGUUAGAUGAGGCAUUAUCAAGCACAAUAGCAAAAAUCUUAUCAGUAAUGCUAUAGUCAUUUGCAACCAUUUCAACACGCUCAGCAAUGUUAAGACCUAUAUGAGCUACCUCUAUAGGUCCAAGACCAAGCAAUCUCUUUUCUAAACACCAAUCAGAGUUCACAAAAUGAGCAACAACACUAAUAUAGUCCUCUUUAGCUUUACCAGACCAUAUAUCAGAUGUCAAAGCAAUAGAUGAAACAUGUUUAAGGACUUCAAUAAGUAGUUCAACACAAUCAUUAAACAGUUGAAUCAAGUCUCUAGCAGUAGUUUUCCUAGAAGAUUUAAUAAACCUUGGAUUAUGGGCACGAGUUAUAUACUCCUGAAAAGCACUAGAUUCACCAAAACAAAGUGGCAGGUCUAGCCUAGUUAUUAAGCGACAAAGCUCAGUUCUAGCAACAGAAGGGGAAUACUCCCAAUGAUUAACAGAUCCAUCUGAAUUAUAUUUAAGCAAAGACUGAGAUUUCCCAGAUCUAUCCUUCUCUUUCUUAGCAGGGCAAAGAUCCAAGUGUCUGAUCAAAUGGCCAGUUCUAGAUGAAGAUUUAGCAGACAUGCUAUUCUUGCAGUGAAGACAAAUGGCAGAUACUCUUACCUCCUUACCAUUUUGCAUCGCAGUUACCUCCUCAAAGUGUAGCCAUACCUUAGAGGUCAGAGCUCUCCUCCUAGAACGUUUACCAGGCACAGGGACAGAGUUGCUCACGUCGGCCAUUGGGCUUGUGGAGCCCAUGUAUGUUCGGGUCGUUUGGGCCCCAGCGCCGUCCAGAUCGAUGGUAGUGGGACCAAGGAGGAGGCACCGGGCAUCCUCUACCUCAUUAUGUGCUUCAAGUCGCUGCUCCUCGACCAUGACAUUGAGAUUGAGCUCAUCGUCAGCCGAGUCCGUGGACAUGGCCACCGCCUUAGUCGGCUUCUCCGGCUCCUCACGGUGCGUGGCGCACACACACGGCGCACACCUGAACAAAUCGAGCUUAGGUUUAGGGUUACGUGCUCACGGCGGUGGAGCGAGAGAACGAGAAAGGAAGACGAGACGUCGAGACCUAGAGACCGAGAAGGAAGACGACACACACACAAAUGACUCAUGGCGACGGAGCGAGAAAGGAAGAAAGGACCGAAAGAACGAGAUUUAGGGUUACCUGCAACACCGGAGCACCGGAUCCACCAACCACAAGGCAGACGACAGAGUCGCAGAGGUAGAGGAGCGAGCUUGGCGCAGAUCGAGGUUUAGCCAUUUAGGGUUAGGGUUAGGGUGCACCGUUACAGUGAACAAGCGGAGCGAGAAAGGAAGAGGAUAGGACGGACCGAGAGAGGAAGAGGAAGAUUAGCGUCGGUCGUCGGUAGGAGUUCUUCUCCACCGGCGGCGGCCACCAACAAGUGCUAACGGCGGGCGGCGGCACAAAAAUCGCCAAGCCAAGUCGCCUGAGACCGCGAGAGGAGAGCAGGGUUCUGAAAUUAGGAGAAAGGAGCAACCGCGGGUCGUCGCGUGUGACGGCGUCAUUUUUGAUCGGGCUGAUGUCGUGCCUGCGCUUAACCGGGCCGGGCUCGUGCCACCACCGCGUGCCAAGCCGCCUGCCCAAGCACGGCACACGCACCGGACCGAGCCGGCACGGGCAGGGCGGCCUGCAUGCCGGGCCGGGCCUGGGCCGUGCUAAGGCGUGCCGGGCCAUGGGCUGCACAUCGGGCCGGCCCGGUUUGGACAUGUAUAGGCUUGGCUAUAUAGUUGCAUGGGGUGAGCUAGAAUCGCAACCGUCGACAAGAUAUGUGGAGGUUGUUACCAGCAUGACAAUCCAGCAUUUAGUUCCAACAGAAUCCCCCACGAAGGAGAUCGAGCAGGCAAUAGUGGCCCACCGAUCAAUGGCAUGCACACGUGAACACAUUCCUGUUGUGGCCGCAUGAAUUUUCAGCCCAGGUUCAGCUUAUUCUUUUAUUCCUCCUAUUUCCAGUCUUCUUCUCCCUUUUCUUAUUUUUUAUCUUAAUUUUAAAUUUCAAAUCCAGGAUUUCAAAAAUGGAUGCACAAUCAAAACAUCAGCAUGUGAUGCAAGGAUUUAUUAUAUAUAUAUUGUCGGAGAGAAAAUCCUCCGGCCGGGUGGCGGAACUCACCCGCCCUAAUCCUAAGAUGAAGAGGGGCCUAAGCGUUUUGCCUGUCUAUUGGAAGGUGGAAGAAACACACGAGGACACGAGAGUUUAGAGUGGUUCAGGCCGCCGGAGCGUAAUACCCAACCUCCACUGUGUGAGUAGUAUUGAGAGUGUGAGAGCUUGUGAGCUUGAGAGUCUGUGUGAACCUGAGAGAGCUUGUCCUUGUAACGCUGUGUGCCUUCCCUUUUAUAGUCUAAGGGAAGGCACAUACAAGAAUACUGAGCCCCGACAUGUGGGCCCAGGAACAUAACGGAAGGAAUACAUUAUGUGAGUAGUUAAUGCUAGUAAUGUCUGAGCAAUCACCGGGAGUCUUGAUGUCCGCAAUCGAUGCCACAUUGAUGGGCAGUUACCGUACGAGUAAUACGGGAGUAAUGGUGAGUAACUGUGUUGCCCACGUAUCAUGGACUGAGCAUGCUGCCUGUCAGUGGAAUGGAUAGGCGCACGUCUUAUCAGUCGUGAAGGCACGCAUAGCCCAGAGGCGUCACGCUGGGUUCCACUCGUUGGCUUAUGCCGCACGCAGUAUGCCACGUGGCAGCAUCGGGGCUCCACCUGAGCGGGGAGUAGGAGUGUAUGCGGAUAGGUCCGGAGCGCACCAGAGCAGAUCUAGACACGUGUCAGCUCCGGACCCCCGCCUGGACCUUAAGUAAGGUCUUGGGACCCCAAUGUGGGCGGUCUGGACCCCAUACAGAGGGGUCUGGAUCCCAUUCUAGGGGUCCGGUCCGUACACGUGGGGUCCUGGACCAUCUUGGAGGUCCGAAUUGUAUAUCCAGGGGUCCGACACUUUCCCAUGGGGGUCCGGACUCACUGUUGACGCCUUCGAGUAUAUCACUUUCUCUGGCCACGUGGCAGCCCCGGAGCCACCCACGUGGUGGCGUCAGGUGCUGUUGCUGGCCCAGAGUAGUCGCCUGAGGCUGGGGCGAGUCAUGGUCUGGUCCCGCGUACAACUCCUUUACCACACGACUAAAGAUAGCCCGCGUGGGUACUGGGUCUUCAUACAGUAGUAAUGAGUACCCUAGUUUUAGGGUACCGACAGUGGCCUCCAGGCCCACCUCAGGGGAGGAUGUGAGCCUGCAGGUGGGGCCAAAGCUUGUACUUCGCUUCAACAUUGCCUGAUUAGCGAUUGGCGCGCCGUUUCCGCGCGUCUGCUGACGUAUUCACCAUCAAUCCGCCUUCAGUCACGCCAACUGCCAUAUUUGUCCUCGCGGUGACUGACCCGCGACCCCCACACCUGGUGGUUUCGUCGGGCCACGUGCGGGGUGCCUCGAUACCGCUGCAUUGGUUUUUUAAAAAAUUACCUUCUCUGUCUUCUGCCGCGGCCCCGAGGAGGCACACUACCGGCGCGUGCGGCAGUUCGCUCUUUCUGCACCCGGGAACCAGCACUCAAGGAGUAUGACCCGUGGGCCUGGGCCCCUGUGUCAUAGACUGGGCUGUUGUCUUUUGCGGCAAAAAUGAAGAGGCGCGCUACCGCGUGUGGCGGUUUGCUCUUCAAGCGCGUGCGGCGGUUCGUUCCUUCUGCACCUGAAAUCCAACUCGCAAAGUGUAUGACUUGUGGACCUAGGCCCCGUGUCAUAGACUGGGCUGCCUGGAUCUAGGUGCCCGUCGCGCGUGAUCUCUUGCGGCGAUUGAGGGGCGCGCGGAAGGGUUUCCUUGAGCGAGGACUCUGAUUUCCUUGAAAAAGGGUUCACCCCCGCGUGCAGUAGUUACCCUUUCGCAUUCUCUUCCAAUCGAUUGCACCCUUUCGCCUUCGUGCUCCUUCGUUCCAUGCCCACGCCGCCGGCUGUGCCCUUUUGCCUUCGCGCUCCUCAGUUCCACACCUGCGCCGCCGUGCACGCCAUGGCUUCACUCGGCCACCCCGACCGCUUCUAGUCUGAGGCGGUGCUCAACCUAGUGCAUGGCCUGCUUGGGUGGAGCGUGCCAGCGUACGCCGCAAGGAUCCGCACCGGCGCCGCUCCCCUCGGUGAUCUCGCCUUCAGGGAGUUUGUUCUAUUCGUCUCCUACGUCUCCUGCGGGUUGGCUCUGCCGAUCUCGCCUUUCUUCAUGCUGCUGUUGGAGGAGUUCAAGCUCUAGCUUCAGCACCUUACGCCCAACUCUAUCCUCCAAUCGGCCAUCUUCGUCCACCUCUGCGAGAUGUUCGUAGGGGUGGCCCCCUGCACUUCCUUCUUCUGCCAUUUCUUCAUGCUGGUCAAGUCUGGGAAGGCUAGGGACCAUCUUGGUGCCUACUACUUUCAGACGAGGCCGGAUUCGGCCGUAGCCUACAUCUCCACCUUCGGCGGCGCGAGGUGGGAAAACUGGCACGCCGACUGGGUGAUCGCCAGCGCCGAAGCCAACGACCGCCUCGUCCUGCCGAGCAACGGGCCAUCCCUCGACCGCAAGCACUAGAGAACCAAGCCAUCGCUAUCGCUAGAGCUCCUGCCCGUACUGGACAGGAUCAAGACCUUGGCAACCGGUGGUCGGACCUCCAUGCAUGUGGUCAGCGACUUCCUGAAGCGCCGAGUCAUGCCGCUGCAGAGGAGGCCGCGCUUGUGCUGUUGGUUCACUGGCCCGAAUGAUAUCGGCAGGAUCCAGCAUGGGCCGGGUACCGAUCUGUCCUAGGAGGAGCUAGAACUCCUGGUGAAUGGGAUUACUAGUGAGUCCUUUAUCCCUGAAUCCUUGAUACUCCCCCUGGACAUCUCGGCGCUCUGUGAUGAUCCAGGGCUGCGAACGGCGGUGAUGGCCACGCUGUCGACCCUCGAUGAGAGCAGCAUGGUGGUUCUCCAGACCUGCGGUCGGGACCCCCUCCGCGGGAUCCGGAUCCCUAGUGUACCGGCUAGGGGUCCCCAGCCCACCAGUGGGGCUCCUAGUGCCGGUCUCGCCGUGGCCCCCAGCUCCAUGGACAGGGGCAAGGGACCUGCAAGCAGCUCCUCCGCCCCAGGUGGCACCGGGGGUUCGGAGGAAGAGAGGCGACGCUGACUGCGUCGCGCCGACGGGUCGCUUGUUUCGGACCCCCUAGAAGCGUCAGAGGACUGCUGGUGGGCCCGAAGAGGCCGGCUCCCAGGCCUAGGGCUUGCAGAGGCGCGUCAGUCCUCCGCCACCACCACCAUCGGGCCCGCCGCCAUCACCACCACCUCCACCAUCGGUCCCUCCGCCACCACCACCUAGGGGUGAUCUCCCCAAGGGGCACCAGUAGUAGCAACAACCACAGCAGCAGUAGCAGCUGCAAGAGAGGCGGUCGUCCCGCUUCCAGGGUCGCUGGAAAGUCCAGGGCCCCAAGUGAGUGUGGCCCCUUUUUUCCAUUAGUCUAUUUAUCAUGCCGACGGGUCUUAACCCAUCCUUUGCUUGUCAGGGCUUCCUCCCCUUCUGCUCCCAAGGUCGCACCUCCUCCACCAGAUACCAUGCCCGCCGGCGGGUCUGGCUGUCAGCAUCAGGCAUCUGAUGGGAGUGGUGCCGGCGAUCCGCCCCCGGCUGCUGCCGCCGAGACAGCGCCACCAGACUCCCAUGCUCCAACUAGGGGUCCGGCAGCAGCGGCACCAACGUCAAGCGGCGUCGCAACUGUGGAGGAGGUCCCAACUGCGCCGACGGCUACCACAGCCUCAAUGACGGCGAUGUCGUCGAGUACACCGUCGGCAGCGGCGGAGGAGGUCCCAACUGCGCCCACCCCCGCCAUCAAGGGUGAUGCGGGGGGCGCGUCCAGCUCCAUCCCGCCGCCCACUCCGGAGGAGACGGAGGUGGUUUUUGGGCGGCGGCUCCGGUCUGGUGCUGAGCCAGAAGCAGCGCCAGUUCCCCUCCCCCGGGUGCUGUCUCGUGCCCAUUAGGCUCUUCAUGAGACUGAGGUGGCGAUCCUACGGGAGUGGGAGGCACUUGAGGCCGAGCACCAGCGCCUCAGCGACUAGCGCACCCAGCUGGAGGAGCGCACCAAGGCGGCGUCCCACCAGUUCGCCUCCGAGCGGUCCGAGAGCUGGAGGCAUCCCGGAGGGAGAAGAAGUUGGCCAGGAGGGAGAAGAAGUUGGCUAGGAGGGAGGAGGCUGUGUCUUAGCAGGAGGCCCUCGCAACAGAGCUCCAGGCCAAGCUGAGUGCCCUGGAAAAGAUCCUGGAAGAGCAGUGGAUCCAGCAGACCACGGCUGUGGAGAGGCUGCAAAAGUUGCAGCAGGAGCUCGAGGGCAAGGUCAGAGACGCCGCCCUCGCUGAAGAGAAGCUUAAAGAGAAGGGAGAGUCCUUGGACAGGCGGGAGACGGACCUCGCCAGGCGGGAGAAGUAUCUCGCCUUCAAGGAGGAAAUGCUCACCCGGCGAGGCGAGCUGCUGGCUAAGAACGAGCUCGAGGCGGAGAAGAAAGAAAAAGAGGUGGAGAAGCAGGUCCGCCAGUUCAAUGCGGCACAAGCGACCUAAGGUUUCCAGGCGGUGGAGGCCACCAGGAAGGCCCUCGAGGAUCUUCAAGCGGAGCAUCGCACUGGGGUCCAGCGCAUCACUGCAUGUGCCGGCGAGGCAAGCACGACACUGGUGCCACUAGGGAUGAGUCCCAUUCUGGUGUUGGAGCUGCCGAUGUCUAUCUGCGAUGCGCUCCCGAUGCAGGACUCCGCCACCGACCACCUUCGACGCCUGGACCAGAUUCUUGGCGCCCGCCUAGAGGCUGAGGGUGGCAGGCUCUACCGAGCGGUGAUCGAGUAUAUCCUGACGUGCUUCCGGAGCCACGACCUGGCCAUAUCCUUGGAGCUGAUUAUCGCUGGUUCGGUGGCCACCACUGAAGAUGCCGCUUGGGAGGGCGUACAAGACACCGUGGAACUGGUGGCCGAACGCUUCCAGCGGGAUCCUGCCGAUGAUGAGUAGCUAGAUCUGCAGAAACAGGGCAAAGGUUCCGCUGGGGAGCGACUUGUAAUAAUUUUUGGUUUUGUAAGAUACUUUUAAGAACUAUUAAUCAAAUAGCACUUAUUUGUAUACUAUUUGUCCUCGCUGUGUGUAGUGUUACUAACUCCUCCCUGGUACUUGCCCCCCCUGGGAUGUAGGCUCGACGUGUCGGGGCUGGAUACCAGUAUACCUAAGGGUAAAUUAGUAGCCCGAUCCCUAGGAGGUAGUCUCUAAGGUUUGAGACUACCUGCGUUUGGAUUGGGACCUGGACCUGCACACAACUUCGGCUAGGAAGUUUUAGUAGUGCACCCAUAGGACCCACCAACUGGUAUCUUUUAUCCUUUGAUUCAUGCAACAGGACCUGCAGGAUUUAGCCUGAGAAGCCUACCCGUAUGCCCGGACCCCCGGAUCACAGCUCCAGAUACUAGGACACGCAUCACAGAGUGGUGGAGCGUGCAGGCUUAGGGUACGGAACUAGGCUAAGCGGCUACACAGCUCCGGACCACCCUAGGGGACGAGUGUCCAUUCUCUAGAACCAGACUCCAGGUUGCUGGACCCAUAGGACUAUAGUUCCAAAUACUAGGGUACCCGUCACAGAGUGGUGGAGCGUGCAGGCUCAGGGUACGGAACCAAGCUAAGCGGCUACACAGCCCCGGACCACCCCAGGGAACAAGCGCCCAUUCUCUAGAACUGCCCCCAGGCUGCCGGACCCCCUUGACUUUGUAGAGGGGUCCUAAACUGCAAGCCUGGCUACUCAAUUUGGAUGUCAUUAUACCAGCAAGGGUGGGAAACGUUCGGGUGGGUUAGAUAAAAAAUAAUGCUUGUGAAUUAAAGUAGAACGAACCAUCACAAAAGCUCCUCUGGUGGGGUAAAUUCAUUCCUUAUAACUUGAUAUACAUGGGUGCAGACCAAUAGGCCGGGUUUACAAGGGCGGACCUCAUCGGAUUGACGUACACAAAUGCAGAACCCAGUUACAAAGGAAGAGAACUCAACCCCCUAGUUUCGCUUCUAGGGGUAGAACUUACGGAGAUGCUCUAUGUUCUAGGGAUUGGGAAGAUGCACUCCUUUAGUUGUAGCAAGGCGGACACACCUGGGUCGGCAUAUUUCCGUCACCUUGAAGGGUCCCUCCCAGCUGGGAGAGAGCUUGUGGAGCCCUUCUCGGUUCAGUACUCGCCUUAGGACCAGGUCCCCGACCCUGAGCUCCCUACUAUGCACGAACCGUUGGUGGUAGCAUCUGAGCGCUUGGUUGUACCGCGCAUUUCGGAUCACCGCUCGCCAUCUGCGCUCGUCAAUGAAGUCUACGUCCUCACGCCGUAGCUGUUCCUGCAUAGACUCAUCGAAAGCCUGGACCCGUGGGGAGCCCAUAAUGAUUUCUGGGGGAAGGCAGGCUUUGGCCCCGUAGACCAGGAAGAACGGGGUCUCCCCGGUAGCUCAGUUGGGUGUGGUCCGGUUCCCCCAAAGUACGGACGAAAGCUCGUUGACUCAAUUCGCACCAUGCGUUUUCAAGCAGUCAUAGGUGCGUGUCUUGAGUCCCCUGAGGAUUUCUGUGUUUGCCCUCUCCGCCUGGCCAUUGCUCUUGGGAUGAGCCACAGACGCAAAGCAGAGCUGGGUGCCGAUGCCCUCGCAAUACUCCUAGAAGAGCCGACUUGUAAACUGGGUCUCGUUGUCCAUAAUGAUAUGGCUUGGGACCCCAAAACUACAGACAAUCGACUUGAGGAAAGCAACAACAGCACCCUGGGUGAUAUUGACCACAGGGGUGCCCUCUGGCCACUUUGUGAACUUGUCGAUGGCAACGAAGAGAAAACGGUACCCGCAGACGGCCCUGGGGAAUGGUCCCAGGAUAUCCACCCCCAUACGGCGAAUGGCCAGAAGGGUGGAAUCAUCUGCAGAGCCUGAGCUGAUGUGUGUAUCUGCUUUGCAUGGAAUUGACACGCCUUGCAGGACUUUACCAUCUCAGCUGCAUCCUGGAGGGCGGUUGGCUAGUAGAAGCCAUGCCGGAAGGCCUUACCGACCAGCGUGCGGGAUGAGGAAUGACUUCCGCACUCACCUCCAUGGAUCUCUGUGAGCAACUCAUGCCCCUCCUCCUGAGUAAUGCAUCGCAUGAGAAUGCCAUUGGCGCCAUGGCGGUAGACAUCCCCUUCCACCACCGCGUAUCGCUUAGCCAACCGCACUAUGCGCUCUGCGGACACAUGAUCUUCAGGAAGGAUAUUUUCCUUCAGGUAGUCCCGGAUCUCGGAGAUCCAUGCAUCGGGACCACUCUGAGCUAUUGGUUGUGGCGCUACGAGGUUGGCACGACCUUCUAUAGCACACACAAUCCUUGGUGGGUUCUGUGAAUGUUACGCCACCGGGACCGCUAGCUUCGAGGUGCUAGUCUCACCCCCUUCGCCCAGUUCGGCAGGCUAGGCGGUAGGUCUCAAUAGCCGUCUUUCGAAGACGCCCUUGGGAACGGGUGCCCAAGUUGAUGCCCUCGUCGAGAGUUCAUUUGCCGCUGAGUUGUCAGCCCGAGGAACAUGUUGUAGUUUCAAGGUCGUGAAGUCCUUUUCCAGCUUCCUUACGUGGAGGAGGUAAGCUACGAGUCUGAGCUCGUUGCAGCUACACUCCCCACGGACUUGCUUGAUGAUCAACUGGGAGUCCCCCUUCACGAUGAGCUGGCGGAUCCCUAGGGAUAGGGCCGCAGACAAGCCGAAGAUAAGUGCCUCGUAUUCUGCCAUGUUGUUGGUAGCCUUGAACUCGAGGUGCACCAUGUACUUGACUUGAUCUCCGCUUGGAUCGACGAGGACCACUCCAGCACCGCCACCUUGCUGGCGGGUGGCCCCGUCAAUGAAAAGCGUCUAGUGGGGCUCGGUGAAGACCGGGACCCCAGGCUUCGCAGGUGUGGGGUCUGACUUGGGAUCCGGACCCCCAGGAGCGCUCGGGGGAGGGGUCCACUCCACGAUGAAAUCAGCCAGAACCUGGCUCUUGACAAUGUGGCGAGGCUGGAAGUCUAGCUGGAACUCAGCGAGCUCCGCAGCCACUUGGCGAUGUUGCCUGUGGCGUUAGAUUUGUGGAGGAUGGCCUUUAACGGGAAGGAGGUCACCACCAUGACCCUGUGUGCUUAGAAAUAGUGGCGCAACUUCUGGGAAGCAACAAGCACAACAUAGAGAAGCUUGUGUGUCUCGAGGUACCUGGCCUUCACCUCAUGGAGGACCUCGCUGACGUAGUAGACCGGCCUCUGUAUGGUCCGGACCCCUACGGUUGGCCCUGGGCCCUCAGGGUCCGUGGCGGUUGGACCACCACCUUCUCCUAGGGGAACCUCCUGACUCCCCUGGGAGUGUUGCUCCGUCCUUUCGACGACCAGCACCAUGCUCACCGCCUCUGCAGCAGAUGCAAUGUACAAGUACAGUGGCUCCCCUGGCUCCGGAGCUACAAGUAUUGGUAGGGACACAAGGUGCUGCUUCAACUCUUGGAAGGCUUGCUCUGCCUCCUCGGUCCAAGAGAAUGGGCGGACUUCCGCAGGAGCUUGAAGAAGGGUAGCGCCCUCUCAGCCAGCCGUGAGAUGAAGCGGCUAAGGGCGGCCAAGGACCCCGUAAGCUUCUGGAUGUCCUUGAUUCGGGUCGGAGGCCUCAUCACCUCAAUUGCCCUGAUUUUCUCCGGGUUUGCUUCAAUGCCCCGGUGCGAAACCAGGAAUCCCAGCAACUUCCCAGCGGAGACACCAAAGACGCACUUGUCCGGGUUCAACUUCGUGCGCGUUGCUCGCAGCUUGUCAAAAACCAGGGUUAGGUCUUCCACUAGGGUCGACCCUCUCUUAGUCUUGACCAUGAUAUCAUCGACGUAUAUGUUGGGGCGAAGGCAAAGACGCCACCCUUCGCUCGAAGUCUUCGCUGCAGCCGCCGGUCUGACAGAGACAAAACAGGCAGGGACACCCUUCGCUGAUUUGGCACCAGACGAAGACCUGCGAUGAAGUCAUCCCACAGUGCGGCCUCGUCCAGCUCAGAGGCCCGCGUGUGAUCCGGCCCAUUGUAACGGGCCCUGCGUGGCCGCCGUCUGUUACAAGGCGCUGGGCGCUCAGGUACCUAUAAAUACCCCCGCACAGUGCCCGUGAGAGGCCAGAUUAGUAGAGCUAUUGCCUUCUAGCACGUAACCCUGUUGUCACCACUGUUCACCCUUGUUGGCCUCCUUGCAAUUGAGAGCAAGUUCCAACAUUUGGCGCCCACCGUUCGUGCUACGACAAAACCACCCUCGAUGGCACCCAAGAGAGCUAACCCGAAGGCUGACGAGGCUGCGAAGGCAGCACUGCUCGCCGCAAGAAAGGGCAAGGCCCUCGCCCUCACCCAAUCCACCCACCAAGAGCCCACUGAAGACAAUGUUCCCCGCACCUGCGAAGACGACACCUUCCGCACCUGCGGCCCCGAAGGACAAUCGCAGCCGCCCCCAGGCUUCGCCCAACUGGAAGGCGCGGACCUCACCGAGGACGGUGAAGUCCUCGGCGUCUCAGCGGAAGAACAGCUACAGCUGCGCGCCCUGCGCCUCAAGAACCGCAAUCUCCAGAGGCAGAAAGAGAUACUGGAGGCCAAGCGCCAGCGUGUGUCCACACUAGCCAAAGUGCGGCAAAUGAUACGCGACGAGGAGCAGAAGGCCCAAGACCUCGAGCGCGAGAUCGCGCUGAUGCAGCGCGAAGGCCACCUUGGCCUGCAGCAAGGGCCACCCCUCCAGCAGCGCGCACAACCGGAAGACACGCGCGAAGGCCACUUCGGCCUGCAGCAUGGGCCACCCCUGCAACACCGAGCACAGCCGGAAGACCCGCGUUUCCCCCAGCGUGACUACACCUUCCAGCACGCCGCGCCAUUCCAAGGGGUCAACUAUCUCGACGAGCGAAGUCCCCUGGCGCCACACCUGCAAGUGAUGCCUUGGCCAGCUAACUUCCGAGCAGGGACCUAUCCCAAGUACAAUGGCAGCACCGACCCGGCGCAAUACAUAAUGAGUUAUCAGGUCGCCGUUGCAUCCGCCGGAGGGGACGACGCCACAAUGGCGAAGUCUUUCAUCAUCGCCCUAGAGGGCCCAGCUCUCACCUGGUUCACCAGAUUGCCUCCGCUGUCCAUUGAUUCAUGGAGAAGUCUCAGGGACAAGUUCCUGCUCAACUUCCAAGGGUACCGCCCAGACACCGACGCCUUGGCCGAGCUCUCGCUUUGCAAGCAGCUGGAAAAGGAGACUCUGCGGGAGUAUUACCGCAAAUUCUUAACACUCAAGUCACAGCUGCCCUCCGUUGAUGAUCAGAUCGCUAUCCACUACGCCAUCAGUGGCCUUCGUGCCGGCGUCCUAUACAGCCACUGUAUCAGAGAUCCACCCAAGAACCUCCAGGAGCUAUAUUAGCUCUUUGAAAAAUAUGCCAAAUCCGAAGAGCUCCACCAGCGCAAGGUUGAGUCACAGCGGAAACCCAAAGAUGCCCCGUAGUCCAGCCGCACGUGGACGAGGACUCCGCAGCCAGACUCCGGUCGAGACGGCCGCAGUCAGCAGCAAGUGCACAACAUCGCCAACCAGCAUCCCGCUGCUGACCCCCCUCGUCGCCAGGAAUAUCCCCCCCAUUGCCACGAAAAUGGAACUCGUGGCAGGGGCCGAGGGCGCGCACAGCCGCCGCGCCGAUUCUACUGCCUUUUCCACGGCGAAGACUGCGCCCACCAAACCAAAGACUGCCCCGAAACGAAGGCCACCAGAGACAGAAUGGCGCGGGCGCAGCCAGCCGACAACCCCAGAAUUGUCGCGCACAAUUACCAGCAACCUCCUCCACCAUAUAUCCACGCUCCCGUCCCGCAUCCACCGCACCACGCUUACCAACACCAUCAGGAAGUACAAAUCGUACCUCCUCCACCCCCACCACCACACCAGCAACAUCAAAACAUCCCCCAUGCCCCAAAGCAGGAAGACUUCGCCGAUCAACCAUAUCGCGGAGUCAUUCACAUGAUAACUGGGGGGUCCAGCACUGACUUCGACACCAAGCGGUAGAAGCGGGACCACUACCGCAUCAUCAACCAUGUCGCCGUCACUGGCCCAGUCGUGCAGACAAAGUGGUCCCACAUACCGCUAACCUUCGACGCACGAGACGUCGACCUGCGCAGCGCCCCCCACAUCGACGCUAUGGUCAUCAAUUGCAGCGUGGCAGGCUGGGACUUACACAAAGUCCUAGUCGACAACGGCAGUCAGGCGGACAUCAUCUUCCUCCAUGCCUUCGACCGCAUGGGUAUAAGCCACAGCCUGCUCAAGCCUUCGGACAACCCGUUGUAUGGCUUCGGCGGCAAGGGCACCUUUCCCGUUGGCAAAAUAGAGUUGCCCCUCUCCUUCGGUGUAGCACCCAAUGCCCGAAGUGAGCAAGUAACCUUCGAUAUCGUGGAUAUGGUAUAUCCAUACAACGCCAUCAUGGGCCCGGGCUCCAUCAAUAAGUUCGAAGCUGCCAUCCACGGACUGUACCUAUGUAUGAAGAUACCAGGUCCGCUAGGCGCCAUUACGGUCUACGGCAACCAGCAGACGGCGCGCAACAUAGAGCGGGACUUCGUGCCCGGUCAGAGGAACGUGCACUGUCUCACGACCCAGCGCGAGGUCCCUGCACCCGCCAGCCCAACCGAUAAACAGCACGACAAGGCACAGCUGCAGAGCCAAGACGGGACCAAGACUGUCCCCCUCGAUCAGGCCACGCCCAAGCAGACAGUCACUAUCAGCGAAGACCUUACCUCACAUGAAGAAGAGAAGCUCCUCUGCUGCCUGUCCAAGAAUAAAGAUGUCUUCGCCUGGUCCGCCCUCGACCUGGUCGGAGUCAGCCGAUCCAUAAUUGAGCACAGCUUGGGAAUUGACCCUUCGGUGCGACCAAAAAAGCAGAGGCUUCGCAAAAUGUCCGACGAAAAGACAAAGGCCGCCAAGGCGGAGGUGCACCGCCUCCUAGAGGCUAAAUUCAUCGAGCCAGUGGCUUACCCCACGUGGCUCUCCAAUGUUGUAAUGGUGCAGAAAAAAGCGGGAAAUGGCGAAUGUGCAUAGACUUCACCAGUCUCAAUAAGGCCUGCCCAAAGGACAAUUUCCCGUUGCCACGGAUCGACAAAAUAGUCGAUAGCGCGGCCGGAUGCGAGGUCAUGUCACUCCUCGACUGCUUCUCCGGCUAUCACCAGAUAUACAUGAAGGAGGAAGACAAGGCUAGCACCAGCUUUAUAACACCCUUCGGCACAUAUUGCUUCAUUAGAAUGCCGGAGGGACUCAAGAAUGCCGGGUCCACCUUCUCUAGACUCACCAAAACAGUACUCGAAGGGCAGGUUGGCAGAAAUAUAUUUACAUAUGUGGACGACAUCGUCGUCGCCAGCAAGAAUAAGGAGGACCAUCUCGCCGACCUCGCCGAGACAUUCACGAACAUGCGAGAUGCAUGACUCCGCCUAAACCCGGAAAAGUGCGUCUUCGGUGUUCGCCAGGGCAAGAUAUUGGGCUACCUAGUAUCACACUGCGGCAUCGAGGCCAACCCAACCAAGAUCUAGGCCAUCUUAGACAUGUCGCCUCCGCAGUCCGCCAGGGACGUCCAGCGUCUGACAGGCAGAUUGGCCGCUCUCAACAGAUUCAUCUCCAGGUCCGCCGAGCGAAGUCUCCCCUUCCUCAAAACACUCCGCGGUGCAAAGGACUUCGCCUGGGGACCGGAGCAAGCAGCGGCCUUCGCCUCACUAAAACAGUACCUGUCGGAGCUGGCCAUCCUCACAAGCCCCGACUCCUCGCUCCCCCUAUUGCUCUAUGUCGCGGCUUCGCCGCACGCGGUCAGCGCGGCACUAGUGCAGGAGCAGACAGUUGAGGGCGUGGUCAGGCAGUGCCCUGUUCACUAUGUCUCCGAGGUACUGACACCGUCCAAGUGCAACAUGACAGAACUGGAGAAGAUUGCCUACGCAGUCGUUAUGUCUUCGCGCAAACUGCGCCAUUACUUUGAAGCAUUCAAGGUCCGAGUCACCUCAGACAGGGGACUCGGCGAAUUAUUCAGAAACCCGGAGGCAUCGGUGAGGAUUGCCAAGUGGGCAGCCGAACUAUCCGGCUACCACAUCAGCUUCGAGCCCAGGACAGCCAUCAAGUCACAAGUCCUGGCAGACUUCAUCGUCGACUGGACUGGGCCAAUAACACAGCCAGACCCGUCCACAGAGAAGGUUUGGACUAUCCAUUGCGACGGCGCAUGGUGCCAUGCGGGGGCAGGCGCCGCUGCAGUCGUCACCUCACUAGCCGGAGUCAAGCACAGAUAUGCAGCACGCCUCAGCUUCGCUCUGGAAUCCGACAGAUGCACAAACAAUAUAGUAGAAUAUGAAGCAGUUAUCCUCGGCCUCCGCAAGCUAAGGGCCCUCGGAGUCACCACAUGUAUCAUCAAAACAGACUCCAAGAUAGUUGCCGGCCAGGUCGAGAAAGACUACGCAGCAAAAGACCCCGCCCUUAUGCAAUACCUCGUGGCCAUCCGAAGUCUCGAGAGACAAUUCAAGGGGUUCACCCUGCAGCAUGUGGAUAGGGCCAAGAACGAGGAGGCCGACGCAUUGGCCAAGGCCGCCGCCAGGGGCGAGUUCUUGCCCUCCGAUGUGUUCUUUCAUAUCAUCGGCACGCCAGCCAUCCGGAGCCCCGAAGGGCUCCAAAUAACUAAUGACAGCGAGGGCCACCGCAUAGUCAACCUAAUCAUGACCGAGGAUUGGCGGGCACCAAUAACCCUGUUCCUACAGGGGUACUAUCAUCCAACCGACGUCAGCGAGGCCAAGCGCCUCAAACAUCGAAGCCGGGACUUCGCACUGAUUGAGGGCCAACUCUACAAGAAAGGGGUCAGUCAGCCAAUGCUUAAGUGCGUCACCGAAACCAAAGGCAUGCAGAUCCUACGUGAAGUCCACAGUGGCACGUGCGGCUCACACGCAGGGCCAAGGGCCCUAGCUGCCAAGGUGAUCCGCCAAGGGUUUUACUGGCCCGCAAUGAUCUGCGCCGCAAAUCGGGUCACAAGGUCCUGCGAAGCCUGCCAGAAGUUUUCUCCUCGGUCAGGCAGCCCCUCGCAGUAUACAAAGCUGAUCGCCCAUACAUGGCCUCUCCAGCGCUGGGGCCUGGAUAUUGUCGGGCCCCUGCCCACCGCUUAGGGGAACCUUAAGUUCGCCUUCGUCGCCGUCGAGUACUUCACCAAAUGGAUCGAGGCGAGGGCUGUUUCCACAAUAACAUCAAAGACUGCCCAAAAAUUCUUCUGGCAAAACAUUGUUUGCCGCUUCGGAGUCCCGUCCGAACUAACAGUUGACAACGGCAAGCAGUUUGACAGCCAAGAUUUCAAGGAUUUUUGUUUCUCCAUCGGCACCAAGCUUGCCUUCGCUUCAGUUUAUCAUCCGCAAUCCAACGGGGUCGUGGAACGCGCCAAUGGGAAAAUCUUCACAGCUAUCAAGAAGAUGCUCCUUGAUGAAAAAAGGGCAGAUGGACUGAUUUGUUACCUGAGGCAGUCUGGGCAUUGAACACGAUUGAGUGCAGGGCGACUGGGUUUACUCCCUUCCGCCUUCUAUACGGAUCGGAGGCCAUGACCCCGCAAGAAAUAAAGCAUGGGUCCCCGCGAACAGUUCCGUCAGCCGUCCCCGACGUGGACGAGCCAACUUCAAAGGACCUCAUUGACGGAGACCGAGUCUUCGCCCUACAGGCCCUAAACAAAUACCAAGCCCAGACCAAAGCAUGGCGCGACCACACAGUCAUCCCGAGGGAGUUCAGCGAAGGGGACCUCGUACUCGUCCGGACAGCUCGGACGGAGUCCAGGGGCAAGCUGGAGCCGAAGUGGGAGGGCCCCUUUAUAGUCAAGACAAAAGCUUCCCCCAGCGCUUACAGGCUCACAACGCCAAACGACGACGACCUGGAGCACUCCUGGAACAUCGACAACCUCCGCAAAUUUUUUGUUUGACUCAUCAGGGCUGAUUUCGCCCUUGUAAUUCGCCAAAAACAAUCUUGUACCGGCCCGCACUCUUUUCCUCCCGGGGGGUGAGGUUUUUAAUGAGGCGGAGCCAUGUAAUAUAUGAGAGAAAAAUCCCCCGCAAAAACAUGCGUCGAAAAAAGACCGCGACGACGGUCUUCGACAUUCGACCAAUUCGAGGUCACCGCGAGGCUAAGCGCUAGCCACCCUCGCGUGCGACAAAUCCGCGCAGAAGUCGCCUAAGGGUGCAGCCGGACUAGCACAACAAGUGCGAAAAAAACCGAAGUCUACCGCGAAGACUAUCCGCGCAGAAGUCGCCUAAGGGUGCAGCCGGACUAGCACAACAAGUGCGAAAAAAACCAAAGUCUACCGCGAAGACUAUCCGCGCAGAAGUCGCCUAAGGGUGCAGCCGGACUAGCACAACAAGUGCGAAAAAAUACCGAAGUCUACCGCGAAGACUAUCCGCGCAGAAGUCGCCUAAGGGUGCAGCCGGACUAGCACAACAAGUGUGAAAAAAUACCGAAGUCUACCGCAAAGACUAUCCGCGCAGAAGUCGCCUAAGGGUGCAGCCGGACUAGCACAACAAGUGCGAAAAAACCAAAGUCUACCGCAAAGACUAUCCGCGCAGAAGUCGCCUAAGGGCGCAGCCGGACCAGCACAACAAAAGCAGAAACGACAACAUCAAACCGUCCGCGCCAAGACCGACUAUAAUCGCACCAGCACAUCAUAACAAAACACACCAGACAAAGUACACAACGCCUUCGCAGGCACAGACAAGCGAGAGCACACGACUUCAUCAUACAAGCCUUUACACAUAUACAAGCGAGGGCGCCACACUCUACAUCGGCUCAACCUUAGGAAUAAUUCCCAUCUCCCUAUAAUUAAAUAACAUUAUCCUAAGUUCCUCACCCGCAAAAAGACUUCGCAGUUCCCAUUCCCCUGUACUCGCGGCGGCCGGCAAAGACAACAGUUCCUGCCGACCAGCCCUACUCACACGAAGCCGAGCCCCCUCCUCCCCACUAACCCUACGCUUUGCAACCGCCCUUCGUCGUCGGCGCCCGGUGCUAGGACCUGGCACAUCUUGUGCGCCCGCGGCGUGUGGCGAGGCCUCCGCCGCAGCCACAUCCAAGGCCGCAAAAUAAUCCAAGUCCUCCUCCGACGACUCCUCAGUCCACUCAACUGAGCUCCCAGAGUCAGUAAAAUCAAAAAACUCAGAUGCAGAUCCACCACAUUCAUUACCACCUUCCGCGGUCGAAGCCGCCAAAAAUUCAGUAGUAGCGGUUGCGUGCGCAGGCCCAAAAUCUUGAACCUGCGCAGCAACCAAAAUUCAGCAACAUAUCCAAAAUUCUCCAACCCUAUACACCCACUACGCCACCUGCGAAGGCCCUGACGUUGCGGGAGCCUCCGCCAUUGGCCCCGCCGUCGCUUCCGCUGUUGUUUCCGCCGCCACCGCCGCGGGAUCUUCAGCACUCGGCGCAGCAGCUGCGGGGGCAUCAGGCGCGCCUUCGGCCACCUUUGGGGGCAGGUCUUCGCCGGCCGCGGCGGAUGUGGGAGCAUCCGGCACAGUCUCCAGGGUUGGCUCCGGGGCGACCCCAGACACGGCCUCCGCCGGGGUCGGCUCCGGGUCAGGCAGCGCGCUGUUCAACGCCCCGAAGUCGUCCACCCGCUCGCCACGCGCCGCCUAAGACAAAACAGACAAAAUUCAGCAAACACACGCACAGCCCACAUCCAACAAACGCCAAACAAACGAAGACAUUACCUGAGCCCUCGCCGUCUCGGCCCGCUCCCUGACCACCACGCGACCGUGCGGGCCCCACAUCCGGUCAUAGAUGGCCCCGGCGGACUCCUUCACUACGGGGUCUUCGACCUUAUAGAUAUCUCGAUCAAAAUCUUCGUCAGCCUGGUCGAAGACCUCGAAGUGCCGGCACCCUUCGUGAGAGAGCGCGUUCAUCGCCCCCUCGCAGGUGACCAAGGAGGCGUACGACAUAAACCCCCCACGACAGUGGGGAGUUCCUGCAGCUCCUCCUGCACCCAUUCCAGACAGCGAAGCCCGGGCUCUCGGUCCGGUACUUCAAAGUCACCGGUCCGCGCACCCAGCUCACGAUAUGUAUCCAUAAGCUGUGUGCGCGUCCGUUCGGCCUCCGCGCGCAUCGCGGCCUCGGCCCGCUCCACGCGGCUCUCCAGGGCGAUGAGCCGCUCCUGCAGCUGCUCGGCGCGCUCCCUGGCAAGAUUGCCCUCCGCCCGGGCCAGCUUGGCCUCCGCCUGCGCAGCCUGCGCCUGGACGAGGGCCUCAUUGGUCUCCCUCCUCUCCCCCGCCAAUUGGUGCCGGAGGUCAGCCUUCUCUCCCUCCAGCGCGGCCACCCUGUCCGCCAGCUUGCGGCACUUGCUGUCGGCGGCCGAUUUCUCUCGGACGGCGUCAGCAUGUUGUGUCCGAAGUCUCUCGACUUCGGCAGACACAACUGCCGUGAGGGCCCCCGACGCCGUGCGGUUGGCGAAGUCAGCCACCUGCACAACACACAUAAGACCGCGGCCAAAAAAAAAGAGCGAAGCCUGACUCAGCGGACCUGACUCAGCGACUCCACCACCUCCUUCAGCCGGCGGGACGCAGCGCCCGCCUCAUCCCUCACAGCCGCGAGGACCGCCACCUCGCCUCCGGCGCUAAGAGCCCCGCCCUUCGCCUUUGGCGGUACGGCAGCCAUCGUUGUCACCGCGGCAGGCGCAACCAUAGCAAGUUGGCCUUCGUCCGACCCUGCGACGUAACGACGAAUAAGUAACAAUAAUAAUAAAAAAAAAGAGAGAGAGAGGAGCCAACAACUUACCACCGAGAUAGUCCUCCACACUAAUAUCGGUGGCGAAGUCGGCGACACGCUUGCCUGCCGACGGCAACGCUCGGGCCGCCUUCGCGACCUCUGCCACUCCGCUGAGCGGCGGCACCACCUUCGUCGAUUUGGCCCGUAAGGAAAAACUCUCCAUUCGCGAACCAUGCGAGAUGUAAAAAAGUCCUCGCCAGCCGCGCGGGGGAUAGGAACAUUCCUAGGCCAGCAACCCCCGGUAACCCUCAGCAUCCGAGCCAAAGACUCCCGGAGCUCGGGCGAAGACAUCCUUCCCCCCGGGGCCGCGCACGUCCUCAUCAACUCUCUAGCAAAACUAUCAGAAACCCCAAGUCCUCCCAUAGCAGUACCUAAUUUUCUCUUUUUGGAGGAUGGGGCGGCCGCCGGCGCAGGGUCGUCUCCAGUCUCCACCACUGGCUUCUUUCCACGGCGGUCCACGUCGUCUUGACCAGGAUAGCCGUCAUCCGGCAAUUGAUUUAAUUCGAAAACCCUGUUCAAACGGUCAUUCGACCCGCGGAUAUCAAAGCUGCGCUGGCCCUCUGUCCUCGGCACGUAGCGUCCAACGAGCCGCACCGCCCCAUCCUCCGCAUCACGCACAAAGGCGGCCGGGUCGCGGUUUCGCAGAUUCAGUGCGAAGGCAGGACUUCGCACCACCCUUCCACCGUGAAAAGGCAUCUGGCGAGGGCACACUUCGCCCAACGCCCAGCCAUGCGCCAAGGGCCACACCACGUACGCCACAAACUCUUCAACUAAAUCGCGCCCACUGCUCUGACCGGCGGCGCACCGAAGGGCCCCUUCGUCCACAUCCUCCUCUGCCACUUCAAAAGACGGGUACGCUGAGUAAUAAUGAGAACACAUCUCGGACACGAGGAGUCCCUCAUGGCCUUCGACGGUACCCUCAGCAACAUAAAACCAAAAUUCAUUCCAGUUGCCCCACUUGUUGCGGGCGCAAGGAACCAACUCGACUACUUGCAUCGUGGUCUUGCCGGUCUUCGGCGUGAAUGUGCAGGACCCAAACUAAGCAACUUCGUCCCCAAUCAUCCUCUUUUGCCAGUGCAAACAAUAAUACUUCGCAAAAACUUCAACCGAUGGCUGUCCGCCGUACGAAGUCGUCGCCCAGACAUACUUCGACAGUGCCACCACGACAUUCGGUGUCAGCUGAUGUAUUUAAACGUUGAACUUGCGCAGGACUUCGCCAACAAACCGGUGCACAGGCAAGCGGAGACCGGCGGCGAAGAACGCCUCGAAAACAACCAACUCACCCUCCGGCUCGGGGACUUCCUCCGUCCCUAGGGCACGAGCAACUCCGCCGCUGAGGUAACCCAACCGCUGCAUAUCUUGCACGUGGGCCAACGACAUCCGCGACACGCCAAAAUUAACAGAAUCGCCGGCGCGCAACUCCUCCGCCAUCAAACUACUCAGCGUCUCCUCAGACGAGGCGGCGGCCGACGGCGAGGAAUCGGCCGGCGGCGUAGCGGUAGAGGAAGAAGAAGAGGACGACAUCGCUACGUACCGUCGGCGGCGGCGGGUGGUCUGCUUCACUCGAGCCAGAUCUCCGGCGAACAAGAGCACGGCGGGCAGACGAGCAGCAAGACGGCGGGCGGCUAGGGUUUUCACGGAGCGCGGAAAGUGAAGUUCAAAAAGCGCCGACCCCCGCCCCCUUUUAUAGGCAGGGCGCGGCUCUUCAAGAAACCCGCAAUCCGACAGGGCGCGGCGCUUCGAGAAACUCGCAAUCCAACAGUACGCCGUCAAUCAACGGUCACAUCAAAAACCCCUGCGGAACCACUUCGAGCGAGGGCAGCGUCUCCGCCAUCUAGUGACAUCUUCGGCACCAGGUGACUUUGUCGAACUGGUCCCUCGGAGGGCAAAUGUUGGGGCGAAGGCAAAGACGCCACCCUUCGCUCGAAGUCUUCGCUGCAGCCGCCGGUCUGACUGAGACAAAACAGGUAGGGACACCCUUCGCUGAUUCGGCACCAGACGAAGACCUGCGACGAAGUCAUCCCACAGUGCGGCCUCGUCCAGCUCAGAGGCCCGCGUGCGAUCCGGCCCAUUGUAACGGGCCCUGCGUGGCCGCUGUCUGUUACGGGCCUAAUUUGUAAAGGCAUCCCUGUAAUUACAGUCUGUAACCCCGCUUUAUGGGAAUAUUCUGGGGAUAACCUAGGUAGCUGAGGGCACAUGCAUCCUUAGCACAAGGCGCUGGGCGCUCAGGUACCUAUAAAUACCCCCGCACAGUGCCCGUGAGAGGCCAGAUUAGCAGAGCUAUUGCCUUCUAGCACGUAACCCUGUUGUCACCACUGUUCACCCUUGUUGGCCUCCUUGCGAUUGAGAGCAAGUUCCAAUAGUAUAUCUCUAUCCUGUCCCUAAUCAGGUCCCCGAAGGUCUUACUCAUCGCCCAUACAAAUGUCAACAAGGCGUUUCUCAGACCAUAGGGCAUUACAACAUGGCAGUAAAGCCCAUCCACUGUUACAAAAGCGAUAUGCUCCCUAUCUUCCCUAGCCAUCUGGAUCUGAUGGAACCCAGAGUAAGCAUCUAAGAAGGACAAAAGGUCGCACCCGGAAGUAGAGUCCAAGAUUUGAUCUAUGCGUGGAAGUGGAUACGGGUCCUUGGGACAAGCCUUAUUAAGGCUGGUGUAGUCGAUGCACAUCCAAAGCUUCCUGUUUGCCUUUGGAACGAUGACUGGGUUGGCCAGCCAUACGGGGUGAUGAACCUCUUCGAUGAAGCUAGCAUCAAGCAGCUUCCAGACCUCCUCACAAAUGAAUUCCUGCCACUCAAUGGACUGUCUCUGAGGCUUCUAACUCACCGGUUUGGCGUCAGGGUUGAUCUUCAGAUGGUGCUCAAUCACCUCCCUGGGGAUCCCAGGCAUCUGCGACGGUUCCCAUGCGAAAACGUUGACAUUUGCCCGGAGGAAGGCGACGAGCGCGAGUUCCUAUUUCUCCUCCAGAUUGCCUCCGAUGCGGGUGGUCCCGGAGGAGUCCGCGCCAAUCUGGAUGGCCUUGACGGGUCCACCGUCUGCUCCAGAUGGCUGCACCUUUAGCACCUUGGAAGGCGCCUUGGUACCGGAAGUCGAGGGGUCCCUCCCUCCAUCGUCCGGGCGAGCAGUCUCUACCGCCAGGGCAUGCAGCUUCUCAACAACCGCAAGUGCAGCGGUGCGGUCACCCCGCACGGUGAGGACCCCAGCUGGGGACGACAUCUUGAGGACCAAAUACUCGUAAUGGGCAAUGGCCAUGAACCGGUAUAGGGUCGGCCUGCCAAUAAUGGCAUUGAAGGGGAGGUUAACCUCCGCGACGUCGAACUGGACGUUCUCUGUGCGGAAAUUUUCCUCAGUCCCGAAUGUAACCGGGAGAGCGAUGCUCCCAAGGAGAUACACCGGUUGUAGGCCCACUCCGGAGAAUUCACGAGAGGGUCCCAGUCGGGACCCUGGGAUCUGCAGCUGCUUGAAUGCAGCAUGGCUGAUGACGUUGAGUCCAGCCCCACCGUCAAUCAGAACAUGGUGCAGCCGCAUGUUGGCAAUGACAGGGGUGGUGAUGAGCGGUAGUAUACCGGCCCCUGCCAUAUUGUCGAGGCAGUCGGAUGCCCCGAAGGAGAUAGUGGUGCUCCUCCAUCGCUGAUGUGGAGCAGCUUUCGGGACCCCCGGGACCGCCGAAAGGACCUCUCGGCGCAGGGACUUGACAUUCCUGUAGGAGGUGAGCUCCUAGCUCCUGCCGUACAUGACGUACAGCUUCUUACAGAGGUUGUUGUCGUCACCAGAGUCGGAAUCUCCAGUGAAAACGUCCUUCAGGACCCCCUCAGGUGACUGAUACCCGAGGUCCCGUUCUCCCGCAGCCGCGUCACCUUCGUCGACCUUCUCCUUGCCAGGUCAGCGACGAGGUGGCAAACCAUCCCUAGAGGCCUGCUCGCGUCGCUCACUGACGCGCUUCGCGAGCUUGAUGAUCUCGGGGCACUCCGAUGCGCUGUGGCUACUGUUGGGAUGGACAGGGCACGAGCCACUGUUGCCUCCCUGUGGCCAUGGGUGCUUGUUGCGCUCAUUCCGGCCCGCAGUCGCAGCCACAAUGACCAGACCAGCAGACUGCGGCCUCUCGUGGCCGCAGUUCUUCUUCUUCUUGUUGCCGUUCUGGGUGACGGCACCGGAGCCACCCGUCUGGGUGACUCCGAUAUGUGGCGCCGAGUGCCAUGCGCGGCCCUCGGCAGCUCUGGCACAUUUAUCAACCAGAGCAAAUAGCGUGGUGAUGGUUUCCAUGUCGUGUGUCGCUAGCUUCUCCAGCAUCUUCUCAUCACGCACCCCCUGUCGGAAAGCAGUGAUGAUAGAGGCAUCGUAGACGCGAGGUAUGGCCCCGCUUACCUUGGUGAAGCGGGCGAUGAAAGCCCGGAGAGUCUCCCCGGAUUCUUGUCUUACAACAUGGAGAUGAGCCGCCACACCGUGCUGCUGAUAAGCACUAGCAAAUUCGCUGUGAACCGUGCACAGAGCUCUUCCCAGGAAUAGACGGAUCCCGGGGUCAGAUUCAUGAGCCAGGUCCGGGCCGACUCGGUCAAGGCUACAUGGAAAUAGGUCACCAUCAUAGCAGUAUCUCCACCAGCUUCCGUAAUGGCGGUGACAUAAACCUGCUUGACGUACCGUCGUACUUCUCUAGCAGGUGUGGCUGAAACUUGGGCGGCCAAGUCGCUGCGUUGAGGUGAUCCGCUAGCGUGGUAUAGCCCACGCCAACCAAUGGGACACCCUUAUGGGUUCGGGCACCCCUUGGAGUUUGUGGCGCAAGCGGAGCAAAGUCCUGGUCGAGGUUGCGACCCUCAAAGUUUAGCCGGUGCUCACGCGCCCUCUCUAGAGAGACCCGUGCGUCCUCACCUGCACGCCUGCGGUUGAGUUCUGCCCGCAGGUCAUCAGGCCUCUCUAGAGAGAUUGGAGCAUCCUCACCCGCAAGCUGGCGGUUGAGCUCCGCCCGCAGGUCCUCAGUCGGUGCGGCCUUCACUGAAGGUGAGCGCAUCGAUGUCGAUGCCUCAUGUUGACGCUGGAAUGACCAAGGCCUGGGCCUGGCUGAGCUAGAAUGCAACAUGCCGAGCAGACGGUCGACAUCGUCACUCCACUGCUUCAUGGCCCAUGGCGAGGCCGUGGAGCUAGGAGGGUGGCGUAGCAACUCUCUGGCUGCAGACAAGGCCCCAGGCGCAGCCCUUGACGCUCUCGAUGUCUGCGCAGGAGUGUGCUGCCGCGCAGAGUGCACAUCAGCAGCACCAGGCGCAGGGUGGUUGGAGGCCCGUGGCAUGGAAGAUGCAGCCUCUUCCUCCAUCUGGAAGUCCUCGGGAAUGAAGUCAUGGUGCUCGACGAUCUGGACCAUGGUGUCGAGCAGGAAAACAGGCGAAAACCUAAUGCUCAGCCCCCCUACCUGGUGUGCCAAAUGUCAGAGAGAAAAUCCUCCAUCCGGGUGGAGGAACGCACCCGCCCUAAUCCUAAGAUGAGGAGGGGCCUAAGCGUUUUGCCUGUAUGUUGGAAGGUGGAAGAAACACACGAGGACACGAGAGUUUAGAGUGGUUCAGGCCGCCGGAGCAUAAUACCCUACCUCCAUUGUGUGAGUAGUAUUGAGAGUGUGAGAGCUUGUGAGCUUGAGAGUUAGUGUGAACCUGAGAGAGCUUGUCCUUAUAACGCUGUGUGCCUUCCCUUUUAUAGUCUAAGGGAAGGCACAUACAAGAAUACUGAGCCCCAACAUGUGGGCCCAGAACAUAACGGAAGGAAUACAUUCUGUGAGUAGUUAAUGCUAGUAACGCCUGAGCAAUCACCGGGAGUCUUGAUGUCCGCAAUCCAUGCUGCAUUGAUGGGCAGUUACCGUACGAAUAAUACGGGAGUAAUGGUGAGUAACUGCGUGGCCCACAUAUCGUGGACUGAGCACGCUGCCUGUCAGUGGAAUGGAUAGGCGCACGUCUUAUCCGUCGUGAAGGCGCGCGUAGCCCGGAGGCGUCAAGCCGGGUUCCGCCCGUUGGCUUAUGCCGCGCGCCGUAUGCCAUGUGGCAACAUCGGGGCUCCGCCUGAGCGGGGAGCAGGAGUGUAUGCGGAUAGGUCCGGAGCGCACCAGAGCAGGUCUGGACACGUGUCAGCUCCGGACCCCCGCCUGGACCCUAAGUAAGGUCUUGGGACCCCAGUGUGGGCGGUUCGGUCUGUACACGUGGGGGUCCUGGACCAUCUUGGAGGUUUGGACUGUAUAUCAUGGGGUCCGGUACUUUCCCAUGGGGGUCCGGACUCACUGUUGACGCCUUGGAGUAUAUCACUUUCUCUGGCCACGUGGCGGCCCCGGAGCCGCCCAUGUGGUGGGGUCAGGCGCUGUUGCUGGCCCAGAGUAGUCGCCUGAGGCUGGGGCGAGUCAUGGUCUGGUCCCAUGUACAGCGCCUUUACCACGCGACUAAACAUAGCUGCGUGGGUACUGGGUCUUCAUACAGUAGUAAGGGGUACCCUAGUUUCAGGGUACCGACAUAUAUAUAUACUACUUUUUGUAUGCAUAUAAAAAAAUCACAUAAUUUUAAAUAAAUUGAAAAUAUUUUAGAGGGCAUUCAGAAAUAUAUUAUUUAAUAACUUAACUCAUAUAAGGUUAUUCUCAUAAUAAAUUUUUUGGGUGCUACAACCAUCGCCACUGUCGUCGAUGUUGCCAUAGUUUUAUCCUACGGGACCUCCUCAAACUAAGGUUCGAUGAACUUUCUCAAAUUUAAUUCAACUUAGCCAAUGUAGUUCAAAUUAGUAGAUUCUAAAAAUAUUUAGUCAAUAUAGGUUGUUGGGUGCCUUCGGCUUCCGAAGGUCCUCAAAAACGUGAUUUGACAAUGUUUUCUAAGUAUGCGAGCAGCGAUCUUCGGAAUCAGGAAUCAGGUUGCGGGUAUACAGAAGCAUGGUCAAGACGAAGCUUGACUGGGACGGCGAUCACAAUGAAGGAUAAGAUGAUCACGAAGCUAUAUGCAGAAGAGCUUCGGCAUCACGGCGGGAAGGGGAAACCGACUUAAAGAUGAAAAGCCAAACUAGACCUCGAAGAAUUACUAUAGAGUUAUUGAUAAAUGUAAAGGGCAUUAAUGUAAUUUUGCAUGGGCUGCGACCCGUGCCUAUAAAUAGGUGAACAGUAUUCCCGUACUGUUCACGCUGACUUGGCAUUUACUUUGUGUCACGCCUGUAUUCUUUUCCUUCAAGCCGAAGGUACAUUUGUAAUUUAUCUUUAUUUAUACAAGUAAUAUAGAUGGAAAUAGAUUAAUAAUAAUGUUUAUAGAAAUUAUGUUACUUUUUUGUAUUUUGUUUAAAUGUUCUUCAUAUUUUAUCUUCAUCAUAAAGGUGUGUUCUUCAUGACCUUCGUCCUAAACUCAUUAUAUCCGAAGGGAAAUAAUGACUUGAGGGACGAAGGGCUUUUGAUAUUUAACAUUUUAUGUUGCCUUGUUCUUGAUUCAUAGCAUUUGAGAACAAGUCCCCAACAUAGGUCAACUCAGUAAAUUCUAGUUUCAUAUGUACAAAUUUACGAAUGGAAUUAUACUUUUUUCUAGUUUAACAUACUCAACCCUAGCUAUUUAAUCUACUUGAAUUUAUAUAUUCUAGGGAUCAGAAGUAAAUAUAGCAAACAUAUACCAAAACCCCUCUAUCAGUGGUACUACCAUCUAAAGACAAGGAUAGUUUGUUACAUCUCAAUAACUAUAUUAAUUUUGUUACUUAUUGAUAGUUGCCUAGAGGGGGGUGAAUAGACAACACUUGAAAAUUCAAUACUUAAAACAAACUAAAUCCUAAAUUAGAGGUUAGAUCAAUAUAAUUAAUAUGGAUAGGAGAAAUGAGAGUGAAACUCUCUUGGACUUGUUGCUCUAUUGUGAAUAUAUAAUCUAACUUAGAGAGCAACUCAAGUGAUAUAAACCGAAGUCCAAUCAAAAGAAUUUAGAGAGAGAGAGAGGCAAGAACAAAUCGCAAUAAAAAUGAAGAACAUAAGAGACACACGAUUUUUUUAUUAAGGUUCAGUUCUGAAGAACCUAUGUCUCCAUUGAUGUGUCAUAGAGGAUGGAUUCUCUCUUGACUCUCUCAAGUGAUCCACUGAUCAACCUUGAGCCCUCAAAUCCACUAAGAAUAGAGAUAGAGUUUCUACAAGGCAUUCUAUAAGAUCUGGAGCUUCUUGCUAGCUUUUACAACAGAGUAUCACCAAAACAAGAGAAAAAGAAACACGACAACAACACCAAGAAAGCAUAUCACUGAGGCACACUCUCUCUAAAAUGACUUUCACAACUUAGAAUGGGUGCUUCGAUCUCUCAAAAUGACGUGGAUGCGUUGCACAAGUGUAUGGGAAUGUUGCUCAACUCUGAGGUGAUUAGUAACUUGAGUAGACUAGUUGCACAGUAUUUAUAGCUCCAAACCCCCAAAUAGUCAUUGCUAGAAAACUGCAAAAUCUGCUCUUUCCUCGAGGGCACCGGACUAGUCUGGUGCACCACUGAACCGCCAACAAUAACCUCGAUCAAUAGAAUUUCCUCUGUCCCUGCCUUCCACAGACACCGGACCAAUGUGGUACACCACUAGACCCCACCAUGUGCCCUACCACGUCAGCUAGCCGUUGAAACCGAUCGUUGAGAGCUAAAACAUCCUGUUGGACUCAAUUGGUCUGAUGCACAUUAGACUGAUUCAACGUGCUAAGGUACUCCAAGCUUCAUCUAUAUACCUCUCUGAAAAAGAGGUCCGAUGUACCACUGGUGCGCUAGGCCUCAACUGCGCUUCUAUAGUUCUCUUUGGUAAAGUGGUCUGGUGCACCAGGCCACUCAACCCUCCUGCACCAGCCUUUGCAAAGAAGGUCCGAUAUGCCACCAGACUAGUCCGGUGCACCACAGAACAACUAAAGUUUGGCACUUCUUUUCACGUCUUCUUCAAAUCAAUUUGACUAACUUUGACAAAUGUAACACCCCUGGUGUUACUGGCACUAAAACUUGAGCAUAACAUCAUGUGCAUUGACAUUUCAUGUUGUUUGUUACACCUUGAAUGUAUUCACUAGGUAAAAAUGUCAAAACAAGUUGUGAUGUGGUGGCUUGAAGAGUGCUUAACCCUAGGGUAGGAUACUUAACCCUGGAAUUAUGACCUAUGGAUGAAAGUGAAGCCCAAAGGAGUAAAAUCUAAAAAGUCAUGAGAAAUGUUCACAAGAUAUCAAAUUUGAUGAACUUUAGUGGCACAAAAACCCUAAUGUGCCCAAACCCUAAAAACAAACCCUAGCAAACCCUAAUGAGAACCCUAGGGGGUAAAUGCAAAUUCUAUGCACUUUUGGACCAAAGUGCAAAUAUCAAAGUGAAAGAGCAUUAAAAACCAAGUAACUUUCACAUUGGAGAAUUUUCAAGUUGAAUGAUGAAAUUUGGACUUAUUUGCAAAAGGGUCACAUGAGCACUAUGUGACUAAGUCUGAAAUACAGUGAAGUUAAGUCAACUUGGGAGCUCUGUAUCUUUAAAUUUAUAAGAAUUGUGCCCUAAGUCAACACAUCAAAAUUAUAGAGCUAUGUUAGGAGUACAACUUUGAUUAAGUGACUAAGCAUUGGUGUUGCACAAAAAUUGGAGUAAAAUGGACUCAAAGCUAGGCUGUCAGUCGGAUCAGGGCUGAGGGUUGGACUGACAGUGAGCUCAGGUGAACUUUGAGGGCCGAAUUCGGUGUGAUCCGAUGAGAAUUCACUCAUGGUCUUUAUAAUGAAAUCACAGCUGGUUUAUAGGAGAUUAAUUUUGCUACAGACCAAUUAGAGAGUGGCCACACAAAAAUUUGUGAAAAUCACCCCUAAAGAUGCUCUGUCAGGCGCUCUGAAGGGAGUUUUGAUGGUACAGUAACCUGAAGAAGAAUCUAGGUUCAGUGAAAUCGCCGCCGGUGAUCCCGCGCCCGGAUUCGCGCCGGUCGCCGUGAUUCAUGCUCGACGCAAAGUGGAUAACCGAGGGGAGUAUAAGAUCUUGGCGCCUAGAUAAGCUCGGACCCGGUCACUGGAUGGCUCACCGUAACCACUUGCUCUAUGGCCGGCUGUGAUAAUCCUCGCCGGCGUUGGCCGCUUGCCACCCGUGCGCCACGUGCCUAGGAGCUUUACCAUGUUACAGUGAACCGUAGUAGGAAGUCCGUCCAUCGCCGGAGGCUUUGCCACGGUGAAAGCCACGAUAACCCGCGCCAGUGCACUUCCCAUCUCUCCGAUCGCCAGCGCGCCUUUUCAAAUUGGACGCCACCGCUGAUGGAUUCUAUAAAUUGAUGCCCUAGUGAGGUCCGCUAGGUUAUUACGCACCCAGCGCACCAGCUCUCGUCUCUGACCGUCCACCAGAGCCUCCCAAUUUCACACUUCCCCCAAAUCCGUUUUCCGCGCCGCCGUGAGUCUCUCACCGUGGCCAGCCCUCCUCAGGUUGGUUCAUGCCUCUCUGUUGGAUGUUCUAGCAUCUCUUAGGUCUCCUAUUGCUUGUCGGCUUGGUUGAUUGAACUAGACUGCACUGAAUUGCCCAGAACACCAUAGUUUCGCCUCGGAUCUUGCCGUCGUAGUGGGCAGACGAACUCCAGACCAGAUUCAUGCAAUUAAUGGAGGGAUUAGUGUCACCGAGGGUGGAAUUAGGUGUCGGCCAAGCUAGGGCUCUGGUCGUUGAGUAUCUCGACCGAUAUGGGUUCGCCGGAGGGCGUGCUCACCGGCGUUCAUCAUCGGGGACCUGUCGCUGCGAAGAAAUAGAAGUGCAGGGCCUAACUGCGAUUGUCAGUGAGACAGUGAAUAGUAGCCAGGGGUUCUUCGCUGAUUAUUUAAAUGGUCAAGGUCCUCUGCGCAAAGUUGACAUCACGGGCGCGCGCGGGCGCGUUUCGCCUGGACGUGGGCCGGUUCGGGCUGGUUUCAGCCCAUCACUAUUCAUCAUUUUCCCUUUUCUUUUUCUACCAAGCUUAGAAAAUUUGUAGGAAAUUCUAGAAAAAUGAUAAAAAUAUGGGACCAAUUUUACUAGACUCCUAAAUUCCUCUAGGAUUUGAUAAAAAUAAUUCCAAGAUUUUUAGUCCCAACCACGAAUUAUUUAGCAUUUAAGAAGGCCUAAACCUAGACUUUUGGAAUUUUAGAAAUUACUUGAUAGCCCUAGAAAUCAUAAAACUUUUUGGGCAAGCUUAAUAUGAUAAUUAGAGUCCUUGGGUGAAGUUUGACAUGUUUUGGACAUUGUUUGAUCCCCAAACCCAAAACCCUAGCUUUCUAAGGUAAUAGUUGCCUUAUCCUAAUAGAGUACUGACUCAGAAAACCCUAGUUACCCAGGUGUACCGUGAAGGAAAGUUGUAUUCAAGAUACAACUUGAUGUAUCUCUAUUAUAACUGCAUAUUCAUAGCAUCACAUGAGCAUUCAUGUAUAUGUAUGGUUAUGUAUAGAAAACGAAGAAGAAGUAAUUGUCGAAAAAGAAGAAACUGCACCACCAACUGAGACUCCACCUGCCGGGAAUAGUUUUAUUUUGAUAUCUGUGGAACAGAUCCCGAAUCCCCUACAACACAAGGCAAGCCCCAGUGCAUUUACCCCUUCCUUGCUGUUUUAAACUCUUUAUCACUUGAAAUGAUGCAUUAGGUGAUAGGAGUUGGGUGAUAAACAAUUGCUGCAUUCCUUCCUUGGAAUUGAUUGCCAUUUCUUGAUACCUGUUUUACUUGAAAAGAAUUUCUAAUGCUUAGUCCUGCUUUAGAAAACAAAAAUGUUUUGUUUUUUGAAAGACAAAGAUGAUGCUUCACAUGGGACGGGAAGUUUUCAAAAGAAAAGACUUGAUGGUGGAUCCAUCAUGGCCAUGAUGGGUUCAACAUCGGAAAAGAUGUACCUAUGUCAGGUACCACAGUUUGGGAUUGAAAAUGAUAAAGACGAGACUAGGCGGGUGACUUGCACGAGACGGAAGUCUCGGUGUAGUGUCUCCGUCUGAGUCGAUUAAGGACCGUACCGAUGUAGGCUUGAUGGUCGAGGACCUUUUAACUAGCUACAUGCUUCGUCAUGGGUAAGCUUUGCCUCGGGCAGACCAAUACCAGAAAGGCCAACACGCAAUGGGAGUGGAGAGAUGGCGAGAGUAGCGUGUACCCUCCAUGGUAAGAGGAUGGACGGUGGUGUAUCUGUGCUCUCGGUUGGCGUGAACCUGGUCUGGUCUUGAGAAACACGGUGGCGAGUUGACAUAUGCAAGGGUUAAGUGCUACAUAUGUCGUGUGGUUGGAGAUUCCUAGCUGGGUAUUAAUCGAUUCGGAUCGCCGUUACUUCUCGGAUAUGAAGACUUGGUCAAUGACUUACACGUAGCAAUCCAGUAAACUAGGGAUGAUGAAAAGAUGGCUAGUGUAGGCCAAGUGUUUGAACUAGGGUAGAAAGAACUCUAGAUUCAGGUAAUGACUUAACCUGAUAAUAAAACUGGAUUUUUAAGGAUCCACUGUUAGUAAGGAUUUCUGCAAACAGAAUCUUUGAUUCUUGAAUAGCCUUACCUUGACUCCCUCAAGCCAACAUAUCCUUGAGAGUCUUUUUCUUUUGUCGGGUAAGACUUGCAAAAGUACAUUCAGUACUUAGGGUUUUCGAACCCAUGUUGUUGUAGGUGAGGAAACGGCAGAAUUUUGUUCUUUUUGUUCAAAGGUGAUACCCAAGGAAGAGCACCAGCAGUGAAGUCAGUCGCGGGAGGAUGUUUUGCGUCCCACCUUGAAAGCAAUAAACUUUUGUGCGGUAGGGUGUUUUGCCUCCCUGGUCUGUAAUAAUACUUUAAGCACUCAUAUACCCUUGUAUUGUAAUAAUAAUACUCUCUCUCUCUAUAUUUAAUGAAUGUAAAUUAAGUUAUUGUAAUCUGCUUUCGCUUAUCCCUUUCCUCCGAUGUGAUGUAAUAUCUGCGUGACGGGUGAAGCGCUCUUAGGCGAAAUGAUGAGGAUACAGUUACCGAACUUCUCGAGUGAUUACGUGCAUCUAAAGGGUUGUCUAAGGUCCUUAGGACAAGGACAACUGUAGGUGGGCCUAAUACCUUGGGAGGUUCCAUCACAACAAACUUCCUAUGACUUAGACAAACUUAUUUAGAUACUAAUAUCCAUUAGGUCUAAACCAUAGUUUUUUACAAGUCUCCAACUCAAAUUCCUGUUAUAGGCUCAAACUCGGCUCCAAAUGCACCUUUUCUGAAAUUUCUCAAUCCAAAGCCUCUAAGGUGCUCAAAAACAUUCCUAAGGGCAGUUAGAACUUAUCCAUGUUUUGCCCUAUUUUUCCUCUGUUUGAGCUACAAGUUGAGUUGGUUUCCACAAAUUGACACUUAUGAACCUACAAGUGCACACUUAGCAAACUAGUUAGUACUCGGGGUUGUGUUGGUCAUUAAUCACCAAAAUCAAGUUAGAAAUGGCAUAGAGCACAUUUCCCUUUCACUUAUAAUGCUAUAUCUUCUAAUUUAUUCUCUAAUGGUAGACUUUGCUCUUUAUUACAAGAUGAUAGAGCUACUAACUUUGUCAAUAACAUAUUUGCUUUCGUCAGUAGCGGGCAUAACUCCAAUGAUCCUUAGUUUCCAUAAAUCUUUGUCUUUUUGCUAGAUGAGACUUAAAAUAUUUGCUUGUUUUGUCGAUGACUUUAUGAGUGAUACUUGAAUGUUGUUGAUUGUGAUGGUAUAAUGUUGUUGAAUGGAUAAUAUGUGUGCACUUGGUUAUUAUAAUGUGAUAGAUAAAUAUUGAAUGAUAUGAUUAUGUUAUAUGAUGUUGAAUGACAAAUUAAUGAAAUGUGAAUUGUAUAUUGAUAUGCAGUUGAAAUGUCAUUUGUAUAUAGAUGUGCAAGAAAAUUCUAGAUCCCUGAAAUGAUCUAUUUUCAGUGGCUACUAAUGGUCGCUAGAACAAGCUGCCAAAAGUCAGUUGGCUUUUUCGGUGGCCACUGGUAGUCGCUAAAAAUAACUAUAUCAGUUUUAUUUUUGAUGGUUAUCAUGUGAUCGCCAAAGAUAAUGCUUGUUUUUGUUCCAAACUUCCGACGAAAUGGGGCCACUGAAAACAACACUAAAGCCACCAAAACAAGUUACUUUCGAUGGCAAAUGCUUAUUUUUGGUGGUUUGUCACCCUCGAAAGUCAAUUGUAUUCCUAUAGUGUGUAGAGUUAGGACACUCGUGCCCUUGCAUGGCUUAACAACUGUCAUGCCCUAUAUUGUACAAAAGACAUCUAAAUCCUUUAAAAUCAACCCAUGCUACUCACUCAAAACCAUUGCCCAUAGCCCACCCCACAUCUCUCAUGAUUGGCCGCCCUCCCUCCCUUGCUCAUCCUCAUGUCACUGAUGUUCGAUGCUUUACUUGAGAGAGUAUGUGGGGUGCCUUGAUGUCCAUGAUGGAUGGCCCAUGCUAUGAUUGGACUCAUUGUCUAGGCAUAUUGGCAUGGAAAUAGGUGCAUCCUCGACGUCCUUUGCUUGUCGGUCUCCUCUCCUCGCACCACCUAUCUUUGGCUCUUUGACGACCAUUCGAGAGAGUAGGUGGGCAGCUUCGAUAUCCAUGAUGGAUGGCCCCCUUUGCUUGGCCCCAUGUGCAAAAAGUGGAGAGCUAAAGGCACAUCAUGACAUCCAUAGCUUGAUUGAUCUUCUCUCUUCAUACUGCUUGCCUUUAGCUUUUUUAUGACCAUGCAGGAGAGCAAGUGGGGUAGCCUCAAUGUCCAUGGUAGAUUCCACCUGUGCUAUAUAUACCCCAUAUGCAUGAAGUGGGAAGGUAGAUUACAGGGUUGGCAUGCAAGCUCCAGAAAAGAAGAGGGAAAUAGGGGAUAGAUCCUCAAGUGCAUCCACCUACCCCAAGGCUGUGCUCCUCCGUUUUGGUACAAACACAUCGUUCCCAAUGGUGUUGCUCAUAGUGUGUCAUACAUGUGUGCUCCGGUCGUGCCUCUACAAAUGCUACUAGUGUACUUGGUGAACAAUGUGUGUCAAAGCUCCAUGUGUGGUUUUAAUAAUUGAGAGAACUACUAGAGUAUCUUCACUCUAAUAUCAUAAAUGAUCUAGGUUUAAUAUAACACCCUGAAUUUGGGGGUAUAAAAUUUCUUCUCUAGUAUCCACCAAAUUUAGGUGUUACCUCUCUUCUCCUCUCUCCAUUUUCCUUUUUCUCUUUCUUUUAGUAGUGGAUUGUCUAUUUUAUUUGGAAAUGCAAUAAUACUUUAGUAGAUCAAACUCCAAGGGAGUAUGAAUUGUUGCAUCAUGUUGAACCCUAAAUUCUAUUUUUGUUUGAUACAUAUGCUUGUCGAGUUCCAAUUUGAAUUUAGGGCAUAUUUAUAUUUGAGCUUAAAUGAUAAAAUAAAAAUAAAAGGAGAUCGGAUAAUCAGAAUAAAAGAAAAGGAGCCUUUCGGUCCAGUCAGCCCACUCCAGCCGCACAUUUGCCUCUCUCUCCCUCUGCCACUCGGGCCACACCUAUCGGCGCCAAUCCCCUUAGCCGCGCACGGUCUCUCGCUCUCUGCCUCGCGGGCUCCGUGGGCCCCACUCGCCAGCCGCCCUGCAUGUACAUCCGCUGACACCCUAGCCCAAACUGUCAGUUCCAUCUCCCUCCCAGCAACCGCCACUCUGCCCGGUGCGCGACGCCGAGAGAGCCGGCCCAUGUCGCGCCAUCCCCUCACGCAAUCCCCACGACCCCCAGCUCUUUUGAGCCUCACGCACACCUGCUCUCUCUCCCCCUGCCCCAUUUCUCUCACUCGCAGCUCAUCUUGUGCAAAAUCACCACCGCUCCGAGCUCGUGUGUGAUGCACGCCCGUCGUGCCGCCCAUGCCUGGAGCCUCUAGAUGUCAUGCGAAGCCUCCCUGAGCACCGCCCCAAGGUAAGGAACCACACCCCGUGCUCCUUUUGCCUUAAUUCCACUUCACCAUAGCAGAUUUGAGAUCGCUGGAGCCGCUACGUGAUCCGCUGUGCCUCCGUGGUGCUCGGCCGAUAUAGCCCCACCCUAUGCCCAAGCCUCAGCCCCGGAUGCCCAAACCCCCCACCGAAGCUCACGUCGUCCUCGGUGCACUCGAUCAUCCCUCAUUGCGGACAAAAUUCCUCACCGGAGCACCGUCCAACCCGCCUAGAGUGCCCCUCCACCGUCCACCCACCUCUGACCCCCUUCUCUUGGCCGAAGUCCCACCGCAAGUUUUGCCGGGUUCCCUCCAUCUUCCUUAGCCUGCUCAGGCGACUCCUGACCCCUAGAACCUAGGCCCGCCUUGUCUCCUGCAACCUCACCGUCGUGGGCGAGAGCGACGCUGCCCAUAGCCAGCCGAAGCCGUUAAACCCCCCCUGGGUGCUCGAUCUCGACUGCCCACCCAUGAUCCAAUGGCCUCGAUCCUUAGAUACCGGUUCGCGUUGGUUCAUUGAACUAGUGCCCUUAAUUCCCCAUCCAGCGGCUUACAGCUCAUGCCCUUGCGCACCUCUUCCCCUAGGUCCCGCUUGUCAACCGCCCGUACUCCUGCCGCAGGGCCCAGCUGGUGUCACACCUAGUUUUGGAAGGCAAACCAAAUACAAACCAUGUACGUGCUAGGAUAAGAAACUCACGUACAAAGCGAUUACAUAAUUGGACAUCAUCACACAUUGCUCAAAGUAAAUAGCAGAAAGGGUACUUUAUUACAUCAAGAUGUCCAAGACAUUGACAGAGUCACUACAUAACAUAGUCAUUAAUAAUGUCAAAGUGUGGAAUACGAAAUGUAGCAAAUAAGGCUUUCACAGGCAGCUGACUGGGGGUUUGCCACUAUCAUAACUAGAACUCGUCGUAGUCCUAGAACUCCUCAAAGUCCUCUAUGUUGCCUGCAUCUUUUUCUGAGCACUGAAUACAGUGGGGACAACUUGGGGGUGGGGGUGUUUUUAAAGGAAGGGUGAGUACAUAUCAACGUACUCAGCAAAUGUCCCGUUUGGCUAAAGUGGACUGACUGUAUGUGGAGUUAAGGUUAAGCAGUUACUUUUAGUUGGUCAAGUAUUUAUUACUAAUUGUAGAGCCAAAGUUUAGUAAUAAACCCAGUUAUUACCGAAAUGUACUCCCUCCAAGAGGAAAUACCAGGGAUCAUAAUUUUAACCAUCAUCAUUAAACAUCAUCAUAAAAGUUUCCAAAGUUCUUCUAAUCAAAGAGGAUCCCAAGGCUGCUCUUAACCAUGAGCAUGACUGAUAUACCAGUUUCUAACACUCUACAUAGGUUGCACACUUUACCCACGAGUCAUGAAUCCCAUUCUGCCUGGAGAUCAUGCCUCCCCAUUGAUCACUACCAAGGUGACCUGGUGGGGUAUCACUACGUAGCCUUUACAAAGACUCCCCUGGUGCAUAGCUGCUCGUUAGGUUUUUUCAGUCGUACAAACAAAGUACCCCUCCCUAAGGUGGUUGAGUAACAAAACAAAAUCGAAUGAACCUCGGCACCCCACCCUUAGCAGAGUGAGCACUAUGUCUCGGCCCCAUUGACGGCCCUCCGACAAAGCCAACUACACCCCUAUGUUUAUCUAAUUAUUCAGCUAAGGGCGUCCCAUUCCACCCUCAUGGUUGCACUGUUAUCCUAGGUGGUCACUCAACGAACAUGUCCUUACAGAGAGGUACUCAGAAAAAUAGCCUCAGUCCCCUAAAGUAUCACAAGAUUAUCAUUGAGAUAACAUCAUCACAUCAUAAAGAUUCACAUCAUGUUCGUUGAUUAAGUUAAAGCAAUAACAUAAAGCUAACCAUAAUAACCCAAAAAGGUAACAAGGACAAGAUGAAUACAAACUAGUCAAUCCUUAUGUUUCAAUAAGGUAAUGCGGGACGGUGAAUUAUGAAGUAAGUAGGACAUAGUAGGCCAGAUGACACUUGCCUUCACCAGGUUGUUGCUCAAGAAGAUCUUCGGCAACACACUUAGGCACCACGGGCUGCUCGUUGUCUAAAUAAAGCGAUCAUGCAUUCAAUACAUUUGGAUAAAGACAAAUGAACAAUACACCAAACAUGUACAAACGAGUGAACAUAUCUCAAAAGAACAGUGUAAUCUCAAGAAGUAACUUAGGUUAUAGGGUGAACUAACACAUUUAGAAGUUUGUUAUUUUCUAAGUAUUAUUUAUCUCCAUAGGUUACAUAAUUAGGUUCUACCUAUUUUAAUGUGGCACAAAAAUUAUACCAGGGAUAGAUUCAUACAUUGCAUAUCAUUAAUUUCACAAAGGUACACAUCUAGUUACUCUUGGGGUUUUCCUUUUUAUUUUCUUAUUUAAUAAAUACACUAUUACAUAAACUAACCUAUAGUCUAGGCAUAAAAUUAGAAUGUGCAGACAGUGAAUGAUCAUAAUUUGUUUGAACAGAGAAUAAUCAUAUAAACAUUUUGCAAUUGGAAUCACUUAAUUUGGAGUUCAUAUGCAAAAGAUAUGAAAUAAACAAGUUUUGAAGUUUAAAAUACAAAAUUAGUCCUAAAUCUAUGAUUAAAUAAAAACCUAGGGUUCAAUCUGCAAGAUUACAGGGGCCUGCGCGUGAAACUGAGGGACAGCGGGUUCUCUUACCUAAGAACUAGGGGUUCUUUUUACAAUACGGAAAUCCGAAGGGGUAUUGGGCCUUCCCAACCGUCAGAUCUCAAAUAGACGACCAUGAUUAGAACUGGCGGGGUGAGCGCACGGGCGCGCGGACGUGGAUGCCUCUAGCAUGUGGGGUCCACGGGCCAGCGACUCGGGCAGGUGUACCGCUGGGUGCUAGAGCGCCAGCGUUUGACGGGUGGGGCUACGGCAAGACCAAGCCCGCUGGUCAGCGGCGUGGGGCAAGCACAGGCAUGGCGGCGAGGACGCACUCGCGGGCGGGGCCCACCAGGCGGCGACAAAGAGCAGGAGGAAAGGGUUAGGAACAGCGCUGACGUGUGGGAGUGUGGGACCUAGGGUCCAUCGGUCAACGGCCACGCGAGGGGAAAGAAGAGGGGGAAGAAGUGAGGCUGGCGGGUGGGUUCUCCUUGUCAGGACCGCCGUCUUCCUCGGCCGCACACACGGAGCGAGCUCCAUGGCCGGAGCCGGCGACUCCACGUGGGCGAAGAAGGCACGGGGCAGUUGCGGUUGGCCGAGGGGUCUCGGUAUGACAGCACGGUACCGAUAUCGGAGAUCAUCGGCGGCUAAUUGACGGAACAGAGAAAACGAGGGAGAAAGAAGGAGAAGUCCGGUAGGGAAAUUCACCUUGGGUGAGGCGAAAACGACGACGAGGCUUUGUCUGGCGGUGGCAGAGCAUGGUCGGGGACGUCGGUCAAGCUCUGCUGGGGGCGGAUUCGGGCGCAGGAAGCCUGGCGAUGGGAGAGCUCCGACGAGCUUGAAGAACGGGCGUGCACAGCUCGAGUGAGUGUGCAGGGGUGAAAUGAAUGAGGCAGAGGGAAAGUGGGUGCGUGUGGGGACUUGAGGAGGGGGUCGAGACGACAGUUUGGCGUUGGGGGCGACGUGGGCGUGGGGGUCUCGACGUGCAUGCACGCGGUCUGCGCGGGCAAGCGGUUGAAGAAGGGGAGGGGGACUGGCAAGCGUGGCCCGCAGAACAUCAACACAGACGCGCGAGCGCGCAACAGGCCAGGGCGCCGACAAGGCGGCCCCACUGGGCAGGGAAGGAGAGGGCCGGCGAUCUAGCUAGGCGCGGCGCCGAUGGGACGGGCCCACAAGGCGGUAUGAGCGGGGGGAAGGCGGGCGCUCACGAGCGGGCCAGCUGAGCCGAAAGGCCGGAACAUGGGGGAAGCUGGGCUUCUUUGGUUUUCUCAUUUAUUUCCGAAUUUCUAAUUCCUUUUCCUUUUAUUUUCUUUAGUGAACUCAGUUCAAAUUGAAAUCUAAUUCAAAUUCAAACCUUUUCAAACAUGUGCAUCAAUCAAAAGGAUAGUUUAGGCUCAGCAUGAAGCAACAAUUCAUAACUCACAUUGUUUUGACAAAAUAUGUAACACCCCGAGAUCCACAAACACCCCAGAAUGCUACUAAACUACACCUCUAACAUUCGUAUAUAAAAUUUUAACAGCAUCUCCUUUGAAAAUUGCAUAAACGGGGAAGCAACAAAGUAUAAAUCGAUAUCAUGAUAAGAAAACAUAAUCGACAUUAAUAAUCUGCUAGCAAUGGGAAGACAACCAUAACGGCAUGAACUAAAUUAACCAGUGCGCACAACUAGUUAGAAACAAACAUCCUUUGGCAAGAAGCUUCUAAUUAAAUCAUGACUACGCCUAAGCAGUGUUAUUAUGAGAGUGAAGGUGGAUGUGCUGCUACUUUCCACUUCCCUGGAUGAGCAACAAGCACCUGCAUUGAGUAAUGCAAGAGUGAGAUGAAAUAUCUUAGCAAGCGAAUUGUUUUGACGAGAUAUUUAAACCACAAAUUGAAUUAAUCAACAUUUGAAAAGAAUCACAAUUAAGAUCAGAAAUACUUGUACAUAUAGAACUCAGUAGUCCCAAUAUAACCAAUACUAUCUCAUUUCCUCGAACAACCACCAUAGGUUCUAUAACACUUCUCUGCAUCAACAAAACCUGCAAAUAUCACUUCAAUGUAUGCAUAGGAAUGCAAAGUGUAGGUACUCUGUCUUCAUACCUCUGAAGGUAUAAAACCACAUCAUCUGCAAAUAUCACUUGAAUGAAUGCAUAUGAAUGCAAUGCAUAUGUCCUCUGCCUUCAUACCUCUAAGGGUAUGAAGCUGCAUCGCACCCCUCCUCGGGCAACGUACGAUGCUAAGUUGUACCGGUACAGUCGGACCAUAGGUCACGACACAACUUCAGAUGCAAGUGAAUCAUGAAAUGUAUAUGGCAUGCUGCAUUUAUCAAUAUACUUCACUUCCUUCACAUACAAUACAACCUCAAAUAAUACUUCAUUUACCUUGAGAUACAAUACCAACCUCAAAUAAUACUUCAUUUACCUUCAGAUACAAUAGCAACCUCAAAUAAUACUUCAUUUACCUUCAGGGGUGUGAAUUAAUCUCAUGAGUCAUACUCGAAUCAUAAUCAUCAUCAAUAUAUGAUUGAGCAUCAGUAUAAUGCAAGCAAGUAAAGCUUCACCAUAGAGUCCAAUUAUGAAAGAAUCCAAUUGUUGGGGCGAAGGCAAAGACGCCACCCUUCGCUCGAAGUCUUCGCUGCAGUCGCUGGUCUGACAGAGACAAAACCGGCAGGGACACCCUUCGCUUGAUCGGCACCAGACGAAGACCGGCGACGAAGUCAUCCCACAGUGCGGCCUCGUUCAGCUCAGAGGCCCACGUGCGAUCCGGCCCAUCAUAACGGGCCCUGCGUGGCCGCCGCGCGUUACGGGCCUAAUUUGUAAAGGCAUCCCUAUAAUUACAGUCUGUAACCCCGCUUUAUGGGAAUAUUCUGGGGAUAAUCUAGGUAGUUGAGGGCACAUGCGUCCUUAGCACAAGGCGCUGGGCGCUCAGGUACCUAUAAAUACCCCUGCACAGUGCCCGUGGGGGGGGGAGAUCAACAGAGCUAUUGCCUUCUAGCACGUAACCCUGUUGUCAUCAUUGUCCACUCUUGUUGGCCUCUUUGCGACUGAGAGCAAGUUCCAACAUUUGGCGCCCAUCGUUCGUGCUACGAGAAAACCACCCGCGAUGGCACCCAAGGGAGCUAACCCGAAGGCUGACGAGGCUGCGAAGGCAGCACUGCUCGCCGCUAGAAAGGGCAAGGCCCUCGCCCUCACCCAAUCCACCCACCAAGAAACCACUGAAGACAAUCGCACCUGCGAAGACGACACUUUCCGCACCUGCGGCCUUGAAGGACAAUCGCAGCCACCCCCAGGCUUCGCCCCACUGGAAGGAACGGACCUCACCGAGGAUGGUGAAGUCCUCGGCGUCUCAGCGAAAGAACAGCUACAGCUGCGCGCCCUGCGCCUCAAGAACCGCAAUCUCCAGAGGCAGAAAGAGAUACUGGAGGCCAAGCGCCAGCGUGUGUCCGCACUAGCCAAAGUGCGGCAAAUGAUACACGACGAAGAGCAGAAGGCACAAGACCUCGAGCGCGAGAUCGCGCUGAUGCAGCGCGAAGGCCACCUUGGCCUGCAGCAAGGGCCACCCCUCCAGCAGCGCGCACAACUGGAAGACACGUGCGAAGGCCACCUCGGCCUGCAGCAUGGGCCACCCCUGCAACACCGAGCACAACCGGAAGACCCGCUUUUCCCCCAGCGUGACUACACCUUCCAGCACGCCGCGCCAUUCCAAGGGGUCAACUAUCUCGACGAGCGAAGUCCCCUGGCGCCACACCUGCAAGUGACGCCUUGGCCAGCUAACUUCCGAGCAGGGACCUAUCCCAAGUACAACGGCAGCACCGACCCGGCGCAAUACAUAAUGAGUUAUCAGGUCGCCGUUGCAUCCGCCGGAGGGGACGACGCCACAAUGGCGAAGUCUUUCAUCAUCGCCCUAGAGGGCCCAGCUCUCACCUGGUUCACCAGAUUGCCUCCGCUGUCCAUUGAUUCCUGGAGAAGUCUCAGGGACAAGUUCCUGCUCAACUUCCAAGGGUACCGCCCAGACACCGACGCCUUGGCCGAGCUCUCGCUUUGCAAGCAGCUGGAAAAGGAGACUCUGCGGGAGUAUUACCGCAAAUUUCUAACACUCAAGUCACAGCUGCCCUCCGUUGAUGAUCAGAUCGCUAUCCACUACGCCAUCAGUGGCCUUCGUGGCGGCGUCCUCUACAACCACUGUAUUAGAGAUCCGCCCAAGAACCUCCAGGAGCUAUAUCAGCUCUUUGAAAAAUAUGCCAAAUCCGAAGAGCUCCACCAGCGCAAGGUUGAGUCACAGCGGAAACCCAAAGAUGCCCCACAGUCCAGCCGCACGUGGACAAGGACUCCGCAGCCAGACUCCGGUCGAGAUGGCCGCAGUCAGCAGCAAGUGCACAACAUCGCCAACCAGCAUCCCGCUGCUGACCCCCCUCGUCGCCAGGAAUAUCCCCCCAGGGCCGCAGAAAUGGAACUCGUGGUAAGGGCCGAGGGCGUGUGCAGCCGCCGCGCCGAUUCUACUGCCUAUUCCAUGGCGAAGACUGCGCCCAUCAAACCAAAGACUGCCCCGAAACGAAGGCCACCAGAGACAGAAUGGCACGGGCGCAGCCAGCCGACAACCCCAGAAUUGUCGCGCACAAUUACCAGCAACCCCCUCCACCAUAUAUCCACGCUCCCGCUCCGCACCCACCGCACCACGCUUACCAACACCAUCAGGAAAUACAAAUCGUACCUCCUCCACCCCCACCACCAAACCAGCAACAUCAAAACAUCCCCCAUGCCCCAAAGCAGGAAGACUUCGCCGAUCAACCAUAUCGCGGAGUCAUUCACAUGAUAACUGGGGGGUCCAGCACUGACUUCGACACCAAGCGGCAGAAGCGGGACCACUACCGCAGCAUCAACCAUGUCGCCGUCACUGGCCCAGUCGUGCAGACAAAGUGGUCCCACAUACCGCUAACCUUCGACGCACGAGACGUCGACCUGCGCAGUGCCCCCCACAUCGACGCUAUGGUUAUCAAUUGCAGCAUGGCAGGCUGGGACCUACACAAAGUCCUAGUCGACAACGGCAGUCAGGCGGACAUCAUCUUCCUCCACGCCUUCGACCGCAUGGGUAUAAGCCACAGCCUGCUCAAGCCUUCGGACAACCCGUUGUAUGGCUUCGGCGGCAAGGGCACCUUUCCCGUCGGCAAAAUCGAGUUGCCCCUCUCCUUCGGUGUAGCACCCAAUGCCCGAAGUGAGCAAGUGACUUUCGAUAUCGUGGAUAUGGUAUAUCCAUACAACGCCAUCAUGGGCCGGGGCUCCAUCAAUAAGUUCGAAGCCGCCAUCCACGGACUGUACCUAUGUAUGAAGAUACCAGGUCCGCUAGGCGCCAUUACGGUCUACGGAAACCAUCAGACGGCGCGCAACAUAGAGCGGGAAUUCGUGCCCGGUCAGAGGAACGUGCACUGCCUCACGACCCAGCGCGAGGUCCCUGCGCCCGCCAGCCCAACCGAUAAACAGCACGACAAGGCACAGCUGCAGAGCCAAGACGGGACCAAGACUGUCCCCCUCGAUCAGGCCACGCCCAAGCAGACAGUCACUAUCAGCGAAGACCUCACCUCGCAUGAAGAAGAGAAACUCCUCUGCUGCCUGUCCAAGAAUAAAGAUGUCUUCGCCUGGUCCGCCCUCGACCUGGUCGGAGUCAGCCGAUCCAUAAUCGAGCACAGCUUGGGAAUUGACCCUUCGGUGCGACCAAAAAAGCAGAGGCUUCACAAAAUGUCCGACGAAAAGACAGAGGCCGCUAAGGCGGAGGUGCACCGCCUCCUAGAGGCUAAAUUCAUCGAGCCAGUGGCUUACCCCACGUGGCUCUCCAAUGUUGUAAUGGUGCAGAAAAAAAGCGGGAAAUGGCGAAUGUGCAUAGACUUCACCAGUCUCAACAAGGCCUGCCCAAAGGAUAAUUUCCCGUUGCCGCGGAUCGACAAAAUAGUCGAUAGCGCGGCCGGAUGCGAGGUCAUGUCACUCCUCGACUGCUUCUCCGGUUACCACCAGAUAUACAUGAAGGAGGAAGACAAGGCUAGCACCAGCUUUAUAACACCCUUCGGCACAUAUUGCUUCAUCAGAAUGCCAGAGGGACUCAAGAACGCCGGGUCCACCUUCUCCAGACUCACCAAAACAGUACUCGAAGGGCAAGUUGGCAGAAAUAUAUUUACAUAUGUGGAUGACAUCGUCGUCGCCAGCAAGAACAAAGAGGACCAUCUCGCCGACCUCGCCGAGACUUUCACGAACAUGCGAGACGCAUGACUCUGCCUAAACCCGGAAAAGUGCGUCUUCGGCGUUCGCCAGGGCAAAAUAUUGGGCUACCUGGUAUCACACCGCGGCAUCGAGGCCAACCCAACCAAGAUCCAGGCCAUCGUAGACAUGUCGCCUCCGCAGUCCGCCAGGGACGUCCAGCGUCUGACAGGCAGAUUGGCCGCUCUCAACAGAUUCAUCUCCAGGUCCGCCGAGCGAAGUCUCCCCUUCCUCAAAACACUCCGCGGUGCAAAGGACUUCGCAUGGGGACCGGAGCAUGUAGCGGCCUUCGCCUCACUAAAACAGUACCUGUCGGAGCUGGCCAUCCUCACAAGCCCCGACUCCUCGCUCCCCCUAUUGCUCUAUGUCGCGGCUUCGCCGCACGCUGUCAGCGCGGCACUAGUGCAGGAGCAGUCAGUUAAGGGCGUGGUCAGGCAGUGCCCUGUUUACUAUGUCUCCGAGGUACUGACAUCGUCCAAGUGCAACAUGACAGAACUGGAGAAGAUUGCCUACGCAGUCGUUAUGUCUUUGCGCAAACUACGCCACUACUUUGAAGCAUUCAAGGUCCGAGUCACCUCAGACAGGGGACUCGGCGAAUUAUUCAGAAACCCGGAGGCAUCGGUGAGGAUUGCCAAGUGGGCAGCCGAACUAUCCGGCUACCACAUCAGCUUCGAGCCCAGGACAGCCAUCAAGUCACAAGUCCUGGCAGACUUCGUCGUCGACUGGACUGGGCCAAUAACACAACAAGUCCCGUCCACAGAGAAGGUUUGGACUAUCCACUGCGACGGCGCAUGGUGCCAUGCGGGGGCAGGCGCCGCUGCAGUCGUCACCUCACCAGCCGGGGUCAAGCACAGUUAUGCAGCAUGCCUUAGCUUCGCUCUGGAAUCCGACAGAUGCACAAACAAUAUAGCAGAAUAUGAAGCAGUCAUCCUCGGCCUCCGCAAGCUAAGGGCCCUCGGAGUCACCACCUGUAUCAUCAAAACAGACUCCAAGAUAGUUGCCGGCCAGGUCGAGAAAGACUACGCAGCAAAGGACCCCGCACUUAUGCAAUACCUCGCGGCCAUCCGAAGUCUCGAGAGACAGUUCAAGGGAUUCACCUUGCAGCAUGUGGAUAGGGCCAAGAACGAGGAGGCCGACGCGUUGGCCAAGGCCGCCGCCAGGGGCGAGUCCUUGCCCUCCGACGUGUUCUUUCAUAUCAUCGGCACGCCAGCCGUUCGAAGCCCCGAAGGGCUCCAAAUAACUAAUGACAACGAGGGCCACCGCAUAGUCAACCUAAUCAUGACCGAGGACUGGCGGGCACCAAUAACCCUGUUCCUGCAAGGGUACUAUCAUCCAACCGACGUCAGCGAGGCCAAGCGCCUCAGACAUCGAAGCCGGGACUUUGCACUGAUUGAAGGCCAACUCUACAAGAAAGGGGUCAGUCAGCCAAUGCUUAAGUGCGUCACCGAAACCGAAGGCAUGCAGAUCCUACGUGAAGUCCACAGUGGCACGUGCGGCUCACACACAGGGCCAAGGGCCCUAGCUGCCAAGGUGAUCCGCCAGGGUUUUUACUGGCCCGCAAUGAUCUGCGCCGCAAAUCGGGUCUCAAGGUCCUGCGAAGCCUGCCAGAAGUUUUCCCCUCGGUCAGGCAACCCCUCGCAGUAUACAAAGCUGAUCGCCCAUACAUGGCCUCUCCAGCGCUGGGGCCUGGACAUCGUCGGGCCCCUGCCCACCGCUCAGGGGAACCUUAAGUUCGCCUUCGUCGCCGUCGAGUACUUCACCAAAUGGAUCGAGGCGAGGGCUGUUUCUACAAUAACAUCAAAGACUGCCCAAAAAUUCUUCUGGCAAAACAUUGUCUGCCGCUUCGGAGUACCGUCCGAACUAACAGUUGACAACGGCAAGCAGUUUGACAACCAAGAUUUCAAGGAUUUUUGUUUCUCCAUCGGCACCAAGCUUGCCUUCGCUUCAGUUUAUCAUCCGCAGUCCAACGGGGUCGUGGAACGCGCCAAUGGGAAAAUCUUCACAGCUGUCAAGAAGAUGCUCCUUGAUGAAAAAAAGGGCAGAUGGACCGAUUUGUUACCUGAGGCAGUCUGGGCACUAAACACAACUGAGUGCAGAGCAACUGGGUUUACUCCCUUCCGCCUUCUAUACGGAUCGGAGGCCAUGACCCCGCAAGAAAUAAAGCAUGGGUCCCCGCGAACAGUUCCGUCAGCCGUCGCCGACGUGGACGAGCCAACUUCAAAGGACCUCAUUGACGGAGACCGAGUCUUCGCCCUACAGGCCCUAAACAAAUACCAGGCCCAGACCAAAGCAUGGCGCGACCACACAGUCAUCCCGAGGGAGUUCAGCGAAGGGGACCUCGUACUCGUCCGAACAGCUCAGACGGAGUCCAAGGGCAAGCUGGAGCCCAAGUGGGAGGUCCCCUUUAUAGUCAAGACAAAAGCUUCCCCCAGCGCUUACAGGCUCACAACGCCAAACGGCAAGGACCUGGAGCACUCCUGGAACAUCGACAACCUCCACAAAUUUUUUGUUUGACUCAUCAGGGCUGAUUUCGCCCUUGUAAUUCGCCAAAAACAAUCUUGUACCGGCCCGCACUCUUUUCCUCCCGGGGGGGUGAGGUUUUUAACGAGGCGGAGCCAUGUAAUAUAUGUGUGAAAAAUCCCCCGCAAAAACAUGCGUCGAAAAAAGACCGCGACGACGGUCUUCGACAUUCGACCAAUUCAAGGUCACCGCGAGGCUAAGCGCUAGCCACCCUCGCGUGCGACAAAUCCGCGCAGAAGUCGCCUAAGGGUGCAGCCGGACUAGCACAACAAGUGCGGAAAAACCGAAGUCCACCGCGAGGACUAUCCGCUCAGAAGUCGCCUAAGGGUGCAGCUGGACUAGCACAACAAGUGCGAAAAAAACCCGAAGUCCACCGCGAGGACUAUCCGCACAGAAGUCGCCUAAGGGUGCAGCCGGACUAGCACAACAAGUGCGAAAAAACCGAAGUCUACCGCGAAGACUAUCUGCACAGAAGUCGCCUAAGGGUGCAGCUGGACUAGCACAAGUGCGAAAAAAAACCGAAGUCCACCGCGAGGACUAUCCGCGCAGAAGUCGCCUAAGGGUGCAGCCGGACUAGCACAACAAGUGCGAAAAAACCGAAGUCUACCGCGAAGACUAUCCGCGCAGAAGUCGCCUAAGGGUGCAGCCGGACUAGCACAACAAGUGCGGAACAACCGAAGCCUACCGCGAAGACUGUCCGUGCAGAAGACACCUAAGGGUGCAACCGGACUAGCACAACAACAGCAGAAACGACAACAUCAAACCGUCCACGCCAAGACCGACUAUAAUCGCACCAGCACAGCGUAACAAAACACACCAGACAAAGUACACAACGCCUUUGCAGGCACAGACAAGCGAGGGCACACAACUUCAUCAUACAAGCCUUUACAUAUAUACAAGCGAGGGCGCCACACUCUACAUCGGCUCAACCUUAGGAAUAAUUCCCAUCUCCCUAUAAUUAAAUAACAUUAUCCUAAGCUCCUCACCCGCAAAAAGACUUCGCAGUUCCCCUUCACCUGUACUCGCGGCGGCCGGCAAAGAUAACAGUUCCUGCCGGCCAGCCCUACUCACACGAAGCCGAGCCCCCUCCUCCCCACUAACCCUACGCUUCGCAACCGCCCUUCGUCGUCGGCGCCCAGUACUAGGACCUGGCACAUCUUGUGCGUCCGCGGCGUGUGGCGAAGCCUCCGCCGCAGCCACAUCCAAGGCCGCAAAGUAGUCCAAGUCCUCCUCCGACGACUCCUCAGUCCACUCAACCGAGCUCCCAGAGUCAGCAAAAUCAAAAAACUCAGAUGCAGAUCCACCACAUUCAUUACCACCUUCCGCGGUCGAAGCCGCCAAAAAUUUAGUAGUAGCGGUUGCGUGCGCAGGCCCAAAAUCUUGAACCUGCGUAGCAACCAAAAUUCAGCAACAUAUCCAAAAUUCCCCAACCCUCUACACCCACUACGCCACCUGUGAAGGCCCUGACGUCGCGACAGCCUCCGCCGUUGGCUCCGCCGUCGCUUCCGCUGUUGUUUCCGCCGCCACCUCCGCGGGAUCUUCAGCACUCGGUGCAGCAGCUGCGGGGGCAUCAGGCGCGCCUUCGGCCACCUUUGGGAGCAGGUCCUCGCUAGCCGCAGCGGAUGCGGGGGCAUCCGGUGCGUCUUCUGCCGUCUCCGGGGUUGGCUCCAGAGCAACCCCACACACGGCCUCCGCCAGGGUCGGCUCCGGGUCAGGCAGCGCGCUAUUUAACGCCCCGAAGUCAUCCACCCGCUCGCCACGCGCCGCCUAAGACAAAACACACAAAAUUCAGCAAACACACGCACAGCCCACAUCCAACAAACGCCAAACAAACGAAAACGUUACCUGAGCCCUCGCCGUCUCGGCCCGCUCCCUGACCACCUCGCGACCGUGCGGACCCCACAUCCGGUCGUAGAUGGCCCCGGCGGAUUCCUUCACUACGGGGUCUUCAACCUUAUAGAUAUCUCGCUCAAAAUCUUCAUCGGCCUGGUCGAAGACCUCGAAGUGCCGGCACCCUUCGCGGGAGAGCGCGUUCAUCGCCCCCUCGCAGGUGACCAGGGAGGCGUACGACAUAAACCCCUCCACGACAGUGGGGAGUGCCUGCACCUCCUCCUGCACCCAUUCCAGACAACGAAGUCCGGGCUCUCGGUCCGGAACUUCGAAGUCACCGGUCCGCGCACCCAGCUCACGAUAUGUAUCCAUAAGCUGUGUGCGCGUCCGUUCGGCCUCCGCGCGCGUCGCGGCCUCGGCCCGCUCCACGCGGCUCUCCAGGGCGAUGAGCCGCUCCUGCAGCUGCUCGGCGCGCUCCCUGGCAAGAUUGCCCUCCGUCCGUGCCAGAUUGGCCUCCGCCUGCGCAGCCUGCGCCUUGACGAGGGCCUCGUUGGUCUCCCUCCUCUCCCCCGCCAGUUGGCGCCGGAGGUCAGCCUUCUCUCCCUCCAGCGCGGCCACCUUGUCUGCCAGCUUGCGGCACUUGCUGUCGACGGCCGAUUUCUCUCGGACGGCGUCAGCAUGUUGUGUCCGAAUUCUCUCGACUUCGGCAGACACAACUGCCGUGAAGGCCCCCGACGCCGUGCGGUUGGCGAAGUCAGCCACCUGCACAACACACAUAAGACCGCGGCCCCGGCAAGUAAAAAAAACGAAGCCUGGCUCAGCGGACCUGACUUAGCGACUCCACCACCUCCUUCAGCCGGCGGGACGCAGCGCCCGCCUCAUCCCUGACAGCCGCGAGGGCCGCCACCUCGCCUCCGGCGCUAAGAGCCCCGCCCUUCGCCUUCGGCGCUACGGCAGCCGUCGUUGUCGCCGCAGCAGGCACAACUAUAGCAAGUUGGCCUUCGUCUGACCCUGCGACGUGUCGACGAAUAAAUAAUAAUAAUAAAAAAAAGAGGAGCCAACGACUUACCACCAAGAUAGUCCUCCACACUAAUAUCGGUGGCGAAGUCGGCGACACGCUUGCCCGCCGACGGCAACGCUCGGGCCGCCUUCGCGACCUCCGGCACUCUGCUGGACGGCGGCACUGCCUUCGUCGAUUUUGAGCCCCCGGCGCCUGCCGUCGCCUCCGGCGCUCUGCUAGACGUAGGGGCGCCCGACUUCGCCGCCAGCGGCGGCUUGCCUCCGCCGGGGGCCGCAGCCUUCGCAGACCCUCGCUGCCUCUUCGGCCUAGCUUCAACGAGCCUGACAACCGCCUGACGCUUUUGUGCUGCUCCCUAGCGGUCCUUGUCCAUCACUGCCGACACAACAGCAGCAAUAUUCCACCCGUAAGGAAAAACUCUCCAUUCACGAACCAUGCGAGAUGUAAAAAAGUCCUCGCCAGCCGCGCGGGGGAUAGGAACAUUCCUAGGCCAGCAACCCCCGGUAACCCUCAACAUCCGAGCCGAAGACUCCCGGAGCUCGGGCGAAGACAUCCUUCCCCCCGGGGCCGCGCACGUCCUCAUCAACUCUCUAGCAAAACUAUCAGAAACCCCAAGUCCUCCCAUAGCAGUACCUAAUUUUCUCUUUUUAGAAGAUGGGGCGGCCGCCGGCGCAGGGUCGUCUCCAGUCUCCACCACCGGUUUCUUCCUACAGCGGUCCGCGUCGUCUUGACCAGGAUAGCCGUCAUACGACAAUUGAUUUAAUUCAAAAACCCUGUUCAAAUGGUCAUUCGACCCGCGGAUAUCAAAGCUGCGCUGGCCCUCUGUCCUCGGCACGUAACGUCCAACGAGCCGCACCGCCCCAUCCUCCGUCUCGCGCACAAAGGCGGCCAGGUCGCGGUUUUGCAGAUUCAGUGCAAAGGCAGGACUUCGCACCACCCUUCCACCGUGAAAAGGCAUCUGGUGAGGGCACACUUCACCCAACGCCCAGCCAUGCGCCAAGGGCCAUACCCCGUACGCAACAAACUCUUCAACCAAAUCGCGCCCACUGCUCAGGCCGGCGGCGCACCGAAGGGCCCCUUCGUCCACAUCCUCCUCUGCCACUUCAAAGGGCGGGUACGCUGAGUAAAAAUGAGAACACAUCUCGGACACGGGGAGUCCCUCAUGGACUUCGAUGGUACCCUCAGCAACGUAAAACCAAAAUUCAUUCCAGUUGCCCCACUUGUUGCGGGCGCACGGAACCAACUCGACCACCUGCAUCGUGGUCUUGCCGGUCUUCGGCGUGAAUGUGCAGGACCCAAACUGAGCAACUUCGUCCCCAAUCAUCCUCUUCUGCCAGUGCAAACAAUAAUACUUCGCAAAAACCUCGACCGAUGGCUGUCCGCCGUACGAAGUCGUCGCCCAGACAUACUUCGACAGAGCCACCACGACAUUCGAUGUCAGCUGAUGUAUCCGAACAUUGAACCUGCGCAGGACUUCGCCAACAAAUCGGUGCGCAGGCAAGCGGAGACCGGCGGCGAAGAACGCCUCGAAAACAACCAACUCGCCCUCCGGCUCGGGGACUUCCUCCGUCCCCGGGGCACGAGCAACUCCGCCGCCGAAGUAACCCAACCGCUGCAUAUCUUGCACGUGGACCGACGACAUCCGCGACACGCCAAAAUCAACAGAAUCGUCGGUGCGCAACUCCUCCGCCAUCAAACUACUCAGCGUCUCCUCAGACGAGGCGGCAGUCGGCGGCGUAGCGGCAGCGGAAGAAGAGGAGGUCGGCAUCGCUACGUACCGUCGGCGGCGGCGGGCGGUCUGCUUCACUCGAGCCAGAUCUCCGGCGAACAAGAGCACGGCGGGCAGACGAGCAGCAAGACAGCGGGCGGCUAGGGUUUUCACGGAGCGCGGAAAGUGAAGUUCAAAAAGCACCGACCCCCGCCCCCUUUUAUAGGCAGGGCGCGGCUCUUCGGGAAACCCGCAAUCCAACAGGGCGCGGCGCUUCGGGAAACCCGCAAUCCAACAGUACGCCGUCAAUCAACGGUCACAUCAAAAACCCCCGCGGAACCACUUCGAGCGAGGGCAGCGUCUCCGCCAUCUAGCGACGUCUUCGGCACCAGGUGACUUUGUCGAACUGGUCCCUCAGAGGGCAAAUGUUGGGGCGAAGGCAAAGACGCCACCCUUCGCUCGAAGUCUUCGCUGCAGCUGCUGGUCUGACAGAGACAAAACCGGCAGGGACACCCUUCGCUUGAUCGGCACCAGACGAAGACCGGCGACGAAGUCAUCCCACAGUGCGGCCUCGUUCAGCUCAAAUGCCCACGUGCGAUCCGGCCCAUCGUAACGGGCCCUGCGUGGCCGCCGCGCGUUACGGGCCUAAUUUGUAAAGGCAUCCCUGUAAUUACAGUCUAUAACCCCGCUUUAUGGGAAUAUUCUGGGGAUAAUCUAGGUAGUUGAGGGCACAUGCGUCCUUAGCACAAGGCGCUGGGCGCUCAGGUACCUAUAAAUACCCCUGCACAGUGCCCGUGGGGGGGGAGAUCAACAGAGCUAUUGCCUUCUAGCACGUAACCCUGUUGUCAUCACUGUCCACUCUUGUUGGCCUCCUUGCGACUGAGAGCAAGUUCCAACACCAAUACUUCUGAAUAUUAGAGUGUAAGCAAUAGAAAUAACAGGUCAGAAUGGAAGCAACCACCACUACAUUCACUUGCCUUCAUCGAAGAAGAAGAAAUGUACUAGGCAUGAUCUGGAGUGUAGUCAUCUGCUAGCGGGCAUAAAACUUAGUACAAAUAUUUCAUAAACAUUUGCCAACAAUCAACAAAUCGCUCCUACACUUGAAACCAAGACCUGGUGGUAAGCCUCCCACCCUGAAUCACAUGCCAUCGGCUAGGGUUGGGGAGGAGAGGGGGGCUCCCAUCCACUGGAUCGAGAUCAAUGGCCCAAACUUGCUCUCCCCUUUGAGCUCCCGACUCCAGCGGAAAAAAAAUGACAAAAGAUCUACUGUUUUCUGAGGAAUGCCUCCUGAAACUCCAAACCCCAAUGCCACAGAACAUCAAAGAAAAGAGAAAAAUAAGUUUAACUUCUUUUCAAAAAAUUUGGGGUAUCACACUCUACCCCCCUUAAAAAGAAUUCGUCCUCGAAUUCGACCACUCCAACAAAACAUCCAAGGUACCCCAUAUAGGAGCACCAUGCAAAACAUGGGUCCAUUAUUGGUCUUAAUUAACACAAGAACUUCUACAUCGACUAAUUGUCUAAGGAAACUACAACACCUGACAUCAAGCAUGAACCAACAUGUAAUGAAGCUCAAACCAAGUCAUAGAUGCAAUCAACACUACGAUUUCCCAACAUCGCAUUUGGAUGCAGCCAUACAUCAGCAUCAAUGUCUUAAAACGACACUCUUUUAUGAAGGGGUAAUACGCACUAAGCACAACCGCGCUACCGCGCGUGCGCCUGCGGUGCGGUAAGGCACCACCCUGUUGUGCCAGCAGCCAACUCCGGCGUGUCAGCUUAGUUAUCCUCAUCAAGCCACAACCUUGAUGUCUAGCUUCCCAACUGGUAGACGGUUCCCUUUCCCCCGGAUCAAUGAAGAAGGGAGAAGUCAGUUGAUUCUUCCGAAGAACCGGAAGCGAAGCGCUAUGCCGGGGCGAGGGGACGGGAAAAGAAACUGCUCGAAGAAAGAUAUUGGGGUUCCCAAUGCUUCUCCACGCCCAACGAGAUGCGCCAACCUCGGGAUGCUUUACUCCUAACCCCACGACGGUUCCGAGACGGAGCUUAACCUGAGUCUCGGUUAAGAACGGCGAUGAUCUACGUUUCACACGGCGCACGAUUCCAUGGAUAGUUUCAUUCGAGAUCGUGAUGGAGGACAUAGCUUACGAUCAUCGGCUUUGAUCAUGCCACUAGGCAUUCGAUUAGGACAUUGCACAAUGAUCCGAACACUUUGUCGCAUCUCUUCGAUACGAAUACAGUAACGAUCAUAGCGAUCUCCUCUGGUACCUACUGGUACGUCAAGAUCCGAUUGGUCAUGAACAUCGUAACGUGCUGCUCUUCGCGAAUCCCAGCAUACCCCAGGUUGGGAUGGGUAGGCCCACCACUUCACUUUUUCACUUUCACUUAGGCCCGGGCCAAGUCAGUGGGGGGGGGGGGACCCUGUCGGGCUCCUUCCCCCCCAAAACAAACUGUACGUGGGAGUUUCCCUUCAUACGGCUCGAAUCAUUCUUAGAUGCCCCGAGAGGCAUCUUUCCUUAUGAUCUGGUGGUUCACACGCGCGCAAACGAGCACCGGCCGCAACAGCAAGGAACUAUGACCAAUAGAGUCAGACACAGAGCGUCAUACUUCUUUAUCUUGUGAUGGUUGAGGAGUUUCUUUCUCAGAGGGUGCGGGACGCUUGCGGAGUCCGUACCACCACAGGUCGUUCUUGGGCAGAUCCCGCUCCUAAACAUAAGGGAGGGAUAGGGGGAAAGGGGCCGGGCCUAUCAUAUAAAUAGGGUUGUAGAAAGACCACGUAUUUUCAUUGGUAAAGCUCCCAGACGGCGUAUUUUUUUUAAACGAGGCCCUCGUUAACGGGACAUGAAGACUCCUUUUUUAUUUUAUUGAAAUUUCAUUUUACACAAUAAAUUUUGUUCUAUUUACAUUACAGAAUAUAGCGAAAUUCAAACAGAAUUAAACUAAAGGAUAAACAGAGUAAAAUCUACUAAAGUAACACAAAAAAUGGAGUAACACAAAAAAUGGAAUUUCAUCAACAUCUGGAUUUUUUGUAUAUAUAUUAUUUAUUUUUAUUAAUAAAGUACAUAAAAAUCGGCAAUCUAAAUAUUCCUACCUAAUAUAUCAGGACGGUCUUAUUAAUAAUUCUAAUGAGUUAUCUUGGAAUUUUGAAUCGAAUCAAAAAAUCUAUAUUAUGCUCACUCAAGGAAAGUAGAUGUAGAUAGGGGCUUAUACCCUCAGAAAAAAAUACACCAGCUUCUUAAAUUAAAACGUAAAAAAAGAUUUUUUUGUUAUGUCGGGAAAUAAUUUUCCAAAAUAACCAAUGUCCGUUAGGCACCUAAUCCUUAUGUCAUAAUAGAUCCGAACACUUGCCUCAGAUUGACUUCAAUAUAUAAUUGCUCCAGUGAAUAACUAAAAAAAAUAGAAGGACAGUAGAUAGUAAAGAAAAGGACUAAUCAUAAUAUCUAUCUUUAAAAGAUUCAAUAAAAAGACAGUUGGCGGGUCUCUUUGUAUGUCUUGUCCGAAAAGAGGAGGACUUAAUGAUUAUUCGUUUGUCGGAACCAGA
RNAcentral lists this long non-coding RNA (99645 nucleotides) under Zea mays. RNAcentral describes it as "long non-coding RNA (ZMAY_LNC005476)". The record is from RNAcentral. Lineage: Eukaryota; Viridiplantae; Streptophyta; Magnoliopsida; Poales; Poaceae.